This 105915-nucleotide long non-coding RNA is filed under the name Gossypium barbadense (sea-island cotton). RNAcentral describes it as "long non-coding RNA (GBAR_LNC021342)". Lineage: Eukaryota; Viridiplantae; Streptophyta; Magnoliopsida; Malvales; Malvaceae. The record is from RNAcentral.
AAUCAGAUAACCUUUGAAGAUUCGUUAGCUUAUCAAUUCUAAAAGGAAUCCUUUCUAUUGAGUUCGCACCUCUGAUAUCAAGAUAAUGCAAGUUGACAAGAUUUUCCAUCUUUGAAGGUAACCUUUGAAGCUUGUAACACCAAUGUAAUAACAAAGUUUCCAAAUGGUAAAGAGUGCACAAAGAAUCAGGUAAGCAUUCGAUAUCAGUGUAAGAAAAAUUUAAGUAGCGAAGAUGUUUUAAAUUUUCAAAAACAUCAGGCAACUCAGUGAUUUUAUACCUACUCAAAGAAAGCGUCCUUAAGUAGCCAAGUCUUGGUAACAAAUCAACCAAAACAACAUUAGUUAAAUAAGGCCACCGAUAAACACUAGUUAACAUUAAGGAUAAAAAAGUACGUAAGGAAUUCACUUGAUCAAAUGCUUCAAACUUCUUCACUGUGUCAUAUGUUCCAACAAUAUAAGAAGAAUGUCGAGUGCGAUUUGAGAACUUCCAUUUCUUAUCACCCUCUAAUUUUGAGCAUAUUUCCCCUGCAACUACUUGAGCUAAAUCAUUGAUAAGGUCAUGCAUUACGAAUCGGGACUUAUCUUUACUGGAUGUCUGAAAAAAUGACCUCGACACUAGAUCUUGAAAAUAUUGAUUUCCAAGAUCUUUAAUUUGAGGCAUAGCUUUUUGUUGCAAGAGACCUUCUGCUCUCCAUAACAAGAUAAUUUCUUCUUCCCCAAAUUCAUAAUCUUUAGGAAGUAUGGAGCAAUAUGCAAAACAUCGUUUCAAGUUUGACGGAAGAUGAUGGUAGCUUAAUCGCAAAGCUGGAAUUAUGCCACACUGCUCUUCUGGUAAGUUCCAUAUCUCACUCUCACAUAUUCUUUCCCAUUUUCCAUGAUAUUCAAUCGUGCGAAGCAUGCUUCCAAUGGCUUUUGCAGCCAAAGGUAAGCCAUUGCAUCUUCUAACAAUUUUCUCUCCAAUUUCUUUAAACUGGAGAUGUCCAUCGAAAUUUUUUGCUUUUAAUGCCUGCUGUGUAAAUAUGGAUAAAAUAGUUUAUCCAAAUGAAAAGCUUUGAGCGGAUCCACAAUAGAUGAAACAAUUUGAAGACGAGUGGUUACAAUGAUAUGGGUCCCUGCUCCAAACGGAGACUGUAAGAUGGUCCAAUCAUUAUAAUUCUCGUUCCAAAUGUCAUCUAAAACAAGCAAGAAUCUUUUCCCAGACAACUUCUCCUUCAACUUAACUUGAAGUAAAUCCAAGUUACUGUAAUCACAUGACUCAGAAGUGAUGGACUGUAAAAUUGCCUUUGUUAUAGCAAUUGCAUCAAAUUUAACAGAAACGCAUACCCAGGCCUUGUGGUGAAAAGACUGGUUGAUGGUGGCAUCAUUGUAAACAAGCUGGGCAAGAGUUGUUUUACCCAUCCCUCCCAUGCCGGCGAUGGAAAGGACUGAAACUCCGUUGGAGUUAUCACCUUUGAGAAACUCAAUCAUUUCUGUCUUCUCCUUGUGUCUGCCAACAUACUCCACAACUCCAUCCAGUACGGAAGUUGGUUGCAGCCUAGGUUGCUUUCCCUUGGAGGUUGGAGCUUGAGACAAGAUCUCACUCAACCCCAAACUACUUCUUCGAGUAGUCAAACUAUUCAGUCUAGCAGUGAUCUCUUUCACCUUGGGAAUCAUGGAAUUCUUAAACAGGAAAGAAGUGGGAGCGAAACUAGUACCAGUAAAGCAGGUAGGAAUGAGCUUCCGUACAUUGCUAGUGCUGGCUUGAGCUUGCGAUUUCUUAAGCUUGAGACGUAACUCUUCAUAAGCGAACUCAUCCAAGAUGUCAUCCACAUCGUAAGCCAAGUCCUGGAGAUCCUCCAACCAUUUCUUCACACCCAUGUUCUUGAUCUGCUUCUUCUCUGCAUCUUCCAACACUGCUUGGAUAUCAGGCAAUAUGGACUGCCACUGCUUGAGCUGCUGGUGGAGUUGGUUGUGAUUAGCAACAAAUUUGAGUGCAGAGUCGAGCGAUUUGCCCAACAACAGGUCCAGGAACCCAGAAAGAGCAGCCUCUCCAAUGACAGACAUGUUGGAAUUAUGAGAAAGAAGUUGAAAAGAGCAAUGAACAAAGCCAAAAUGGAAAGUCAGGGAACAAAAAGAGAAAGAAAGGGAAAUGGAAUCUGCAAAAUUAGAGAAAGUUGAAGAAGUUGGCACUAUUUUUUAAGCAUCCAAUAAUUCAGACUAUGAGUUGGGAAGGCAGUGGAACGUGAAAAAGGAUCCCAAGUGGUUGUUGAUGGGGAAAAGACAACGAAAGUGGAAAUUAAAGAGGUCCCAGUAGAGGUGAUCAUGGCUGGGCUGGGCCGGGUUCGGGUCGAGUUUGAAUAAAAUUUUAGACCCAUAUUUUAGGCCGGGCCAGACCGGGCUAAGAAAACAGGUCUAAAUUUUUGUUCGAGCCAAGCCCAAAAGAAAAUUACUAAGCCCAAGCCCGGCCCAACUUGCCCAUAUUAUUUUUUAUAGUUUAUUUCAUUAAAUAAAAAAUUUUAAAACAAAUAUUAAAACAAAAAAAAGACUAAAAUAAUUCUUAAAGCAAUACACAAAUUAAAAAUAUAAUAAAAAGUGGUUAUAUUAAAAUUGAAACAAAUUAGAACUAAAAUAAUAGCCAAAUUAAUAAUAAAACAAAAAUAUAUUUGUUUAAAAAUAAAAAUAUAUAUUUAAUAUAUAAUUCGGGUCGGGCUGGGUCCGGGUCAAAAAAGUUUUACCCCAGCCCGGCCCGUUUUUUAAACGGACCUCUUUUUUUUUUUGCCCAAACCCAUAUUUCGGGCCUAAAUUUUUAGCCGAACUGAUAUAAGAAUGCGCACGGACCAAGAUCGAGUUGCCAAGUCACGGAAAACUCUUAUGAAAACUUGAAACGAUCAGAUCUGAAACGAAUUAGCAUUCAAAUUAAAGAAAUCAAUCAGAUUUUAAAAAUAGACAAUUAGGAUUUGGGGCAGCAAGAAGAGAGGAAAAAUUGAGGGGUCAAACAGUUCUUGAAACCCAAAGGAGGUUGCAAUUCUGCCCAAUUGAACAACGGGGUAGUUUUCCCCAAAUUUUAGCAACCUAAUUUCACCAAAAAGGGAAGGAAUUUUAGUCGGCAAAAACCCUAGAAAUUGGAGAUUUUUGGUGCGAUUCUUGACUGCCAAGAGAGGAGUAUGGAUCGAUUUCUUUAAGUUGGAAUGAACUGAAAACACAACAAGAAGAUCGAUUAAAACAAGAUAAGCAAUCGGCACAAGGCAGAAUUUAAAGAAAAAAUUGACAGCAAGCAGAUAAAGAUAAAGUCAGCCUUGAAAUCCCAAGAGAUUUCACAACUCCCUUCAAACGGCUCUAAUCUUCCCUCCAAUGAAUAUCAAUGGCAAGAAGAAGGUUGAAGAUGGUUCCCACAAUCAAAAAGAUUGUUAAAACAACUUCUAAAAAAAACUCAAGAGAAAAUUCUUAGAGAACUCAAAGAGAAUUUUCACUCAAAACAAAUCUGAAAUUUUCAAUGUGUUUCUUAUGUGUCUUACAAGGGUGGCCGGCCAUGCCUAUUAAUAGGCCUUAAUAUUUUCCUAAUCCUAUUAGAAAACUAAAACUAAAAAAACUCCUAAUUAAAUAUUAAAGAGAAAUUCGAUCAAGGGCUUUAAAUUGGGCCUCUUGAACAGAAUAUUUACAUAACAAUUAAUUUAGAAAGUCUAAAAUUGAAACUAAGAAUUAAUUUUUUACAAAUUGGGCCACUUUACAAUUUGGCCCGAUUUUCAACUAAGUAUGAUUUUAACUUUUUGGUUGGGCUUUGGAAUCGUCUCAUUGGGCCUUGUGGUAAUUUGAGCCCAUCACGUUCUUGAGCUUGAGUUGGGCCUUUGUGACUCGUAUCACGAACCCUCUCAUUUUUCGAGCGGGCCAUCGGGCCGGGCCGGGUAACCCAACCCAUAUUACCUCUAGGUCCCAGUCCAUGAAAUUAUUGCACCCUCUCAUUUCAUAUCUCCCUGCAAUUAUUUGAAUAGCUUUUCUUUAAUUUUUCAUCUAUUUUAAUCAUUGAAUUUGUAUUUAUUUUUAUUAAAUCACUUCAAAAUAAAUAGAAAACCUAAAAGGGUAUACAAUCUUAACAAAGAUAAAAACAUUAAAAUUUUUAUUUAUUUUGAAAUAAUUUGACAAGAAAAUACAAGUUCAAAAGCUAAUUCUUUUUCAUAAAAUUAGAUAACCAAAUCUUUAUGUAUUUCUUUUAUGAGACAAAAGUGGAUUAAAGUGUUUGCAACUCUAAAAUGGAUGGCCGCUCUUUUAUAGGUAUAGAAUUUAAUGAUUCUUAAGAUAAUUUGUUGUGGUCAUUUGAGUUGUUAAUUUGUUAAUAAUAAUAAGGAGAACGAAUAGAAAGUAAUGGCUUGGCUCAUGAAUAAACGACCAAUCCCCGAUAGAAGAGAAGGUUCCAUUGGAACUAUUAUUUAUUUCAGGGUGUCUUGUCUCUCUCUUUUUUUACUUAAAAGAGAGAGAGAGAGAGAGAGAGGAAGUGCUAACAGAAAUGGUAAGAAGAUAUUGGAACAUAAAUUUGGAAGAGAUGUUGGAAGCAGGAGUUCAUUUUGGUCAUGGUCUACUUAUGGCUUCGUGCACUAUUUGUUAGAAUGCAUCAAACACAAAUCUUAAGAUUAAAUUAAAUUCUAAAAAAAUACUAAUACAAAUAAAAAUAUUAAAAUUCAAGAUAAAAAUAUUGAUGUGACAUUAAAUUAUUGAAAAUGGAUACAAAUAUGAUGGUAUCCCAAUUUUAUACUAUCAUAUUCCUCCAAAAUAAUUUUCCUUUUAAUAUGUAUAUUAUACUUUUUGGUUUUGGGCAGAAAUGGAUUGCAAAUGGAAUUUCUUUUCUUCUAUAGUUCUAAUUAUGUUCUUUCUUUUUCUCUUGUAUAAUAUUUCGCCGCCACGCCACCUUCCCAAUUUUUUCCCCUUCUUUUAUUUAAUUCUUGUUGAAUUAUUAGGGGUGUGUAAAUUUUGGAUAAAACCAAAUUAAUUUGGUUAAUUAAACAGUUAAUCGAAUUAAUUCGGUCAAGGGUCAGUUAAUAAUUUUUUGAAAGUUCAGUUAAUGGUUAAUUAGAUAAUUAGUGAACUGAACAAAGACAAAAUGGAAACCCAGGGACCAAAAUAGAAAGAAAGAAAGAUGGAUUCUGUGUAAUUAGUGAAAGUUGAAGAAGUUGGGACAAUAUUUUUUUAAGCAUCCAAUAAUUCAGACUAUGACUUGGAAGGCAUUGGAUUAUGAUAAAGAAGAUGGAUCCCAAGUGGUUGUUGCUGGGAAAAGCAAAUGAAAGUGGAAAUUAAAGAGGUCCCAGUCCAUGAAAUUCUUGCACCCUCCCAAGUGGUUGUUGCUGGGAGAAGACAAUGAAAGUGGAAAUUAAAGAGGUCCCAGUCCAUGAAACUAUUGCACCCUCCCAUUUUUCCGUCCCCGCAUUAGCUUUUCUUUUAGGCAUAAUGAUUACUCCUAAUUUGCAUAAAAAAUAAUUUUAACUCUUAAGUUUAUCUUUCAAUCAAACCACUCUAAAAUAGACCCGACAUACAUGUGAAUUAUAAUCUAGAAAACACAUUAACAUUUAAUUAAUUUUUAAAAUUUAAAAAAUUAAUUAAGUGAACAUUAGUAAAGUUAAAAAAAGUUACAAAUUUAUGGGCUAAAAAAUAAAAAUUUAAAUAGAGAACUAAUUUUUUUUUAAGAAGUCGAAUAAAUUAUUAUGUCUUUCUUUUAUUGGAUCAAAAUAGAUUAAAAUGUCUGCAAUUCUAAAAUGGAUGGACUUAGUAUUUGGAUACAUUAUUAUUUUUACUGGAGAUCGAGAAAAGAUGGACUUUCUAUGAGCCCAUUUUUCUGAUAGGAUUUAUUACCACUUUAGCAACUUUGGCGAUUUAGUCAAUUACUCGAGAUUCACGAUUAUUUUAUUUCUUGAUGCUAGCAAUGUAUAGUGAUCAAAUAGCAUCAUUUCUUCUUAAGACCUUUUACUUUUUUCAUCAUGUGGGAGUUUGAAUUAAUUCUCAUUUAUCUAUUUCUAUCCAUGAAGGGGAAGAAACAUCUAUGCUCGGUUACAAAAUUUAUUUUGUACAUUGCAGGCGGUUUCAUUUUUCUAUUAAUAGGAGUUUUGCGUCCCGGUUUAUACGGUUCUAAUGAACCAACAUUAAAUUUUGAAAUAUUAGAUCAUUUAGAUAAUCAAUCAUAUCCUGACACACUAGAAAUAAUAUUCUAUAUUGAACUUCUCAUUACUUUUUCUAUCAAAUUGUUGACUAUACUCUUACAUACAUGGUACGAUAUAAAAAAUUUCAAUAAAAAAAUAUAAAAUUAUUAAAUAUUAAAAUAAUAUAAUAUAAAUAUUUUUAAAAAAAUAAAAUUAAUAUGAACAGGGCUAACAUGAGUUUGGAUUAAUCUUAUGUAAAUAUAGACGGGUUUGAGCAACAUUUUAAGCCUAAAUUUUAGGCUGGGUCAGAUUUAGAUAAACAUAAAGUAAGUUAAUAUCAUGCUUAGACCCAACCAGUCUAUGAAUAUAUUUACUAACGAGGGACCUUUGUUUUGAAUUUUGUAAUAGCCUUUGUCCAUUGUCCCGAUUUCCAAGUAAAUGAACGUUGAGCUCCAUGCCAAUGGCAUCAAAAUAAUUAUCUCCAUUAACAACAAAAUAUAGUCCAACACAAGAAGGGAGUACUAGAAGAACAUAUUCUCCAUCUCAUAAACAUUUGAUAACAUCACUGUUGAAGCCUUUCAAAGCAGGGGAAAUCCAUAUAAAGUGUGAUAGAAAGCCCACUGUGACACAUUUAGCUUUCAAGCUUCAGAUUCCCUGUCUUACAAAAAUGACCAAAUAAUAUAUCACGUUUACAAUAUUAUCUGUCUUACAAAAACCAAAUAUCAGUGAACCACCAUCUUUGCCUAUCUUUUAAAGGGUUUCAUACAUGUGGUCUGAGCAUGACAAAAUAAGGGAUGCUCUGAAAUUUUGAUGAUGCAUCCAUCCAUGAUCACAGCAGUUGUGUACGAAAAUGAAAAACAACAUACUUUCUUUAGAAUGCAAAAAACUUGAUUAUAUUGAUAUGAAGCAGUAACCAAAAUGGUUAAAUGAAGUUUUUCAGUCAGUCACUUAGACACUGAGUUCAUUAAUGUCGUUCAAUCCACAUGAUCGAAAAAGCAGUUCCUCAUCAAGUGAAUUAAUGCAGCUCGAAAGUAGCUUUCAAAUGGAUGUAUCAUCUGAGAAUUUCCAAGAACUAGGAUGGCCAACUUUGAGAUCAGCAGACUAUAGUUUGUGGGAACACUGAGGCUGCAAGUUCAAAAGAAGUAUAAUCUCAAUGUCAUCAGUGUUUUACAAGUGAGAAAACCCCAAAUUGCAGGUCAGUGAACUCUCUUGUGUUAAUGCUUAAAUCUAGCUCUUUAACUACAUGCCGUACUGCGUAGUGUAUCCCUUCCUUAUCCUGAGAGGAUCAAUAAUAGACUGGUGACGACUCGUAUCCUUACACAAUAACAGGAAUCUGUCCACAAAGAUCAUAUGAAACUAUCAAGUAAAUUAAGACUUAUUCUUUUGAAAUACCAUUGGUCAAUAUUACAAUGGAAUGUCAAAUAUUUUCAACUAAAAUCCCAUUUCCAAGUACAAAGGUUAUAACAAUUGCAUUUGAAAACAUUGUCUUAAAAAAAAAUAGUUAAUAUAUUAUGGAAAAUUUUAGAAAGAUGAAGAGAAAGUCUAGGAUUGGCAGACCAAUGUCGAAAAGAAGGAUCGACUGACUAUACGGCAUAUUCCAAGUCCAUUCCAAAAUUAGUCUGUGCCAACCCAUAUUCUGAGAGCUAAGCAAACAUAUACGCAAAGGAAGCUUAGAAAUCAGAACAUGCAGAUGAAAACUGAACAUUCAAUUUGCUGAACAUCAAAUCAAAUAAGCUAAAAGGAAGGCUAGUUGAAUUCAUCCGCUAUUUUUGCCAAAUUAGUUUUCAAUGCCUGAAAAAUUGAAUACAAAUUAUAUAAGACUGAUUGCUAUUAUCUUGUUAUUCUGAGGACAAUCACAUAUGUGGAACUAUGGAACUAAAAAUGCUAUGAAAUUGCUUAAUGUUUAAAAUGGUUUCACACCUGUGGUUUAAGUGUGGAGAAACCAGUGCCAGGUUUUGCUGCUUUACUUUCAAUCUAAUUCCCUUGGGAUGACUGUUUUAUACUGAAAACGGACAUAAGGGAUGUGGGCAAUCUUGGACCACUGUCGACCUUUACCCCUACUGCACCCUUCUUCUAGCAACGGGCAAUUGAAAAUAUGUAGCUGCUCAAGUGAGAGAAGCAUAUCUUUUUCUGGAAGAGAUGUGAGUUUUGGACAAUUACUUAUUUCCAAUUCGUGAAGUGAAGUGAGGUGUUGAAAGCCCUUGGAGCACAUGAAUUCCAAAUUCUCAAAAUUUUCAAUGCAGAUAGAUGUUAGAGAAGGAGGCAGCAUUCUUCCUAUCCCUUCUUCUGGAAAUGACACCACACGUGAGCAUCCCUCACCGCCGAUAUUGAGCUCUUGAGUGGAGGUGAGUCUAUUUAAUCCCCAUUCAACAAGUGAUGUAUACAUUUUGGGUCCAUUUGAGAUUUCAAGUGAUGUGAGAUUCGUAGGGAAACCCUCUUCUGGGAAUGACACCACACGUGAGCAUCCCUCACCGCCAAUAGUGAGCUCUUGAGUAGAGGUGAGUCUAUUUAAUCCCCAUUCAACAAGUGAUGUAUAUAUUUUGGGUCCAUUUGAGAUUUCAAGUGAUGUGAGAUUCGUAAGGAAACCUCUUCUGGGAAGGAUAUAUCAGCUGAACACUAUAUAAAUAGUUAAAUGAAAAGACAAAAAGCAAACUCGUAAUAUUAUUUGUUAUCUUUUAAAUAAGGAUUUUUAUUUAAAGUUAUUUUUCAACCAAAUUGAUCUUUAGUUAAACUCGUGGCUUCAACUCAGUUAUAUAACUAUAUAUAGUAUAAUUAACAAACAAUAAAAUUGAAAUUGACAUACAUGUAUGCUGUGUGUAGCCUUAAAUACUCCUGUUUCAUGGUGUUAACCUCAAUUCCUUGCAACUUCUUUUUUUUAACAAAAAAAAAAGAAAAAUACGCACACACAAUAUUAGAAAUGUAAUUAUUAUUAUCGAUCGAGUCUUAAUUCAAUUGGCAUUAAUAUUAUUAUUUAUGCAAAGAGGAUAUCAAUAUAUAUAUAUACCUCAACUUGUUGCUCAUCAAAAGGGUGUUCUUGAGAAUGAUCUUCUUCCAUUCCUUUGCUGUACCUUGAAAGAGUGUAUUCUAUGCUACAUCCCUAAAAUGUCAUGUUUAAAAAAAUAACAAUAAAUUAAAAAUAAAAUUCUAACUCAUUAUUAUUGUUUGGACUUGAGCCGAUCAAAUUUAUGACAAGUUAUUCUUAACUUAUCGGAACUAUUUAUAUAUCAUUUUUGUUUUAAUAUGAGCAUGUGUUGUAAAAGUAUUAUAUAUAUAAUAUACUUGCAAAUAUUUCUUAAUUAUAAUAUGUAAAUAUAAAUUUUAAAAUUAUUAAUUAAUUUCAAUAAUUUAAUGAAUGGUUAUAUAUUAUUUUUAAAAGCAAUUAUAUAAGAAAGUAGUUAAGAAAGAAAAGAGAAAUAUUAAAAAUCCCUUUAUAGGAAUUAAUACUCAACGAUACAAGAAUAUAUUAAUUGAAAUGAGUCAAAACUCAAUGAAAUUUUAAUUGAUGUGAAACUUAAACUAUUUUAUUCUAGUUCAAUAUUGAGACGAUUCAUAACGAUUGAUACAACCAGUAUCGAAACUACCGACUACCAUACUACAAAGCGAAAAGAAAAUAAUGGAAAUCAAUCAAAUUACAACUCAACUUACUUUCAUGCUUAGAAAAAAAACAGUUCUAAAAAAUAAUCAUCCAAGAAAAUAAAUAUAUAUAAGUUUUAUAGACCGUUACAAACUAAUAUACACUCAUAUAAGUCGAUAUUAAUCAAAACACAAUAAAUUUUUAACUGAAACGAAACUUAAACUACUUUAUAUUAAUUCAAUAUUGAGACGAUAGCCAAUUAUUAAGAAAAGAAAAACAAUGGAAAUCAAUCAAAUUAUAGGUCAACUUACUUUCAUGCUUACAAAAGAAAUUGCUAAAAUUAAAAAUUGAAAAAAUCCCAGAUUUCGAUUAUUAAAAAUCAUCUAUAAUAUAUAUAUAUAAAUAAGUAUUAUACUAUAUUAUAUACCUAGUGCUGGACCAUUGAUAGACCUUGCCGCUGCUUGAAAAAAUAAUAACCCCAACCUCUGCAUCACAUAAAAUGGACAAUUCUUUAGCUUUCUUCAACAACCCAUUUUGCCUCUUUGAAAACGUUACUUGCUUGCUAUUCAAAAUUUCAAUCUUUUUUAUUUGAAUUUUCCCUCUACCCAUCUGAAAAUUUUCUUCUUUCCUUUACUUUUUCCCGGAAAAUUUUUAAAGGAAAAGUUAAACCCCAGAUUUUUUUUUUCUUAAAUUUUGAAAAAAACCAAAGGUUUUUAUAACAACAAACCGAUCAAAGAAAAUAAGGCAAAAAAUUUAGGGGAUUGUAAAAGGAUUCUUUUUUUAAGAGAAAAGAAAAUAAGUAAGUAAUGUUUAUAUAUAACAAUGGUUUUCUUAAAUGGAAAUGGAAAAUGAUAUGGAAAAAGAAAAUAUGUGACCAAAAUUAGGGUGAAAGCUUGAAAGGUGACAGAUUUGAUACUAUAUCUACCAAUUAUCCAACUAUGGAAACUCUAUUUAUUAUAAGUUUAGUUUAUUUUUUCUAUUUAUCUUAAUUUCUCUACCUUUUUACUCUCCUGUUUUUGGUAUUUCAACUCAAAAUGGAUUUUAUUUUUGCUUUGGGUUUCUUUUUUUUAAUAUAAAAAGUGGUUUUUAAUUAUUUAUAUAUUAUUAAUGUGUUUUAACAAUUUUUGUUAGUGAAUAUUGAUUUUUUUUUUGUGAAUUACAAUAGGAGGGCAAAGCCCUAAUAACAACACGACUAGUGCAAUUCGAAUGUAGGCCACACUUGAGACGUUGAACACAAGUAUUUCACGAGGACAUAUAACACAUGUUUUUUGUUUUUAAAUUCAUGGCUAAAAUAAUAAAAAAAACCUCUUUAUUUUAUUGUAUUCAAAUAAUAAUAAAAACCAUGGUUUUAGUCGCACCGGCCGGUGCCGCCGUUCUACUGUUAUAGCGCAACAAGCAACACCCUUUUCUAUACUAAUGAAAAUUUUGGCUUGUACCGUUCGCAUUGACCGAAACAUGGUACACUUGCUGCUGCAUGAAUAGUGUUAAAAAAUAUAAAACUUUUAAUUGUAUGUUUUCUAUUAGACUAAUAUUUAAUUGAAAUGUAUUGACCAAUAAAAAAAAUAUUACACUAGAAAGUAAAGUUUAACAUUUAAAAUUUUUUUAGAGCAUACUUUUUCAUUUAAAAUAUAAAAAUUAAAAUAUAAUAAAAAAACUCACUCACCUCGUUAUCAUAGAAAAAUAUCCACUCGCCCUUAAACUUUUUUUAUUGAAAAAAUCCUCUCAUCCUUCGAUUUUUUUUUCUUCUUAAUUUUGAAUUUAUUAAAUGAUGAGUUUUUACUUGUGGAGUUUAUUAAUCAAUAUUUUAUAUAAUUGAUGAAUAGUUUUAUAUUAGAAAUUUAUUUAUAACAAUUUAUUUGAUAUUUGUAUAUUUAUUUAUAUAAAUAUAUUAAAUAUUUUAAAAAAUAUCUAUAAAUUCAAAGUGGUACAUAAAAUAGACUAGUAUCAAUACAUACCGGUUCUCAUAGAAAAGUAGUACUUACACCAAUGUGGUAAUGGCUACCUUGAAAGCAAGUAUGUGGGUGGCUAUAAUGUUUGAUGCUUUAUUUUCUUUGAAUAUUUUGCUUUGAUGCUUUUGAUAUGUGCUGAUCUUUGAGUGUAACCUUUGGGAUAUAUAUGGCCAUCUGAAUUUUUAUGAUUUGCUAUGCAUUGAUUUUGGUUGUUUUAUUAAUAAAUUUAUGUUUUGGAUUGAGAAAAAGAAUAAGAAAUUCAAAACACAAAAAAGAAAGUAGAGAAAGUGAACAUAAUAAUAUACGUGGUUCGCGAAUAUUCCCUACAUCCACGGGCAGAACCAAAAACGAAAUUCACUACUAAAAAUUGGAGAUUACAAUAGAAUUACAUCAUAAAAAUAAAAUACCUUGCCAAUAACUAUCCACAAACUUUGAAUGGAUUCAUGGUCUUAGAAAUUCGAAAAACUAAGAUGGACAUCUUUGAGAUUGGACAGAACAAUAUUUUGGGAACUCUGUUAUCUUACAUGUGUUAAAUUGAGCUCUCUAAUACCAUGUUGUAACGUGUACUGUAUCCCUCCAUUCAUCCUGCAAGGAUCAAUACCAUGUCUACAGUGAUGACGAAAUCUGUUGGCACUGAUAUCCUUAUGCAAUAACAGAAAUCUAUCCACAAAGAUCAACAAACUCUCACGUAAAAGACUUGUUCUUCUGAAAAACCAUUGGUUAAUAGUACUACGAAAUGUCAAAUAUUUUUAACUAAGAUCCCAUUAUCAUAUACCAAAAUAGCUUAGAUAUUGGAAGAUGCAAAUGAAAACAGGACAUUCAAUUUGCUGAAUAAAUGUUGCAGAGAAUUGACUAACCGCUUUACUAAAUCAAAUAAGCUGAAGCAGAUGAGUUGAAGUUCACUAUUUUUCGCCAAUUUAGCCUUCAAUGCCUGCAAAAAUUGAAUACAAAAUAUAUAAGAUUCAUUUCUGUUAUCAUGCUGUUCAUGAGGUCAAUCAGAUAUAUAAAAAAUAAAGCUAUGAAAUUUAUAAAUGCUUAAAAUCCAUUUCACACCUGUGGUUUGAGUGUGGAGAAAUCGAUACCAGAUUUUGCUGCUUAACUUUCAAUUUAAUUCCCUCGGGAUGACUGUUUUAAAAUCAAUUUUAACAAAAGGUAUGUGGGAAAUCUUGGACCACUCUCGUCCUUUACCCCUACUGCACCCUUCUUCUAGCUAGCAACGGGCAACGCCAAAUAAAUAGACGCUCAAGCGAGAGAAGCAUAUCUUUUUCUGGAAGAGAGGCGAGCUUAGGACAAUCAUAGAUGGCCAAUCGUUGAAGAGAGGUGAGGUGUUGUAAGCCCUUGGAGCACAUGAAUUCCAAAUUUUCAAAUCUAUGGAUGCUGAUAUCGGUGAGAGAAGGAGAAGCAUCAUUCCUAUCGCUUCUUCUGGAAAUGACACCACAUGUGAGCAUCCUUCACCGCUGAUGUUGAGUUUUUGAGGAGAGGUGAGUCUGUAAAAUCCCCAUUCAACAAGUGAUGUAUAAAUUUUGGGUGCGUUUGAGAUUUGAAGUGAUGUGAGGUUGGUAGGGAAACCCUCUUCUGGAAAGGAUAUGUCAGCUGAACACUUCCACACUGCUAAUUCUCGAAAGGAGGUGAAGUUGUUGAUGCACUUGGUAAGGGCUCUAAAAUUUUCACAACCCCCAAUUGAGAGAACUCUGAGAUUUGUGGUGGGCAACCCACUUUCUUCCAAUGAAACAAGAUUUGGACACCUAAAUAAUCGAAUCUCCUGAAGAUGGCUGAGCUUGUCUAAUCCCCGAGGUAAUGAUUUAAUUUUUUCAGCAUCAUGAAUGACAAUGCUUUCGAGAUCAGUGGUUUCAAGGAAGUCUUGGGCUAUGCAUUCCAACAUUGGACAAUCCCCGAUAAAUAACUGUUUAAGCAUUACGGGUAACUUGGCAUUUAAAACUAAGCUACUUAGCUUUGAACAACAUCGAAUUUUGAGAUGUUGAAACCGAUUGCAUAUAUCGUCCCUUGAUGAUAACCAUAUUAGAGAUGGACAGCAGCUUAUAUCUAAGCGCUCAAGAAGACAAGUGUUGGUACUCAUACUCUUAUUAGUAUUUUCUUUUUCAUCAACCAAAUAUUGCAAAUUCACGCAAUUCACAAUCCUCAGCUCUUUUAAAGCAGGGGGAAAGUUACUCUCUGCAAAACAAACCAAGCCGGGACAGUCUCCAAGUGUUAUUCUUGUAAUGAAUGGGAAAGCAUGUAAGGCUUCUGGUAGUCUACUGAGCCUUUCACAAUCUCUUAUAAACAGAGAUUCAACACCUGGAAUCUUGUCAAGUUGCAAUCUCUCCUCCUCUGCUGCCAAAGAGACCAAUUGGGGACAACUGACAAUCUCAAUGAAUCGGUGCCCGACUAAUCUUAACCCAAUUUGCGAUAAAGAUCCCAACUCCCAACCAGAGAUCUUAAAUGUUUCGGAGUUUGCAAAUCUCAAAAGUAUCCUCUCUGCCGAAAUAUUACACUUUGAAAUAUUUGAAAGAGACGCAUGUUUCAAAGAGGUAACCUUCUGUACAGACAAAGAACCUUCAUCCACCAAUUCUUCACACCCUGCAAUGCUUAAUUCACACAGCAAGGGAAAACUUGAAAUUGAAACUACCAGUCUCUGACACUCAUAGAUUUCAAGUUUCUGCAAGGAUUGAAGGAUGGUUGGCAACCUUCCCAACAAUAGAGGACAUUUUGUGAUUGAAAGAAAACGAAGGCUGGGGAAUUUCGAUACUUGCUCAUCAUCUUCACAAAGGUCCCACUCCUCCCAAUUCAGCAUAUUGUCAAAGCACAAAGAUUCUAAUGAUGCAAAAGCAUUUGAUUGAUUUUCUCCUAACAACUCAGCACCAAUCUUGUGUACUUGACGCAAACCACCAAUUGAAAGAUCUUUUAACAACAGCAACCUUCCAAUCGAUGGUAGAGAUUUGCAAUUUUGACAGUUGCGGAGCUCCAAUGACAACAUAUUUUUGAAGGAAGAAUCUGCAAUCCAAGUAGAGAAUUUUGCACCACUAAAAUUCUGAAUGACGAGUUGCUCAAGCUUUUUCGAAGGAUGAAGAGAAUCUAACACCCAUUCUUCAACUUCUUUUUUCCUUGUGUCCCAACUCCAUUUCAAUACCAAUCAAUCAAUCCCCUGCUUCUCAUUUAACUUGGCUUCCCCUGCAUCUUCAUUAACAUUCUCCAACCCAGAAAGACAAAAAUAACCUUUGAGGUUUGACAAAUAUUUCAAUUCUCUGAUACUAUGUCCAUCACCUUCCCCUAUGAUAAAAUUUGAUAACCUUUGAAGAUUCGUUAGCUUAUCAAUUCUGAAAGGAAUCCUUUCUAUUAAGUCAGCAACUUUGAUAUUGAGAUAAUGUAAGUUGACAAGAUUUCCCAUCUUUGAAGGUAACCUUUGAAGCUUCCAACACCGUCUCAAUAAUAAAGUUUCCAAAUGGUAAAGAGUGCACAAAGAAUCAGGUAGGCAUUUGAUAUGGGUGUUAGAAAAAUUCAAGUAGCGAAGAUGUUUUAAAUUUUCAAAAACAUCAGGUAACUCUUUUAUCUUAUACCCACUCAAACAAAGCACCCCUAAGUAGCCAAGUCUUGGCAACAGAUCAAGCAAAACAACAUUAGUUAAAAAAGGCCCCCAAACAUAAUUUCUAGAAAAUAUUAAGGGUAGAAAAGUACGUAAUGAUUUCACUUGAUCAAAUGCUUCGAACUUCUUCACUGUGUCAUAUUCUCCAGCAAUAUAAGAAGAAUGCCGAGUGCGAUUCGAUAACUUUUGUUGCAUAUCACCCUCCUGUUUGGAGCAUAUGUCUCCCGCAACUACUUGAGCUAAAUCAUUGAUGAAGUCAUGCAUUACAAAUCAGGACUCAUCUUUACUGGAUGUCUGAAAAAAUGACCUUGACACUAGAUCUUGAAAAUAUUGAUUUCCAAUAUCUUUAACUUGAGGCAUAGCCUUUUGUUGCAAGAGACCUUCUGCUCUCCAUAACAAGAUAAUUUCUUCUUUUUCAAAUUCAUAAUCUUUAGGAAUUAUGGAGCAAUAUGCAAAACAUCGUUUCAAGUAUGACGGAAGAUGAUGGUAGCUUAAUCGCAAAGCUGGAAUUAUGCCACACUGCUCUUCUGGUAAGUUCCAUAUCUCACUCUCAUAUAUUCUUUCCCAUUCUCGAUGAUAUUUAACUGUGCGUAGCAAGCUUCCAAUAGCUUUUGCAGCCAAAGGUAAGCCAUUGCACCUUCUAAUAAUUUUCUCUCCAAUUUCUUUGAACUGGGGAUGUCCAUCGAAAUUUCUUGCUUUUAAUGCAUGCUGUGUAAAUAUCGAUAAACAAUCAUCAUCUGAUAGUUUAUCCAAAUGAAAAACUUUGAGGGGAUCCACAAUAGAUGAAACAAUUUGAAGACGAGUGGUUACAAUGAUAGUGGUCCCUGCUCCAAACGGAGACCGUAAGAUGGUCCAAUCAUUAUAAUUCUCGUUCCAAAUGUCAUCUAAAACAAGCAAGAAUCUUUUCCCAGACAACUUCUCCUUCAACUUAACUUGAAGUAAAUCCAAGUUACUGUAAUCACAUGACUCAGAAGUGAUGGACUGUAAAAUUGCCUUUGUUAUAGCAAUUGCAUCAAAAUUAUCAGAAACGCAUACCCAGGCCUUGAGAUCAAAAGACUCGUUGAUGGUGGCGUCAUUGUAAACAAGCUGAGCAAGAGUUGUUUUACCCAUCCCUCCCAUACCGACGAUGGAAAGGACUGAAACUCCAUUGUAGUUAUUACCUUUGAGCAACUCAAUCAUUUCUGUCUUCUCCUUGUGUCUGCCAACAUACUCCACAACUCCAUCCAGUACGGAAGUUGGUUGCAGCCUGGGUUGCUUUCCCUUGGAGGUUACAGCUUGAGACAAAAUCUCACUCAACCCCAAACUACUUGUUGAAGCCGUGGCCUGCAUUGCAACAAAGAACCAACAGCAACAAAUUGGUCAAAAGACCAGCAGCAGCAGCAAAUUGUACAAUUUUAGCUGCUAUACUAUUUUGUAGCAAAGAAAUGGAGUUGGUUCAGUUAUAAAAUUAUUUUUUGAAUACUUGUUCCUAUGGAACUUAGCCUAAAUCUUUGUAAUGAGUUAGCUAAGUUAGUAGGAAAGAUUGACUGAUGUAAUAGCUGGUAUGCCAGCUUUCUUUUGUAUACAAGUUGCUAUAUUUUUUAGUAAGUAUUAAGUAAGAGCAGUUAAAUUAGUAGGUAACUGUCAAAUACUUUUGUAACCUUCAUAUAUUCAAAAUUUGAAUGAAACUAUGAUGACUUUUCAUUUUACAAAUUUUCUUGCUGAGUUCUUUUCUUUUGUUUUUCUUUCAUUCGUUUUUUACUUUCUUUGCUACUGCCAUUUAUCCAACAAAUGGUAUCAAGAGCUUUCAGUCUUUGAGGGCCUUGGUUGUACACUGUCACUAAGCAAAUUGUGUUUGAAACAAAAGAAGAAGAGGUUGUUUUGCUUGCUGAAAAAUGAGUUUUACACCACCUCUUCCACCUGUCUUUGCUGGAGAAAAUUACAACAUCUGGGCAGUGAAAAUGAGAACAUACAUGCAGGCACACGACCUGUGGAAUGUUGUUCUCAAUGACACUGAGCCACCACCACUAAGAGCCAACCCGACUAUAGCCCAGAUUAGGCAGCACAAUGAAGACUGUGCCAAGAAGUAUAAGGCUAUGUUGUGCCUUCAAAGUGGAGUUUCUGAUGUUAUUUUCACAAGAAUAAUGGCUUGUGACUCUCCAAAGCAGGCCUGGGACAAACUCAAGGAGGAGUUUCAGGGGUCUGACUAGACCAGGCAACAGCAGCUGAUCAACAUGAGAAGAGAUUUUGAAAAUCUCAAAAUGAAGGACUCAGAAACCAUCAAGCAGUAUGCUAACAGAAUCAUGGCUACUGUCAACAACAUAAGGCUGCUUGGGGAAGAAUUCAGUGACCAAAGAGUGGUUGAGAAGGUCAUAACAACCUUGCCAGAGAAUUAUGAAGCAAAAAUUUCUUCUCUGGAAGAUUCAAGGGACUUGUCAACAAUCCCUUUGACAGAGCUUAUAAAUGCUCUCUAUGCUCAAGAGCAGAGAAGGGCAAAUAGGCAGGAGGACCACUAUGAAGGAGCUUUUCAGGCUAGAAGCAGAGAAAGCUCAAGUGCAAACUUAAAUGCCAAAGGCAAGAAGCCCUGGACUGAGAAGAAGAAGAAAGAACCUGUCAAAAGGAAGUUCCCACCUUGUGUCCAUUGCAAGAAGACUACUCAUCUUGAGAAAUACUGCUGGUACAGACCAGACAUUCAAUGUAGAGCCUGCAAGCAAUUUGGCCACAUUGAAAAGGUCUGUAAGAGCAAGCGAAAACCACAACCACAAUUUCAAAGCCAAGCUCAAGCUGCAGAAGAGGUUGAAUCACCAGAAGACCAUGUCUUUUCAGCAUCAUGCUUUGCAAGCUCGAGCAAAGUUAGUAAAAUAUGGCUGAUUGACAGUGGAUGUACCCACCAUAUGGCUUCUGAGAAGAGUAUAUUUAAGGAGCUUGACACCACCUUCAAGUCCAAAGUCAAAAUUGGCAAUGGUGAGCUGCUGGAGGCAAAAGGGAAAGGCAAGGCUUUGAUAAGCACUAAGUCAGGUAUUAAAACCAUUUUAGAGGUUCUCUAUGUACCUGACAUUGACCAAAACUUGCUAAAUGUUGGCCAGCUAUUGGAUAAGGGUUACUCUCUGAUUUUUGAAGGCAAAAACUGUUUGAUCAAAAAUGCUGCUGGUGAAGUGUUGACUACAGUGGCUAUGCAAGACAGAACCUUCAUUGUGGAUGUGAAUCAACUGCAAGCCAAGGCAUACGCAUCUCAGUCUGAUGAGACAGACUUGUGGCACAGGAGGAUGGGGCAUGUGAACUACAAUUCACUGAACAUACUGCACAAAAUGGAUUUGGUCAGUGAUAUGUCCAAAAUUGAGCCAAAGGAUGCUGUAUGUAAGGUCUGUCAGCUAGGCAAACAGACCAGAUUACCCUUUCCAGUCAACAAGGCAUGGAGAGCACAAGGGAAGCUUCAGCUUAUUCAUACAGACAUCUGUGGACCAAUGAAGACUACCUCCUUAAAUGGCAGCAGGUACUUUGUACUCUUCAUUGAUGAUUAUUCAAGGUUCUGUUGGGUAAAUUUUUUGAAGCAUAAGUCAGAUGUUUAUGACUUUUUCUGCAAAUUUAAAGCCUUGGUCGAAAACCAAGCAAAUUGCAAACUAAAAUGUUUGAGGUCUGACAAUGGUUCUGAGUAUGUAUCUCAGAAGUUUCAAAAAUUGUGUGAUGAUGCUGGAAUUCAACACCAAUUGACUACUGUGUACACACCACAGCAAAAUGGUGUUUGUGAAAGGAAAAACAGAACAGUCCUUGAUAUGGCUAGGUGUUUGUUAUUUGAGGCUAAAAUGCCUAAUGUUUUUUGGGCUGAAGCUGUGAAUACAGCUAUUUACCUGUUGAAUAGGUUGCCAACUAAUGCAGUCAAAGGAAAAACUCCCUUUGAAGCCUGGUUUGGACAGAAACCAUCUGUCUCUCAUUUGAAGGUAUUUGGCUGUCUAUGUUAUGUGUUGGUACCUGAGGAGAGAAGAACUAAGUUAGACAGGAGGUCCAUGCCUGGGGUGUUUGUUGGCUACAGCAAUGUGAAGAAAGGAUACAGAGUCUUUGAUCCACUGACCAAGAAGGUUGUAGUGAGCAGAGAUGUGAAAUUCAGUGAAGCAAGUAGCUGGAAAUGGGAUGGAAUUGAAGCAAAUUUGCCAGAUGGAGAAGAGAUUGAUGUUGAUCUGCAGUAAGCUGAAAAUGAAGAAGUAACUGAAAAUGGCUAUGAUGAUGAACCUGUUCGAGGCACUAGGACAUUAACAGACAUCUAUGAGAGAUGUGCAGUAACCAUAGUAGAGCCUUCAUGUUUUGAAGAAGCUGCAAAAGAAAAGUGCUGGCAGGAUGCUAUGGAAACUGAAUUUAAAAUGAUUCAGAAAAAUGAUACAUGGGAGCUUGUGGAUAGACUUGAAAACAGAAGAAUCAUUGGUGUCAAAUGGGUCUUUAGGACUAAAAACAAUGCUGAUGGUACUUUGAACAGACACAAGGCCAGAUUGGUUGUAAAAGGUUAUAGUCAGCAGCAAGGGGUUGAUUUUUCUGAGACUUUUGCACCUGUUGCAAGGUUGGACACUAUCAGACUGCUGCUUGCUUUGGCAGCUCAAAAGCACUGGAAGGUGCACCAUUUAGAUGUUAAGUCAGCCUUUCUAAAAGGCUUUCUUAAUGAAGAAAUAUUCACUGAGCAACCUGAGGGUUUUGAGGUCCCUGGUGAAGAACAGAAGGUUUACAAGUUGAAAAAGGCCUUAUAUGGCCUAAAACAGGCUCCAAGAGCCUGGUAUGAGAGGAUUGAUGGCUACUUAGCAAUGCUCGGGUUCACAAAGAGUAUCAGUGAGCCUACACUCUAUGUUAAGAAGGAUCAGAAGGAAACUUUGCUAAUUGUUUCCUUGUAUGUUGAUGAUCUGCUAGUCAUUAGCUGUAAAGAUGAACUGGUAGAAGACUUUAAGAAGCAGAUGCAACAUGUCUUUGAGAUGACUGACCUUGGUCUAAUGACCUAUUUUCUUGGUAUGGAAAUCAAACAAGGAAGUGAUGGUAUUUUCAUAAGUCAACAAACAUUUGCUUCCAAGGUGCUUGAAAAAUUUUGCAUGUUGAAAUGCAAAUCAGUCACUACACCAGUUGCAUUGGGGGAAAAAUUAUCAAGUGUCAGUGAGCAUGAUCGAGUAGAUGAGAGAGCAUAUAGAAGCUUAAUUGGUUGUUUGCUUUAUUUAACAGCAACUAGACCAGACAUUGUCUAUACUGUUAGUCUACUUUCAAGGUUUAUGCACUGCAGUAAUGUGGCACAUUUGAAGGCAGCAAAAAGAGUGUUAAGGUAUGUCAAAGGAACCAUCGAUGCUGGUGUAAAGUUUUGGAGGGCAAAUGAGCUGAAACUCUUAGGCUAUUCUGAUAGCGAUUGGGCAGGGUCAGUUGAUGACAUGAGGAGCACUUCAGGUUAUUUUUUCACCUUAGGCUCGAGUGUUUUCAGCUGGAGUUCGAAGAAGCAACAAACUGUUGCACAAUCUACAGCAGAGGCUGAGUAUAUCUCAGCUGCAGCAGCUGUGAACCAAGCCAUUUGGCUUAGGAAGAUUUUGGAUGAUUUGAAUGAAAAUCAAGCUCAGCCUACUGAGAUUAGAGUGGAUAAUCAAUCAGCUGUGGCCAUAGCCAAGAAUCCAGUAUUCCAUGGUAAGACUAAACACUUCAAAAUCAAAUUCCAUUUUGUUAGAGAAGCUGAGCAAUCUAGGGAGGUUAGCUUAGUUCAUUGCAGCUCAGAAAUUCAGCUAGCUGACAUUUUAACUAAACCAUUGGGAGCCAACCGAUUUAAUGCUUUGAAGGAAAGGAUUGGUGUUUGUUGCAUACAGACCAAGGAGGAGUGUUGAAGCCGUGGCCUGCAUUGCAACAAAGAACCAACAGCAACAAAUUGGUCAAAAGACCAGCAGCAGCAAAUUGUACAAUUUUAGCUGCUAUACUGUUUUGUAGCAAAGAAAUGGAGUUGGUUCAGUUAUAAAAUUAUUUUUUGAAUACUUGUUCCUAUGGAACUUAGCCUAAAUCUUUGUAAUGAGUUAGCUAAGUUAGUAGGAAAGAUUGACUGAUGUAAUAGCUGGUAUGCCAGCUUUCUUUUGUAUACAAGUUGCUAUAUUUUUUAGUAAGUAUUAAGUAAGAGCAGUUAAAUUAGUAGGUAACUGUCAAAUACUUUUGUAACCUUCAUAUAUUCAAAAUUUGAAUGAAACUAUGAUGACUUUUCAUUUUACAAAUUUUCUUGCUGAGUUCUUUUCUUUUGUUUUUCUUUCAUUCGUUUUUUUCUUUCUUUGCUACUGCCAUUUAUCCAACACUACUUCUUCGUGUAGUCAAACUAUUCAGUGAAUCAGUGAUGUCUUUCACCUUCGUGAUCAUAGAAUUAUUAAACUGAAAAGAAGUGGGAGGGAAAAUACUACGAAUAAUCCUUUCAGGAAUGAAUUUCCGGAUCUUACUAGGUCUGGCUUGAGCUUGAGUGUCUUGGAGAUUGAGGCGUAACUCUUCAUAAGCAAACUCGUCCAAGAUGUCAUCCACAUCGUAAGCCAAGUCCUGGAGAUCCUCCAACCAUUUCUUCACACCCAUGUUCUUGAUCUGCUUCUCCUCUGCAUCGUCCAACACUGCUUGGAUAUCAGGCAAUAUGGACUGCCACUGCUUGAGCUGCUGGUGGAGUUGGUAGUGAUCAGCAACAAAGUUGAGUGCAGAGUCAAGCGAUUUGCCCACCAACAGGUCCAGGAACCCAGAAAGAGCAGCCUCUCCAAUGACAGACAUGGUGGAAUUGUGAGAAAUAAGGUGACAAGAGAAAUGAGCAAAGCCAAAAUGGAAAGCCAGGGAACAAAAAAGAAGGAAAGGGAAAUGGAAUCUGCAAAAUUAGAGAAAGUUGAAGAAAUUGGCACAAUAUCCUUGAAGCAUGUAAUAUAAUAAUUCAGACUAUGAGCAAUGAGUUGGAAGUCACUGGGUACAGAUAAAGAAGCUGCUUUUCGUGUUAAUGGGAAAGGAAAAAUGGAAAUGAUUUGAAUUUUGAUGCUCUUCUUUUCUCUUACUUUUGGUCAUUAUCCUAAAUUGACCUUCACCGUAUAUGUAAUUUAAUUAAGCAUCAAAGUAUUAUAUUCCUCACAACUUUAUCGCCAAAAUAUCGCCAACACCAAUACUCUAAAUUUUUGAAUCACAAAUAUUUACAUUAUUUAGCAUAUAGAAAAAAAUCCAAAAUUAAAUGAUAAUUUUUACAAUUUUAUAAUUUUAAUAGUCUGUAUCUUUAUAAAAUUUAAAAGAUUAUAUCAUAUUUUUAUCAUAUUUAGGGGAGCAAAGUAUAAUUUUAUAUUUACUAAUUUAAAAUUUUAAAAUAUUUAAAGAGUCUAAAUGAAAAAUUUUUCAUUUUAGAGGACCUUGCCAACCCCCUAGCUACGCCCGAGAUUGGUUGUAGCUAUAUUGUUAAUUAGCUUACUAUUUUACUAUUUAUAGUAUUAUUUAAACUUAUGACUAGUUGAUGUCACGAAUUAAUCGGGUACCAACUUGGUUAAAGAAAAUAUGAAAAUGUCACUCUAGUCUUUUUAUUAUAAAUAAAAAUAAAAAUUUGUGCAUGGGAUUUUGAACCCAUACCAACUAUAUUAAUAAAUUAUUAAUUUACCAUUCAACUAAAACUUUAAUAUUUUUAUACAUUUUAAUUUUAUUGUGCACACUUUAUUGUUAAUUAAUUUCAAACCUUAUGCAUUAAUUAUUUAUUGCAUGUUAUAUUCAAACGCACACUUAUAUUCUAAAUAUAUGAUUCCCGAACAUACAUGUGUGAUAAGUAUACUAAUUGUAACCUGUCUUCCUAAUUGUUGUCCUAAUUUAUGAUUUGCUUUCUUACUAGAUCUGUGAUACGAGCCAAGGAUGUGACACUCAAAGGGUUGUCUUUUCUAGUGGUUCAAUCACUCGAAGCAAGGCACGUCAAUUAAAAUCAAAGAUGAAUGCUUUUGUCCAAGACUUUGUUGCUACAAAUUUAAUUCAUCAUGUUCGUGACAUUGACAAAUACGGGAAUGCAAUUCACUGGACCAAUCUUGGAAUAGUGAAAGCCCAUAAAUUGGUGGAUUAAUCUUUUUUGUAUCUUAUUAUUAUUAUUAUUUACUUAAUUCUCAUUGGUUAGGACAUAUCAUUUAUGAGUUAAGUAAUUUUAUUGGUUAGGUUAUUAUUUAUUUAUUUUCUUAGAUAAUUUUAAAGAGUUUUAUUAGGAUUCAAUUACUUUUUAAAGAGUUUUUAUUAGGAUUCAAUUGCUCUUGAAAGAGUUUUAUUAGGAUUCAAUUACUCUUGUAAUUUGCCUAUAAAUAGGCUUGUUUGUUAUUAUUUAUUUAUUUUCUUAGAUAAUUUUAAAGAGUUUUAUUAGGAUUCAAUUACUCUUUAAAGAGUUUUUAUUAGGAUUCAAUUACUCUUGAAAGAGUUUUAUUAGGAUUCAAUUACUCUUGUAAUUUGCCUAUAAAUAGGCUUGUUUUCUACACAUUGGGGGAGGAAUAAAAGAAGAGCAUUUGUUUUCUUUCAAAUUUGUGUGAGGCAAAUUUUUGGGAGUAGAGUGAUUCUUCUCUUGCUAUUUAGUUUGGAGUUUGUUACUUUCGAGGGUAUUUCGGAGUUGCAAAUAUUCAAAUUUCUUUCCCGUUCAUCGGUGUUUCUAGAGGUUCUUCUUCUAGGGGUUUCGUAGGGAGCCGCUCAAUCAUUGCGUUUUUGGUUACAAGUUAACCAAGGGUUCUAUAGGGCAAAUCUAUCAUUAUUAUUAUUAUUAUUAUUAUUUAACUAAUUUUAUUUAUUCUCGUUUUUUUUAUUUCUAAUUUGUGUUUCUCUUGUGUCUAGAUCCGGGAUUCCGCAUCAAUCUGUUAGCCAAACUCAAAUUAUCUUCCUUUUAGAUCAAUUAAUUGACUUAAACCUAACUCAAUUACAUUUCUUUCUAGAGUGAUUAACUAAAAUAAUCGACCGAGAUUGUUUCUAUUAUUAUAUUUAUGAAAUCAUGAUGGUUUAGUUAUUGGUAUUUUUUGUUGGGGUUAGGUUAAUUUAAUUUUCAAUUUUUCUAAACUAAAAUUUACAUCUAGAUUUGAUGAUGAUUGAAAACAUUUCUGUCUUUUUGGGUUGAAAACAUCACUGGAAAUGCAAAAGGAGAGAAGGUGAAGCCUUUCAAAUUCUCCACAUGGCAAAUGGUGCUGACAUGUCAGAUGGGCCGCUGUGCCAUACUAUGUUAGAAAAAUUAUAAAAACAUUUUAAAAUUAAUAAAACAUAUAUAUACAUCUAGAAUGAAUCUGGACAAAUGGUUAUCCCAAUUCAAAUGAAUUUGGACAAAAGAAUAUAGCCUUUAUACCAAAGCAAUUAGUUUUAUAUUAGAGGUAUUAGAAUUCACGUUCUAUUUUGUUAAUCUACUUAUACAUGUUAUCUAAUAUGUUAAUUUUGUCUCAAAUCCGAAAAUAAUUGGUGCUCAAAAUGAUUCAAACCCAAGAUGACAUAAAUUUGAGAUGACCCUAUUUGAAAAACUUGAAUGGCAAACUCAAAUGGUCGUAACCCAAAAUGGCUCAAACAUGAAACAACUUAAACCCAAAAUUGACCCGAACCAUAAUGACUCUCUAUUUAUAGCAAUAAUAGAAAGACAAAAUAGUAAAUAUGCAAGGGCAAAAGAGUAAAAACCGUAGGGUUACCAUUUCCACGCAACAGUAAAAGAUAUAUUCUGUUGCCAAAUUUUUCGCAACCGUCAAAAAUCAAAAAAUGUUUUAAAGAAAUUAUUUUCUGGAAAAUAAUAUUGAUUAAAAUUAGAGAUAAAUUAUGGAUGAAAAUAUUGAAUUAUUUCAAAUGAUGAAGAGCAACUUUAAUAAUGUAGAGGGACUGGAUCUUGUGUACCUAGGAUGAUACUUCGAAGGCUAUUCUCAGAAGAGUCGAUCUGUAGCUCAAGUGGUACCAUAUAUCUCAACAAUUGACCUAUAUUCAAUAGGUUAAGGGUUCGAAUCUCAUCAAAUGUCGCCUCUUAGUAGUGAUUGUAAGUCCACAUACGGUCAAUGCACCCCUUUUUGUGAGUUGUACAUGGCUCUCCAAUGAUUGGGAAACAAAACCCUUUCACAGGUGACAAUACCUUCUGUUGUUGAGAGACUGGAUCGGCAUCCCCAAAGACGACACUUCAAAGACUUCUCUCGAAUAAGCCGUUCCCAUUAACAAAUAAAUAAUUAUUCUACACAACCCUAUUCUAUCUUUUAAAUUUAUUAUUUUGUCCCUUAAGAUAUCCAUUAAUCUUUUUAUGUAUUUCUAAUAUACAUCCUAUAUAUAUAUAGUAAAAUGAUAUAUAUAUAUAUAAUCUACACUAAAUAUGAGAAGAUUAUAAAUAUAAUAAUCUAUAAUUUUUAUUUAUAUAUGCCUUUUUCCAACUACGGCGUUCUGAUUAUUUUUUUUAAAUUCUUUUUCAUUUUUUGACCAGUCCUAUUUUAUGAAAAUUCAGAUGUGUAUAUGAAAAUAUAAUUUCAUAUAUUAUUUAUCAUUCACAUUCAAAUCCAAUUAACAUAAACUUGAAGAUUCAUUUCUAACUCAUUAGUUAUUAUUUGUAAUUUCCUCUUCAUUUUCUUUCCCAUUUUCGAUUGUGUAACACGCAUGAAUCUGGAUGAAAAAAAUACAAUAGUUUAGUUGAAAUGACAAAGUUAAGACUUUGCAGAUAUGAGUAUCUUAAUAAUUUAUUUUGGAUUUAAACUAUCUUUUUUAUAGAUUUUAUAUAAACACAUAAAUAAAAAGACAAAAAGCAAACUCAUAAUAUUAUUUGUACCUUUUAAAUAGAAACCACUUUUUUUGAAGUUAUUUUUUAACUAAAUUGAUAUUUAGUUAAACUCGUGACUCCAACUCAAUUAGAUAAUUAAAUAUAGUAUAAAUAACAAAAAAUAGAAUUGAAAUUGACAUACACAUAUGUUGUGUGUAGCCUUAAAUACUCCUCUUUCAUGGUGUUCACCUCAAUUCAGGGGCGGAGCUAAAAAUAUUUUUUAGAGGCUGAAAUAAAGUUGUAUAUUUUUAUGAUGCAAAAAUGAAAUUUUCUUAUUUUAAUAACUUAUAUCUUUAUAAUUUUUAAAGAAUCAUAUCAUUUUUUUCUCAUUCUUGAGGGGGUCAAAGUGUAAUUUUACCACAUACUAAUUUUAAAAAAUAAAUUAUAAAAGGACUAAAGGUGAAAAUUUUCAAUUUAGGGGGAUCGAGGCCCCUGCCAACCCCGUUGGCUCCACCCCUGCCUCAAUUCCUUGCAACUUCUGCUUAUUUAACAAAAAAAAUAGAAAUGUAAUUAUUAUUGUCGACUGAGUCUUAACUCAGUUGGCAUCAACAAUUUAAAAAAAAAAAUUUGGAACAUGCUUUUUCAUUUAAAAUAUGAAAAUUAAAAUAUAAGAAAAAAAACUCACUCACCUCAUUAUCAUAGAAAAGUCUUCACUCACCUUUCAGCUUUUUUUUUUUUAUUAAAAAAACCUCUCAUCCUUCGACUUCUUUUUUCUUCUUAAUUUUGAAUUUAUUGAAUGAUAAAUUUUUACUUGUAGAGUUUAUUAAUCAACAUUUUAUAUAAAUGAAUAUUUUUAUAUUUGAAAUUUAUUUAUAUAAAUAUAUUAAAUAUUUUAAAAAAUAUCGAUAAAUUCGAAAUUGUACAUGAAAUAAACUAGUACUAAUAUGUACCGAUUUUCAUAGAAAAGUAGUGCAUCCACCAAUGUGGUAAUGGCUACCUUGAAAGGAACUAUGUGGCAUACUUGUUUGCAAAUAAAUGGGUUAAACCAUGUUGAGUUAGUAUUGUGGGUAGCUAUAAUGUUUGAUGUUUUGUUUUCUAUGAAUAUUUUGUUUUGAUGAUUUUGAUUUGUGCUGAUAUUUGAGUGCAACCAUUGGGAUAUAUAUGGCUACCUGAAUUUUUAUGAGUUGCUAUACAUUAAUUUACUGUGGUUGUUUUAUUAAUAAAUUUAUGUUUUGGAUUAAGAAAAAAAAUUAAGAAAUUCAAACACAAAAAAGAAAGUAGGGAAAGUGAACACAAUGAUAUACGUGGUUCAGGAAUAAUCCCUACAUCCAUGGGCAGAACCAAAAAUGAAAUUCACUAUUAAGAAAUGGAGAUUACAAUGGAAUUACAUCAUAAAAUAAAAUACCUCGCCAAUAAUUAUCCACAAACUUGGAGCAAUUUUCUAAAUGAACAUCAGCUAUACACUUUCCGCGUUUUGAGAAAUACAUGGCAAUAAUAAAUAACAAGUGACCAACAAUCUCAAAAUGUCGAAAACAAUACUUUAUUUAAAGCAUCCUAGUCUCUUAUCAAUCAUCAAUGGAGACCUAAGACAGAUUCAAGAUUUGUGUAGAUAGAAAUAGUUGAUACUAAAAGCAUUAGAAACCAAACUUACAAUGUUGUGCCGUUGUUGUGCCCAUAAGCUGGUAUUGCCCUCUUUGGAUGCCCACCAUUCAAGGGUUUAUCACCCAAAGGUACGUACACCUCCCCAGUGGUACCAUUUGGCCUUUUAUCUGCCACCAAUUUCAUGGUUCCAAAAGCUGAAUGAAAGUACAAGGCUAAAUAAAUAGCAUAUUUGGCUCCACAACUACAACUUUGUACCAUGCACCAAAAUAUGAUCCAACACAAGAAAGGAAUGUCAGAAGAACAAAUUCUCCAUAUAACCUAUACUUACCCUAUCAUAAACAUUGAUAACAUCACAGUUGAAGCCUUUCAAAGCAGGGGAAAUUCAUAUAAAGAUUGGUAGAAAAUAUGCCAAUCUACCGGACCGGAAAGCUGAAAAGCAACAUUAAAAGAGAGCUGCAAUGAAACUAGUUCCAAACUGCUGCAGUAUAUAUAUCAUUUGAUUCAUUUAACUCAUACCUCAAAGUCAAAAGCAAGAGAGUCGAUAUAUAGCGAGUCACUUAGUCGCUGCUAUUUUUGGGAACACUGAGGCUGGAAGUGAAAACCCCAAAUUGCACCUCAGUGAACUCUGUUGUGUUUAUGUUAAAUUGAGCUCUCUAAUGCCAUGUUGUAACGUGUACUGUAUCCCUUCAUUCAUCCUGCAACGAUCAAUACCAUGUUUACAGUGAUGACGAAAUCUGUUGGCACUGAUAUCCUUAUGCAAUAACAGAAAUCUAUCCACAAAGAUCAACAAACUAUCACGCAAAAGACUUGUUCUUCUGAAACACCAUUGGUUAAUAGUACAACGAAAUCUCAGAUACUUUUAACUAAAAUCCCAUUCCCAUAUACCAAUUUCAUAGCAACUGCUUAGAAAUUAGAAGAUGCAGAUGAAAACAGAACAUUCAAUUUGCUGAAUAAAUGUUGCAGAGAAUUGACUAACCGCUUUACUAAACCAAAUAAGCUGAAGCAAACCAGUUGAAGGUCUCCUCUAUUUUUCGCCAGUUUAGCCUUCAAUGCCUGCAAAAAGUAAAUACAAAAUAUAUAACACCAAUUUCUAUUAUCGUGUUGUUCAUGAGGACAAUCAGAUAUAUAUAAAGAAAAGGUAUGAAAUUGAUAAAUGUUUAAAAUGCGUUUCACACCUGUGGUUUGAGUGUGGAGAAAUCGAUGCCAGAUUUUGCUGCUUAAAUUUCAAUUUAAUUCCCUCGGGAUGACUGUUUCCAUAUCAAUUAGAACACAAGGUAUGUGGGCAAUCUUGGACCACUCUCGUCCUUUACCCCUACUGCACCCUUCUUCUAGCAACGGGCAACGCUGAAUACAUAGAUGCUCAAGCGAGAGAAGCAUAUCUUUUUCCGGAAGAGAUGUGAGCUUAGGACAAUCAUAGAUUCGCAAUUUUUGAAGAGAGGUCAGGUAUUGAAAGCCCUUGGAGCACAUGAAUUCCAAAUUCUCUGUAUUUAUAUUCAGAUAUAUAUAGUGGGUAAUUAAGCAUUUUAUUGACAUACAAUAACCUUUUAUGUUAAAUGUUCGAAUCUGGACUUGAGCUAAGAAUAAGUGUCGAAUAUCGAUAUAUAUUAAUAUAGAUGUGAUGAAUUUUUUAAAAUCGAGAAACAUUCCUCUUAUAUAAAUAUUCAAAUUUGUGUCAAACACGCAUAUAAAACAUAAUUACUUUAGAAAAAAAUGGAUUAAUAUAGGGAUAUAAAAUGUACCUGUAAUCGAGAUCUUUUAAGCUGCUCCAUUAGAAUUUGCUCCUACAACAAUAAAACUUCAGUUUCUAGUGCUCACAAUUAGGCUCCUAAUGAGAUUAUUUUAAGUUUGUGUUUGUAGGAGAGUUACUAAACAUACUAAAUUUAUGUUUGUUUGGAGUUAAUAUUGAUUAAAAUUAGAGAUAAUUUAUGGAUGAAAAUAUUAAUUUAUUUCAAAUGAUGAAGCAUAGCAACUUUAAUAAUGUUGAGGGAUUCGACCGGCGCAUUCAAGGAUGAUACUUCGAAGAUUUCCCUCAAAGGAACUGAUCUGUAGCCAAGUGGUACCAUAUACCCCAAUAAUUGACCUAUAUUCAAUAAGUUAGGGGUUCGAAUCUCACCAAGGGCGAGACGCUCAAGUCGCCUAUUGGUGGGUGGUUGUACGUUCAUAUACGGUCAAGGCGUCCCUCUUUGUGAACCGUACAUGGCUCUCCGUAAAGUGGGGGACAAAACCCUCUCCUAAGGGACAAUACUUUUCAUUGUUGAGAGACUGGAUCGAUAUCCCCAAAACCGAUUUUUUGAAAACUUCUCUUGGAGAAGCCAAUCCCCCUCAACAAAUAAAUUACACUACACAACCCUAUUUCGUCUUUUAAAAUUAUUAUUUUGUCCCUUGGGAUAUAUCCAUUAAUAUUUUCUGUAUUUCUAAUAUACAUGCUAGAUAUAUAUACUAAAAUGAUAUAUUUAUAUAAUAUGAGAAGCUUAUAUAUAUAAAUAUAAUUUGUAGUAAUAUUAAUGCCAGUACCUUUUGUUGCUCAACUGAUGCCAUCCCUUCGUUUAAUUGAUUCUCCAGCUGUUUUAAUUCUUUGAAACUCAAAUCAUCUAGUUCCUUUCCAAUUAAGCCUCCUGCAAAUCACACCUCAAAUUUUACCUAAUCAAAUACUUAUUUAUUUAUUUAUUUUUUUACGUAUUAACAACUAUCACUCGUAUUUAUACAUAUUCAGAUAUAUGUAUGAAGAUGUAAUUUCACAUUUUAUUUACCAUUCACAUUCAAAUCCAAAUAACAUAGACUUGAAGAUUUAUUUCUCACUCAUUAGUUAUUAUUUGUAAUUUCUUUUAUUUUCCUUACCAUUUUUUUUAAUUGUGAACGCUUAGUUGAAAUGACAAAAUUAAGGUUUUGAAGAUACGGGUAUCCUAAUGAUUUAUUUUGAAUUUAAACUAUUUUUUUUAUAGAUUUUAUAUAAAUACAUAAAUGAAAAACAAAAAGCAAACUCAUAAUAUUAUUUGUUAUCUUUUAAAUAAAAACCCUUUUUUAAAGUUAUUUUUCAACUAAAUUGAUCUUUAGUUAAACUCGUGGCUUCAACUUAGUUAGAUAACUAUAUAUAGUAUAAUUAACAAACAAUAAAAUUGAAAUUCACAUACAUGUAUGCUGUGUGUAGCCUUAAAUACUCAUGUUUCAUGGUGUUCACUUCAAUUCCUUGCAACUUCUGUUUUUUUAACAAAAAAAAACGCACACACAAUAUUAGAAAUAUAAUUAUUAUUUUCGAUCGAGUCUUAAUUCAAUUGGCAUUGAUAUUACUAUCUAUGCAAAGAGGACACUAAUUAAUAUAUAUACACACCUCAACUUGUUGCACAUCAAAAGGGUGUUCUUGAGAAUGAUCUUCUUCCAUUUCUUUGUUGUAUCUCGAAAGAGUAUGUUCCAUGCUACAUUCAUAAAAUGUCAUGUUUAAAAAAAUAACAAUAAAUUAAAAAUAAAAUUCUAACUCAUUAUUAGGGUUUAGGUUUUGGGCUUGAGUCGAUCAAAUUUAUGACAAGUUAUUCUUAGCUUAUCGUAACUAUUUAUGUAUCAAUUUUUGUUUUAAUACGAGUAUGUGUUGUUCUGUUUUAGUAUAUAGUUUCGUAAGUAUCAUUUUUAAAUAUUUCUUAAUUAUAAUAUGUAAAUAUAAAUUUUAAAAUUAUUAAUUAAGUUCAAUAAUUUAAUAAAUGGUUAUAUAUUAUUUUUUAAAGCAAUUAUAUAAAAAAGUAGUUAAGAAAGAAAAGGGAAAUAUUAAAAACUCCUUUAUAGGAAUUAAUACUCACCGAUACAAGCAUAUAUUAAUUGAAAUGAAUCAAAACUCAAUGAAAUUUUAAUUGAAGUGAAACUUAAAUCAUUUUAUUCUAGUUUAAUAUCGAGAUGAUUCGUAACGAUUGAUACAACCAGUAUCGAAACUACUGACUACCAUGCUACAAAGCGAAAAGAAAAAUAAUGAAAACCAAUCAAAUUACAACUCAACUUACUUUCAUGCUUUAAAAAAAACAGUUCUAAAAAUAAUCAUCCAAGAAAAUAAAUAUAUAUAAGUUUUAUAGACCGUUACAAACUAAUAUACACUCAUAUAAGUCGAUAUUAACUGAAACAAAUCAAAACACAAUAAAAUUUUAACUGAAACGAAACUUAAACUACUUUAUAUUAAUUCAAUAUUGAGACGAUAGCCAAUUAUUAAGAAAAGAAAAAUAAUGGAAAUCAAUCAAAUUAUAGGUCAACUUACUUUCAUGCUUAAAAAAAAAUGCUAAAAUUAAAAAUUGAAAAAAACCCAGAUUUCGAUUAUUAAAAAUAAUCUAUAAUAUAUAUAUAUAUAAGUAUUAUACUAUAUGAUAUACCUAGUGCUGGACCAUUGAUAGACCUUGCCGGUGCUUGAAAAAAUAAUAACCCCAACCUCUGCGUCACAUAAAAUGGACAAUUCUUUAGCUUUCUUCAACAACCCAUUUCGCCUCUUUGAAAACGUUACUUGCCUGCUAUUCAAAUUUUCAAUCUUUUUUAUUUCAAUUUUCCCUCUACCCAUCUCAAAAUUUUCUUCUUUCCUUUACUUUUUCCCGGAAAAUUUUUAAAAGAAAAGUUAAACCCCAGAUUUUUUUUCCUUAAAUUUUGAAAAAAAACCAAAGGUUUUUAUAACAACAAACAGAUCAAAGAAAAGAAGGCAAAAAAUUUAGGGGAUUGUAAAAGGAUUCUUUUUUUAAGAGAAAAGAAAAUAAGUAAGUAAUGUUUAUAUAUAACAGUUGUUUUCUUAAAUGGAAAUGGAAAAUGAUAUGGAAAAAGAAAAUAUGUGACCAAAAUUAGGGUGAAAUCUUGAAAGGUGACAGAUUUGAUACUAUAUCUACCAAUUAUCCAACUAUGGAAACUCUAUUUAUUAUACCUUUAGUUUUUUUUUUCUAUUUUUCUUAAUUUCUCUACCUUUUUACUCUCCUGUUUUUGGUAUUUCAACUCAAAAUGGAUUUUAUUUUUGCUUUGGGUUUCUUUUUUCAAAUAUAAAAAGUGGUUUUUAAUUAUUUAUAUAUUAUUAAUGUGUUUUAACAAUUUUUGUUAGUGAAUAUUGAUUUUUUUUUUGUGAAUUACAAUAGGAGGGCAAAGCCCUAAUAACAACACGACUAGAGCGAUUCGAAUUUAGGCCACACCUGAGACGUUGAACACAAGUAUUUCACGAGGACAUAUAACACAUGUUUUUUUUUUUAAAUUCAUGGCUAAAAUAAUAAAAAAAACCUCUUUAUUUUAUUGUAUUCAAAUAAUAAUAAAAAACCACAGUUUUAGUCGUACCGGCCGGUGCCGCCGUUCUACUGUUAUAGUGCAACAAGCAACACCCUUUUCCAUACUAAUGAAAAUUUUGGUUUGUACCGUUCGCAUUGGCCGGAACAUGGUACACCUGCUGCUGCAUAAAUAAUGUUAAAAAAUAUAAAACUUUUAACUAUUUUCUAUUAGACUAAAUAUUUAAUUGAAAUUGACCAAUAAAAAAAUUAUUGCACUAGAAAGUGAAGUUUAACAUUUAAAAUUUUUUUUGGAGCAUACUUUUUCAUUUAAGAUAUAAAAAUUAAAAUAUAAUAAAAAAACCCACUCACCUCGUUAUCAUAGAAAAAUCUUCACUCGCCCUUCAGUUUUUUUAUUGAAAAAACCCCCUCAUCCUUUGAUUUCUUUUUUUCUACUUAAUUUUAAAUUUAUUGAAUAAUGAGUUUUUACUUGUGGAGUUUAUUAAUCAAUAUUUUAUAUAAUUGAUGAAUAGUUUUAUAUUAAAAAUUCAUUUAUAAUAAUUUAUUUGAUAUUUGUAUAUUUAUUUAUAUAAAUAUAUUAAAUAUUUUUAAAAAAUAUCGAUAAAUUCAAACUGAUACAUAAAAUAGACUAAUACCAAUACAUACCGGUUCUCAUAGAAAAGUGGUACUUAUACCAAUGUGGUAAUGACUACCUUGAAAGCAAGUAUGUGGGUGGCUAUAAUGUUUGAUGCUUUGUUUUCUUUGAAUAUUUUGCUUUGAUGCUUUUGAUCUGUGCUGAUCUUUGAGUGUUACCAUUGGGAUAUAUAUGGCUAUCUAAAUUUUUAUGAUUUGCUAUGCAUUGAUUGUGGUUGUUUUAUUAAUAAAUUUAUAUUUUGGAUUGAGAAAAAAAAGAAAAAGGGAUUCGAAACACAAAAAAAAAAGUAGAGAAAGUGAACACAAUAAUAUACGUGGUUAGGGAAUAUUCCCUACAUCCACGGGCAGAACUGAAAAUGAAAUUCACUACUAAAAAUUGGAGAUUACAAUGGAAUUACAUCAUAAAAAUAAAAUACCUUGCCACUAACUAUCUACAAACUUUGAAUGGAUUCAUGGUCUGAGAAAUUCUGAAAACUAAGAAGGACAUCUUUGAGAUUCGACAGAACAAUAUUUUGGGAACUUUGUUGUCUUACAUGUGUUAAAUUGAGCUCUCUAAUGCCAUGUUGUAACGUGUACUGUAUCCCUCCAUUCAUCCUGCAAGGAUCAAUAUCAUGUCUUCAGUGAUGACAAAAUCUGUUGGCACUGAUAUCCUUAUGCAAUAACAGAAAUCUAUCCACAAAGAUCAACAAACUAUCACGUAAAAGACUUUUUCUUCUGAAACACCAUUGGUUAAUAGUAUAAUGAAAUCUCAAAUACUUUUAACUAAAAUCCCAUUCCCAUAUACCAGUUUCAUAGCAGCUGCUUAGAAACUAGAAGAUGCAGAUGAAAACAGAACAUUCAAUUUGCUGAAUAAAUGUUGCAGAGAAUUGACUAACCGACUUUACUAAAUCAAAUAAGCUGAAGCAAACCAGUUGAAGGUCUCCUCUAUUUUUCGCCAGUUUAGCCUUCAAUGCCUGCAAAAAGUAAAUACAAAAUAUAUAACACUGAUUUCUAUUAUCAUGUUGUUCAUGAGGACAGUCAGAUAUAUAUAAAGUCAUGAGGACAAUCAGAUAUAUAUAAAGAAAAGGUAUGAAAUUGAUAAAUGUUUAAAAUGCGCUUCACACCUGUGGUUUGAGUGUGGAGAAAUCGAUGCCAGAUUUUGCUACUUCAAUUAAAUUUAAUGCCCUCGGAGAGAUGACUUUGCAUAUCAAUUCGAACAUAAGGUAUGUGGGCAAUCUUAAACCACUCUCGUCCUUUACCCCUACUGCACCCUUCUUGUACCAACGGGCAACGCUGUAUACAUAAAUACUCAAGCGAGAGAAGCAUAUCUUUUUCCGGAAGAGAUGUGAGCUUAGGACAUUGAUAGAUUCGCAAUUUUUGAAGAGAGGUCAGGUAUUGAAAGCCCUUGGAGCACAUGAAUUCCAAAUUCUCAAAAUUUUCAAUGGAAAUAAAUGUGAGAGAAGGAGGCAGCGUCAUUCCUAUCCCUUCUUCUGGAAACGACACCACAUUUGAGCAUCCUUCACCGCUGAUGUUGAGUCGCUGAAGAGAGGUAAGUCUGUUAAAUCCCCAUUGAACAAGUGAUGUAUAAAUUUUGGGUGCGUUUGAGAUUGCAAGUGAUGUGAGGUUGGCAGGGAAACCCUCUUCUGGAAAGGAUAUGUCAGCCGAACAAUAAGACACCUUCAAUUCUCGAAGGGAGGUGAAGUUGUUGAUGCACUUGGGAAGGACUCCAAAAUUUUCACAAUUCUCAAUUGCGAAAACUCUGAGAUUUGUGGUGGGCAACCCACUUUCUUCAAAUGAAACCAGAUUUGGACACCUAGAUAAUUUAAUCUCCUGAAGAUGGCUGAGCUUGUCUAAUCCCCGCGGUAAUGAUUUAAUUUUUUCAGCACCACGAAUGCCAAUGCUUUCGAGAUCAAUGGUUUCAAAGAAGUCUUGGGCUAUGCAUUCCAACACUGGACAAUCCCAAAUAAAUAGCUGUUUAAGCAUUACGGGUAACUUGGCGUUUAAAAAUAACCUAGUUAGCUUUUAACAACUUUCAAUUUCGAGAUGUUGAAGUCGAUUGCAUAUAUCGCCCCUUGAUAAUAACCAUAUUAGAGAUGGACAGCUUCUUAUUACUAAGUGCUCAAGAAGACAAGUGUUGCUACUCAUACUCUUAUUAUUAUUUUCUUUUUCAUCAACCAAAUAUUGCAAAUUCACGCAAUUCCCAAUCCUCAGCUCUUUUAAUGCAGGAGGAAAGUUACUCUCUGCAAAACAAACCAAGCCGGGACACGCUGCAAGUGUUAUUCUUGUAAUGAAUGGGAAAGCAUGUAAGGCUUCUGGUAGUCUAUUGAGCCUUCCACAAUUAUCUAUUGCCAGAGAUUCAACACCUGGAAUCUUGUCAAGUUGCAAUCUCUCCUCCUCUGUUUCCAAAGAGACCAAUUGGGGACAAUCCGCAAUACUAAUAAAACGAUGCCCGACUAAUCUUAACCCAAUUUGCGAUAAAGAUCCCAACUCCUUCCAACCAGAGACGUUGAAUCUUUCGGAGUUUGCAAACCUCAACAUUAUCCUCUCUGCUGAAAUGUUAAAAUUUGAAAUAUUUGAAACACACAAACUUUUAAAGGAGGUAACCUUCUGUACGGACAAAGAACCUUCAUCCACCAAUUCUUCACACCCUUCAACCCAUAUUUUACGCAGCAAGGGAAAACAAGAAAUUGAAACUACCAGUCUCUUACAGUUGUAGAUUUCAAGCGUCUGCAAGGAUUGAAGGAUGGUUGGCAACCUUCCCAGCAAUAGAGGACAUUUUCUGAUUGAAAGAAAACGAAGGCUGGGGAAUUUCGAUACUUGCUCAUCAUCUUCACAUAGGUCCCACUCCUCCCAAUUCAGCAUAUUGCCAAAACGCAGAGACUCUAAUGAUGCAAAAGUAUUUGAUUGAUUUUCUCCAAACAUCUCAGCACCAAUCUUGUGUACUUGAUCCAAACCACUAAUUGAAAGAUCUUUUAACAACAACAACCUUCCAAUCGAUGGUAGAGAUUUGCAAUUUUUACAGUCGUGAAGCUCCAAUGACAACAUAUUUUUGAAGGAAGGAUCUGCAAUCCAAGUAGAGAAUUUUGCACCACCAUAAUUCUCAAUGACGAGUUGCUCAAGCUUUUUUGGAGGACAAAGAGAGUCCAACACCCAUUCUUCAACUUCUUUAUUCCUUGAAGCAUUUUCAAACUUUUUCCUCCAAUGCAAUACCAGUCGAUCAAUCCCCUGCUUCUCAUAUAACUUGCUUUCCCCUGCAUCUUCACCAUUAACAUUCUCCAACCCAGAAAGACGGAAAUCACCUUCGAGGUUUGACAAAUAUUUCAAACCUCUAAUAUAACUACCAUCACCUUCCCCUAUUAUAAAAUCAGUUAAACUUUGAAGAUUCGUUAGCUUAUCAAUUCUAAAAGGAAUCCUUUCUAUUGAGUUCGCACCUCUGAUAUCAAGAUAAUGCAAGUUGACAAGAUUUCCCAUCUUUGAAGGUAACAUUUGAAGCUUGUAACACCACCUUAAUAAUAAGGUUUCUAAAUGGUAAAGAGUGCACAAAGAAUCUGGUAGGCAUUUGAUUUUUGUGCUCGAAAAAUUUAAGUAGCGAAGAUGUUUUAAAUUUUCAAAAACAUCAGGCAACUCAGUGAUUAUAUACCCACUCAAAGAAAGCAUCCUUAGGUAGCCAAGUCUUGGUAACAAAUCAUCCAAAACAACAUUAGUUAAAAAAGGGGCCCGAUAAUCACACAUUAAGGGUAAAAAAGUACGUAGAGAAUUCACUUGAUCAAAUGCUUCAAACUUCUUCACUGUGUCAUAUGUUCCAACAAUAUAAGAAGAAUGUCGAGUGCGAUUUGAGAACUUCCAUUUCUUAUCACCCUCUAAUUUUGAGCAUAUUUCCCCUGCAACUACUUGAGCUAAAUCAUUGAUAAGGUCAUGCAUUACGAAUCGGGACUUAUCUUUACUGGAUGUUUGAAAGAAUCGGGACUUAUAUUUACUGGAUGUCUGAAAAAAUGACCUGGACACUAGAUCUUGAAAAUAUUGAUUUCCGAGAUCUUUAAUUUGAGGCAUAGCUUUUUGUUGCAAGAGACCUUCUGCUCUCCAUAACAAGAUAAUUUCUUCUUCCCCAAAUUCAUAGUCUUUAGGAAGUAUGGAGCAAUAUGCAAAACAUCGUUUCAAGUAUGACGGAAGAUGAUGGUAGCUUAACCGCAAAGCUGGAAUUAUGCCACACUGCUCUUCUGGUAAGUUCCAUAUCUCACUCUCAUAUAGUCUUUCCCAUUUUCCAUGAUAUUUAACCGUGCGAAGCAAGCUUCCAAUGACUUUUGCAGCCAAAGGUAAGCCAUUGCACCUUCUAACAAUUUUCUUUCCAAUUUCUUUAAACUGGAGAUGUCCAUCGAAAUUUCUUGCUUUUAAUGCAUGCUGUGUAAAUAUGGAUAAACAAUCAUCAUCCGAUAGUUUAUCCAAAUGAAAAGCUUUGAGCGGAUCCACAAUAGAUGAAACAAUUUGAAGACGAGUGGUUACAAUGAUAUGGGUCCCUGCUCCAAACGGAGACCGUAAGAUGGUCCAAUCAUUAUAAUUUUCGUUCCAAAUGUCAUCUAAAACAAGCAAGAAUCUUUUCCCAGACAACUUCUCCUUCAACUUAACUUGAAGUAAAUUCAAGUCAUUCUCGUCAUGAGAGUCAGGAUCGAUAGAUUUUAAAAUUGUCCUGGUUAUAUUAACUGCGUCAAAAUUAUCAGAAACGCAUACCCAGGCCUUGUGGUGAAAAGACUGGUUGAAGGUGGCAUCAUUGUAAACAAGCUGAGCAAGAGUUGUUUUACCCAUCCCUCCCAUGCCGACGAUGGAAAGGACUGAAACUCCGUUGGAGUUAUCACCUUUGAGAAACUCAAUCAUUUCUGUCUUCUCCUUGUAUCUGCCAACAUACUCCACAACUCCAUCCAGUACGGAAGUUGGUUGCAGCCUAGGUUGCUUUCCCUUGGAGGUUGGAGCUUGAGACAAGAUCUCACUCAACCCCAAACUACUUCUUCGAGUAGUCAAACUAUUCAGUCUAGCAGUGAUCUCUUUCACCUUCGGAAUCAUGGAAUUUUUAAACAGGAAAGAAGUGGGAGCGAAACUAGUACCAGUAAAGCAGGUAGGAAUGAGUUUCCGUACCUUGCUAGGGCUGGCUUCAGCUUGCGAUUUGUUGAGCUUGAGACGUAACUCUUCAUAAGCGAACUCAUCCAAGAUGUCAUCCACAUCGUAAGCCAAGUCCUGGAGAUCCUCCAACCAUUUCUUCACACCCAUGUUCUUGAUCUGCUUCUCCUCUGCAUCGUCCAACACUGCUUGGAUAUCAGGCAAUAUGGACUGCCACUGCUUGAGCUGCUGGUGGAGUUGCUUAUGAUCAGCAACAAAGUUGAGCGCAGAGUCGAGCGAUUUGCCCACCAACAAGUCCAGGAACCCAGAAAGAGCAGCCUCUCCAAUGACAGACAUGGUGGAAUUAUGAGAAAGAAGAUGAAGAGAGAAAUGAACAAGCCAAAAUGGAAAGUCAGGGAACAAAAAAAAGAAAGAAAGGGAAAUGGAAUCUGCAAAAUUAAUGAAGUUGAAGAAUUUGGCACUAUUUUUUAUACAUCCAAUAAUUCAGACUAUGAGUUGGGAAAUAGAGGGGCUCGGGUAAAAAUAUAGGCCUGAAAUAUGAAUUUGAGUAGAAAAAUAAGGCCCGUUUAGAAAACGGGUCGAGUCUCAGGUAUCACUUUUUUUUAGACCCGGCAUAGUCCGAAUAUAAUAAAUAUAUAUUUUUUAUUUUUAAAAAUAUUUUUUAAUUUUUUUAAAAAUUUUAGUGUUUAUUAAAAAAUAAGCCAGACCCGAGCUUAAGAAUUUUUUCUCAAACCAGGUUUAGACAAAAUUUUAAGCUCAUAUUUCAGACUGGGUUGGGCUUGAGCUUAAGACACGGACUAAAAUUUUUUUAUAGGUCCGACCUGACGCGGCCCAUAAGCACCUCUAUUGGGAAGGCAGUGGAAUGUGAAAAAGGAUCCCAAGUGGCUGUUGAUGGGGAAAAGACAACGAAAGUGGAAAUUAGAGAGGUCUCAGUCCAUGAAAUUAUUGCACCCUCUCGUUUAUCAUCUCCCUGCAAUUAUUUGAAUAGUUUUUCUUUAAUUUUUCAUCUAUUUUAAUCAUUGAAUUUGUAUUUAUUUUUGUUAAAUCACUUCAAAAAAAAUAGAAAACUUAAAGAGUAUACAAUCUUAGUAAAGUUAAAAACAUUAAAAUUUUCAUUUAUUUUGAGGUAAUUUAACAAGAAAACACAAGUUCAAAAGCUAAUUCUUUUUCGUAAAGUUAGAUAACGAAAUCUUUAUGUAUUUCUUUUAUGAGACCAAAGUAGAUUAAAGUAUUUGUAACUCUAAAAUGGAUGGAGCUACUUAUGGCUUGGUGUACUAUUUGUUAGAAUGCAUCAAAUACAAAUCUUAACAUUAAAUUAAAUUUUGAAAAAAAUACUAAUACAAAUAAAAAUAUUAAAAUUGAAGAUAAAAAUACUGAUGUAACAUUAAAUUAUUAAAAAUGGAACAAAUGUCAUAGUAUCCCAAUUUUAUACUAUAAUUCCUCCAAAAUAAUUAUAUUUUUACAUCAUGUUUUUAUAAUAUAUGAUUUGAUCAUAAAUUAAACCCUUAAUUAUAGUGAUUAAUGUUCCAUUUGGAAAACACUUUUAUAUUAAUUAAUUAUAAGAAAACCUUUUUUAUGGAGAAGUGUGUUUAUACUAGUUAUAUUAUAGAAAAGUAUGUUUGAUAAUAGGCCUAAUUGAUAUCUUUAUUGGGCUUAAUUUUGAUAAAUUCUUUAAUGAGAUGUGAUUAAUUUUAGAUUUAUUAUUUGAUUUCUAAUUCGGUGUAAAAAUAAACUCAAAAAGUAAAAAAGAGUCGGAAAUACGAAUUAUCGUAAAAAAUAAUAAUACGAAUUAUCGUUGUGGAAAUUUGCUUAAAUAAAAACAAAAUAUACAUUUGAAUCUUCAACUCCAGGUAAGAAAAUGCGCAAGCAGUGACCUCAUGUCAGUCACAUCCUUAUUUCAUUUUUCAACCCCCCCAAAAAGGCAUGAGGAAAAUCUACCGUGGGGUACCUUGUCCCAUCAAAAUUUAUAUUUUAGUCAUUGAAUUUUAAAAAGUUACAAAAUGAUUAUUAAACUAUUCAAAAAUUUUCAUUUAAGUCACUAAACUAUUUGGAAGUUUUUAUCUAAGUCACUACUUUGUUAAGUUUUUUUCCUAAAAAAAUUAAGCCAGUGAACUCCAAGUAACGAUUCAACAAAUACCCAUCAACAAGUACAAUAAUACACCUUAGAUCCAAGUUAAUUAGAUGGUCAAUGCUGUAGAUCGAAGAAGAAAGUUGUUAAAAUUUUGGUUCAUAGACUCGUGACAUUCAAAGUUGUUCCAUGAAAAAGAAUGAAAUAGUAAAAGAGAAGGAGAAAGAUAACUUUCGAUUGAUGUAGAUGGUGUGAACAAAAAAGGUCAUACAAUAACGAUUUUAACAACCCAAUGACUUAAAUUAAAACUUUCGAAUAAUUCAAUGAUCAUUUUUUUAACUAUUUUUAAAAUUGAGUGAGUAAAACGUAAACCUAUUAGUAAUUUAAUAACCUUAGUUGUAGUUUACCUAAUUUUCGAGGAAACUAUAAAGGGAAGCAAGAAUACCCAUAUGCAUAAGGUCUACUUUUACCAUACAUAUCUAAUAUUAAUCCAUAUAUAUCCAAUGGUGAGUACUAAUUUUUAAUUUGUUUAAGAUAAACCUAUCUCGAAAAUUCAAAUAUAAAAUUAUAAUUUUAACUCGAUUCAAUUUAAUUUCAUCAUAAAAAUCAAUAGUCCAAACUCAAAAAUAACCUGAAAAAAAAAAUCUAAAAACAAUAUGAAUCAAACCUAAAAUAACCUAACAUAAGUGGCUUGAAACUUGAGAUGACGGCAAAUAAGAGUCAUGACCCCCUUCAAAAAUAAGGAAAUUAUAAUUUAAUCGUUUUAAAAUCUAUAAAAUUCUAAAUUUCACAAAAUAAUAUUAACUUGAAAUCUGAGUGCGUAAUGCAAGAUGAACAGAAGUUUCCAAGGUCUAUAAACUGAGCUUUUGUGCAGUGACAGAAAGAAAAAAAAAUAUACAUGUAGUAGGUGAGCGACAAUAACAGGCUUUAAUUUAAAAAAAAAAAAAAAAAAAAAAAAAAAAGAACAACUGCCUGCAUGCUUCACAUUCCUUUCAUUUUCCAGCCGCCUAAUCAACCAACUUGCUCACAUUGUGAUGGACAUUUGAUUAUUUUGUUUCGGUUUAUUUAUAGUUUUACUCCCUCUAAAUUUUAACUCUUUCUACUUUUAUCAUAGUAUCAUUAAGGGCCAGUUCUUUAUUGCUUUUGAGAAGUGCUUUUGAGAAAUUUGAGUAUUUGAUAUUGCUGUCAAAAAGUGCUUUUGAAGAAUAAAAUGUCUGUUUUAGAUAUGAGAUUAUAAAGUAACAAAUAUGUAUUUAAAUAAUGUUCAAAUUAGUUAAUAUUAUGAUAUUUUAGCAAAAAUAUAAAAAAAUAAAUUAUUAUAACUUAUUGUUAGUAUUUUAAUAUAUAAUAUUAAUUUUAAAUAUUUCUAAGUAAUUAAUAUUAAUUAUUUAUAAAAUUUAAUUAGAAUAUAUAAACUAUAUUUAAAUAUUUAAAUAUAAAAAUUAAAUAUUUGUAAUUAGAUAUUGACACGAUUGUAUUAUUAUAAAAAUUAUUUUUAUUUUUAAUUAAUGCUUUUAACACAUUUGUAUUAUUUUAUUUUAAAAUGUAUUUGAAUAUAUAACUCAUAUUAUAUACUAACAUAACAUAGAAAACAUAAACCUAACGAAUUAAAAUAUUACAUAUAUUUGGAUUAAAGUUUUAAAAAGGGAUAAAAUUUAUAUACCAAAUAUAAAUACUAAAAAUUUGUCAAUAGCAUUUUCAAUUUAAAGUGAAUUCAGUAAACUAGAUGCUAUAUUUGAUAAGCAUAUGAAAAUUAUUUGGUUAUAUUCAAUAAAUGAUUUGGUUAAUAUAAUACUUAUAUUUGAUAAGCAUAUGAAAAUGAUUUGGUUAAUACAAUACUUAUAUUUGAUAAGCAUAUGAAAAUGAAAGUCGAGACUGUCUGAUGAAGAACGCAAAAAAGAAUAUUUCAUGGAAAGAAGAUUGUUAGGAUGAAUUCUUCAAUUCCAAUCAUUUAAAUAACGGGUCUCAGGAACCAAGCAAUAUGCCAAAUUUGGGGACAGUCCACAUCAUUAACAUUGCAUACUGUCUUAAGAUGAACAAGAAUGGAACUAAAGUGUCUACCGAGGAGUAACAUACUGCUAUUUUUGUAAAUAAAGUACAGAAAGUGUAUAAAUAGAUGGUUUGAAUAAUACACAUCCAGAAAAGAUCAUUGCCAAUAAGCCACUAACAAAGUAACCUCUUAAACAAAGAAAUAGUUCUUAGGUUCUACCUAAAUUUCAUGAUAAUGACAUAAAACUACAUCAAAGAUCAGAGUCAAACUUUGUUCAUAAGAACAUAAAAUAAAUCAUUGGCAAGAAACAAUUUUGCAGCAUCCACUGAUAGAUAUUGGGUCUAUCCAUCGGCCUUCUCUAAUAGGGCACUCAACCAUCCCAUGGUCAAGUGCGCAAGAAAAAAACUAAAGCAAAAACUAAAGCUGAUAUACUUGAAUGCUUUUCAUAUAAAUUUAAAAAAAAAAAAAAAACAAGAUGAAACAAAAAACAGAUCACAUCGAAUCCAUGAAAGAAUUUCCUGUAUAAUUUAAGCUUGCCAAAGCUAUAAAAUAUCUAACAAAGAAAAUUAAAAUUUGGUGCUUCAUCUGGAAGCUUCAUUGUGGCUGUUGUUUGGUUCAUAUUCUGGAGGACACCGUUUUCACCUUUACUAGAAAUUGCCUGAAAACCCAGCAAAAUGGUUCGGCAUGUGAUGAUUGUUUUUAAUAAAAUAUCUAAAUAACAACGACAACCAAUAUAUUUGCUUAACCUUCUUAUUAAGAGCACAAGCUUUAAAUUUGUUAACAGCUUCAUGUUUCUCCUCCUUUAAUGAAUUGAUGGACUUGAAGCUAUGUACGCAAAGCAAAGGAAAAAAGGGCUACUUCAGCAAGCAAAAUGAAACAAUCUCAAUGGUUAUAUAUCAAAAAGUUAAGAGAAUGCAUGCGUCAAGAGAAUAACUUUAAUUUUGGCUAUUAACCAAGUGAUAAUUCACCACAUGAGAAAAAAGAACAUCAAGCACUAGAAGGAAUGAAAGCUUUGUAGAAAAUAACUGAGUGAAGUUAAAAGCCAAAGUGACAUUACCUUCUGAGGCCUGUAUUUUCAUUUCUUGAAGUUGACACAUAACUAGGUACUUUCAUUGCCUGCAACCGAAGUCCCAACGAUUGAAAAAAGUAAUGACAUGUGGAAUCCAAAUAGAGUUAAACUUGAGAAAACACUUAAAUAGAAUACAGGUGCUGUAUGUAAAUAAAAUUUUAAACCCACAUGAUUAGAUGCAUGCUGCCUGGCUCUCUCGGAUGUCCUCAGGUGAAACAACUGCAGCAAUGAAACAAAGUAAACCUGUGUCAUGAAGUUAUCCAGAAAAGGCUCAUGCAGGAUAUUUCUCAAGACAAUGACAAGAAGGGCAAUCCUAAGAGGUGGCAAAUUAGUAAGUUUCUGUGGCUAUCAAUUACCUGAAACUCUGGUCGUUGAGGCAGGCUUUUCUUGGGAAGGGGCAAUGAGGGAGCCUGAAGAAUCUAUCAAAUCCAAAGAAAAAAUUGAGAUUACACAUUCAACAUCAAAGAUUCCUGAAACUUAUAACAAAAUUUAAGUUCCAGCAAAAAUAAUUUUUAAGUGCUAGAAGUACCAACCUUUUUGUUUAAGGGGAGUGCUUUAAACAAAUGAACAUUUGAUUUUGCAUUUUCAUCUGACUCUGCCUUACCUUUAGUUUCUAACAAUGGCAUAUCAGAAUAGAUAUUCAAUGGGAAGAAAAUGAAAAGUUUCUAACAAUUACCAGUACGAGCACACACCCUAAAACCAUCGGUGUGAGUAUAUAAGUAACAUUAGAAAGCAGCAAAUACAAGAACCAUCACAAGUGGAUGUGCAUUGUGCAUAGUGCAGAGACUGGAAACAAUGACUAAAAGUCUAAAACAAUCAACUACAAUGUUGUCUGUUGUAUUGAGACCAUAUUGGAGUUAUCCAACAUAAAACUCGAUUAUUGCGAAGUAAAAUCUUACAAACUGCUUAAAGAACCAAUUUCAUGAAGAAAUACGGGAUUAUGAACCCAAAGUACAUCAAAGAUUUGAUAUGUGCCCUCAACUAUACAAAAAUUAACAAUUAAGUGCCCACAAUAGACAUGAUAUCAUCUUCAAAGAAACCCAAUUUCCUAAAAGCUUCAAUUUGAGUUCCCAAUUCUCUUCACUCAUUGAACUCAACAUCCUAAUAGCAGCAAGAAACAUAUUUGACUUCCUAUCGAACCCCAAGGCAUCCGCCCUUUCAACAAACUGCUUAAUGCUCUCAGGUUUAAGCAAGAAAAAUCUAGGAAAGCUGAACACAUAUGAAACAAUUUGCGAAGAACAAAUCCCGCAAUUUCUCAAGAACUCUAUAUUAGGCAUCAUAGUCUUUUGCAAAUCAGAUUUGAGAAACCAAGCAGAAGUUUUCAAUAACUUAACAACAUCAUCAUUUGAUCCUAAAACAGUCUUUAAAUCGGAAAUAGAAGGUGCAAUCCUAUCAUCCACGCUUCUAGUCAAAAUCCAGGGAUCACUAGCUACAAUAUCAGCAACAUCAUGGGUUGAAAAUCCUAAAUCCUGGAAAAUCUUGAACUUGGGUUUAAUGGUUUAAUGGUUUAUCCCCUAUCCAAUCUUCAAUCAAUUUUGAAAAUCAAUCCCAGACAAACAAAAAUAUACAGAAGAAGAGAAGAAGAGAAGAAAAAGAUAAACUCACCGGCAGAGGGCAGAGGAACAAAGAACCGGCAGAGGGCAGAGAUGAAGGCAAAGAACCAGCAGAGGGCAGAGAGCAGUGAGCAAAGAAGGGCGUUCGUGUGUGGCUAAAAAAGUAAAUGAACCAGCCAAAAGCACUUUUUGGCUGAAAAGCUAAAAAAUUUUACUUCUCAUCUGCCCAAAAGCACUUCUCAGCUUCUGAGAAUUUGCUACCAAAUGAAGGCCGUUCUUCAUUGCUUUUCAAAGAAAAGCACUUUUCCAAGUAAAAGUCCGUUUCUUAAGCAAUGAAUAAGGCAGCCUAAAUGUUGCAGAGAAUUGACUAACCGCUUUACUAAAUCAAAUAAGCUGAAGCAGAUGAGUUGAAGUUCACUAUUUUUCGCCAAUUUAGCCUUCAAUGCCUGCAAAAAUUGAAUACAAAAUAUAUAAGACUCAUUUCUGUGAUCAUGUUGUUCAUGAGGACAAUCAGAUAUAUAAAAAAUAAAGCUGUGAAAUUUAUAAAUGUUUAAAAUGCGUUUCACACCUGUGGUUUGAGUGUGGAGAAAUCGAUACCAGAUUUUGCUGCUUAAAUUUCAAUACCUCGGGAUGACUGUUUCAAAAUCAAUUUGAACAAAAGGUAUGUGGGAAAUCUUGGACCACUCUCGUCCUUUACCCCUACUGCACCCUUCUUCUAGCAACGGGCAACGCUGAAUAGAUAGACGCUCAAGCGAGAGAAGCAUAUCUUUUUCUGGAAGAGAGGCGAGCUUAGGACAAUCAUAGAUGCCCAAUUGUUGAAGAGAGGUGAGGUGCUGUAAGCCCUUGGAGCACAUGAAUUCCAAAUUUUCAAAUCUACGGAUGCUGAUAUCGGUGAGAGAAGGAGGCAGCAUCAUUCCUAUCGCUUCUUCUGGAAAUGACACCACACGUGAGCAUCCUUCACCGCUGAUGUUGAGUUUUUGAAGAGAGGUGAGUCUGUAAAAUCCCCAUUCAACAAGUGAUGUAUAAAUUUUUGGUGCGUUUGAGAUUUGAAGUGAUGUGAGGUUGGUAGGGAAACCCUCUUCUGGAAAGGAUAUGUCAGCCGAACAAUUCGACACUGCUAAUUCUCGAAAGGAGGUGAAGUUGUUGAUGCACUUGGUAAGGGCUCUAAAAUUUUCACAACCCCCAAUUGAGAGAGCUCUGAGAUUUGUGGUGGGCAACCCACUUUCUUCCAAUGAAACAAGAUUUGGACAGCUAAAUAAUCGAAUCUCCUGAAGAUGGCUGAGCUUGUCUAAUCCCCGCGGUAAUGAUUUAAUUUUUUCAGCAUCAUGAAUGACAAUGCUUUCGAGAUCAGUGGUUUCAAGGAAGUCUUGGGCUAUGCAUUCCAACAUUGGGCAAUCCCCGAUAAAUAGCUGUUUAAGCAUUACGGGUAACUUGGCAUUUAAAAAUAAGCUACUUAGCUUUGAACAACAUCGAAUUUUGAGAUGUUGAAGCCGAUUGCAUAUAUCGUCCCUUGAUGAUAACCAUAUUAGAGAUGGACAGCAGCUUAUAUCUAAGCGCUCAAGAAGACAAGUGUUGCUACUCAUACUCUUAUUAGUAUUUUCUUUUUCAUCAACCAAAUAUUGCAAAUUCACGCAAUUCACAAUCCUCAGCUCUUUUAAAGCAGGAGGAAAGUUACUCUCUGCAAAACAAACCAAGCCGGGACAGUCAGCAAGUGUUAUUCUUGUAAUGAAUGGGAAAGCAUGUAAGGCUUCUGGUAGUCUAUUGAGCCUUUCACAAUCUCUUAUAAACAGAGAUUCAACACCUGGAAUCUUGUCAAGUUGCAAUCUCUCCUGCUCUGCUGCCAAAGAGACCAAUUGGGGACAAUUGACAAUCUCAAUGAAUCGGUGCCCGACUAAUCUUAACCCAAUUUGCGAUAAAGAUCCCAACUCCCAACCAGAGAUCUUAAAUGUUUCGGAGUUUGCAAAUCUCAACAUUAUCCUCUCUGCCGAAAUAUUACACUUUGAAAUAUUUGAAAGAGACACAUGUUUCAAAGAGGUAACCUUCUGUACAGACAAAGAACCUUCAUCCACCAAUUCUUCACACCCUGCAAUGCUUAAUUCACACAGCAAGGGAAAACUUGAAAUUGAAACUACCAGUCUCUGACACUCAUAGAUUUCAAGUUUCUGCAAGGAUUGAAGGAUGGUUGGCAACCUUCCCAACAAUAGAGGACAUUUUGUGAUUGAAAGAAAACGAAGGCUGGGGAAUUUCGAUACUUGCUCAUCAUCUUCAGAUAGGUCCCACUCCUCCCAAUUCAGCAUAUUGUCAAAGCACAAAGAUUCUAAUGAUGCAAAAGCAUUUGAUUGAUUUUCUCCUAACAACUCAGCACCAAUCUUGUGUACUUGACGCAAACCACCAAUUGAAAGAUCUUUUAACAACAACAACCUUCCAAUCCAUGGUAGAGAUUUGCAAUUUUGACAGUUGCGGAGCUCCAAUGACAACAUAUUUUUGAAGGAAGAAUCUGCAAUCCAAGAAGAGAAUUUUGCACCACCAAAAUUCUGAAUGACGAGUUGCUCAAGCUUUUUCGAAGGAUGAAGAGAAUCUAACACCCUUUCUUCAACUUCUUUUUUCCUUGUGUCCCGACUCCAUUUCAAUACCAAUCGAUCAAUCCCCUGCUUCUCAUUUAACUUGGCUUCCCCUGCAUCUUCACCAUUAACAUUCUCCAACCCAGAAAGACAAAAAGCACCUUUGAGGUUUGACAAAUAUUUCAAUUCUCUGAUACUAUGUCCAUCACCUUCCCCUAUGAUAAAAUUUGAUAACCUUUGAAGAUUCGUUAGCUUAUCAAUUCUGAAAGGAAUCCUUUCUAUUAAGUCAGCACCUCUGAUGUCGAGAUAAUGUAAGUUGACAAGAUUUCCCAUCUUUGAAGGUAACCUUUGAAGCUUCCAACACCGUCUCAAUAAUAAAGUUUCCAAAUGGUAAAGAGUGCACAAAGAAUCAGGUAGGCAUUUGAUAUCGGUGUUAGAAAAAUUCAAGUAGCGAAGAUGUUUUAAAUUUUCAAAAACAUCAGGUAACUCAUUUAUCUUAUACCCACUCAAAGAAAGCACCCUUAAGUAGCCAAGUCUUGGCAACAGAUCAAGCAAAACAACAUUAGUUAAAAAAGGCCCCCAAACAUAAUUUCUAGAAAAUAUUAAGGGUAGAAAAGUACGUAAUGAUUUCACUUGAUCAAAUGCUUCGAACUUCUUCACUGUGUCGUAUUCUCCAGCAAUAUAAGAAGAAUGUCGAGUGCGAUUCGAUAACUUUUGUUGCAUAUCACCCUCCUGUUUGGAGCAUAUGUCUCCCGCAACUACUUGAGCUAAAUCAUUGAUGAAGUCAUGCAUUACAAAUCGGGACUCAUCUUUACUGGAUGUCUGAAAAAAUGACCUUGACACUAGAUCUUGAAAAUAUUGAUUUCCAAUAUCUUUAACUUGAGGCAUAGCCUUUUGUUGCAAGAGACCUUCUGCUCUCCAUAACAGGAUAAUUUCUUCUUCUUCAAAUUCAUAAUCUUUAGGAAGUAUGGAGCAAUAUGCAAAACAUCGUUUCAAGUAUGACGGAAGAUGAUGGUAGCUUAAUCGCAAAGCUGGAAUUAUGCCACACUGCUCUUCUGGUAAGUUCCAUAUCUCACUCUCAUUUAUUCUUUCCCAUUCUCGAUGAUAUUUAACUGUGCGUAGCAAGCUUCCAAUAGCUUUUGCAGCCAAAGGUAAGCCAUUGCACCUUCUAAUAAUUUUCUCUCCAAUUUCUUUGAACUGGGGAUGUCCAUCGAAAUUUCUUGCUUUUAAUGCAUGCUGUGUAAAUAUGGAUAAACAAUCAUCAUCUGAUAGUUUAUCCAAAUGAAAAACUUUGAGGGGAUCCACAAUAGAUGAAACAAUUUGAAGACGAGUGGUUACAAUGAUAGUGGUCCCUGGUCCAAACGGAGACCGUAAGAUGGUCCAAUCAUUAUAAUUCUCGUUCCAAAUGUCAUCUAAAACAAGCAAGAAUCUUUUCCCAGACAACUUCUCCUUCAACUUAACUUGAAGUAAAUCCAAGUUACUGUAAUCACAUGACUCAGAAGUGAUGGACUGUAAAAUUGCCUUUGUUAUAGCAAUUGCAUCAAAAUUAUCAGAAACGCAUACCCAGGCCUUGAGAUCAAAAGACUCGUUGAUGGUGGCGUUAUUGUAAACAAGCUGAGCAAGAGUUGUUUUACCCAUCCCUCCCAUACCGACGAUGGAAAGGACUGAAACUCCAUUGGAGUUAUUACCUUUGAGCAACUCAAUCAUUUCUGUCUUCUCCUUGUGUCUGCCAACAUACUCCACAACUCCAUCCAGUACGGAAGUUGGUUGCAGCCUCGGUUGCUUUCCCUUGGAGGUUGCAGCUUGAGACAAAAUCUCACUCAACCCCAAACUACUUCUUCGUGUAGUCAAACUAUUCAGUGUAUCAGUGAUGUCUUUCACCUUCGUGAUCAUGGAAUUAUUAAACUGAAAAGAAGUGGGAGGGAAAAUACUACGAAUAAUCCUUUCAGGAAUGAAUUUCCGGAUCUUACUAGGUCUGGCUUGAGCUUGAGUGUCUUGGAGAUUGAGGCGUAACUCUUCAUAAGCGAACUCGUCCAAGAUGUCAUCCACAUCGUAAGCCAAGUCCUGGAGAUCCUCCAACCAUUUCUUCACACCCAUGUUCUUGAUCUGCUUCUCCUCUGCAUCGUCCAACACUGCUUGGAUAUCAGGCAAUAUGGACUGCCACUGCUUGAGCUGCUGGUGGAGUUGGUAGUGAUCAGCAACAAAGUUGAGUGCAGAGUCAAGCGAUUUGCCCACCAACAGGUCCAGGAACCCAGAAAGAGCAGCCUCUCCAAUGACAGACAUGGUGGAAUUGUGAGAAAUAAGGUGACAAGAGAAAUCAGCAAAGCCAAAAUGGAAAGCCAGGGAACAAAAAAGAAGGAAAGGGAAAUGGAAUCUGCAAAAUUAGAGAAAGUUGAAGAAAUUGGCACAAUAUCCUUGAAGCAUGUAAUAUAAUAAUACAGACUAUGAGGCAAUGAGUUGGAAGUCACUGGGUACAGAUAAAGAAGCUGCUUUUCGUUGAAUUUUGAUGCUCUUCUUUUCUCUUGCUUUUGGUCAUUAUCCUAAAUUGACCUUCACCGUAUAUGUAAUUUAAUUAAACAUCAAAAUAUUAUAUUCCUCACAACUUUAUCGCCAAAAUAUAGCCAACACCAAUACUCUAAAUUUUUGAAUCACAAAUAUUUACAUUAUUUAGCAUUUAGAAAAAAAAAUCCAAAAUUAAAUGAUAAUUUUUACAAUUUUAUAAUUUUAAUAGUCUGUAUCUUUAUAAAAUUUAAAAGAUUAAAUCAUAUUUUUAUCAUAUUUAGGGGAGCAAAGUAUAAUUUUUAUAUUUACUAAUUUAAAAUUUUAAAAUAUUUAAAGAGUCUAAAUGAAAAAUUUUCCAUUUUCGAGGACCUUGCCAACCCCCUAGCUACGCCCGAGAUUGGUUGUAGCUAUAUUGUUAAUUAACUUACUAUUUUACUAUUUAUAGUAUUAUUUAAACUUAUGACUAGUUGAUGUCACGAAUUAAUCGGGUACCAACUUGGUUAAAGAAAAUAUGAAAAUGUCACUCUAGUCUUUUUAUUAUAAAAAUAAAAAUAAAAAUUUGUGCAUGGGAUUUUGAACCCAUACCAAUUAUAUUAAUAAAUUAUUAAUUUACCAUUCAACUAAAACUUUAAUAUUUUUAUACAUUUUAAUUUUAUUAUGCACACUUUAUUGUUAAUUAAUUUCAAACCUUAUGCUUUAAUUAUUUAUUGCAUGUUAUAUUCAAACGCACACUUAUAUUCUAAAUAUAUGAUUCCCGAACAUACAUGUGUGAUAAGUAUACUAAUUGUAACCUGUCUUCCUAAUUGUUGUACUAAUUUAUGAUUUGCUUUCUUACUAGAUUUGUUAGCCAAACUCAAAUUACCUUCCUUUUAGAUCAAUUAAUUCACUUAAACCUAACUCAGUUACAUUUCUUUCUAGAGUGAUUAACCAAAAUAAUCGACCCAACCGAUUAAACGAGAUUGUUUCUAUUAUUAUAUUUAUGAAAUCGUGAUCGUUUAGUUAUUGGUAUUUUUUGUUGGGGUUAGGUUAAUUUAAUUUUCAAUUUUUCUAAACUAAAAUUUACAUCUAGAUUUUGAUGAUGAUUGCUUGUCCACAGUCCAUGGGUUUCAAUUAUACCAACCUAUUCAAUCUUCUUUUUUCCCUAAUGCAUGUGAGGUCUCUUUUUCUUUUCCUUAGCAAAGUAUUUAGGGUCUCUCUUUUUUUGUCAAAGUAAUCUUUAUCUUCAAUAAGAUAUCCAUUAAUCUUUUUAUGUAUUUCUAAUAUACAUGCUAUAUAUAGUAAAAUGAUAUAUAUAUAUAUAUAAUCUACACUAAAUAUGAGAAGAUUAUAAAUAUAAUAAUCUAUAAUUUUUAUUUAUUUAUGCCUUUUUCCAACUACGACGCUCUGAUUUUUUUUAAUUUCUUUUUCAUUUUUUAAUCAGUCCUAUUUUAUGCAAAUUCAGAUGUGUAUAUGAAGAUAUAAUUUCAUAUAUUAUUUAUCAUUCACAUUCAAAUCCAAUUAACAUAAACUUGAAGAUUCAUUUCUAACUCAUUGGUUAUUAUUUGUAAUUUCAUAGUUUAGUUGAAAUGACAAAGUUAAGACUUUGCAGAUAUGAGUAUCUUAAUAAUUUAUUUUGGAUUUAAACUAUCUUUUUUUAUAGAUUUUAUAUAAACACAUAAAUAAAAAGACAAAAAGCAAACUCAUAAUAUUAUUUGUACCAUUUAAAUAGAAACCACUUUUUUUAAGUUAUUUUUCAACUAAAUUGAUCUUUAGUUAAACUCGUGACUCCAACUCAAUUAGAUAAUUAAAUAUAGUAUAAAUAACAAAAAUAGAAUUGAAAUUGACAUACACGUAUGUUGUGUGUAGCCUUAAAUACUCCUCUUUCAUGGUGUUCACCUCAAUUCAAGGGCGGAGCUAAAAAAAUUUUUUAGAGGAGGCUGAAAUAAAGUUGUAUAUUUUUACGAUGCAAAAAUAACAUUUUCCUAUUUUAAUAGCGUAUAUCUUUAUAAUUUUUAAAGGGUUAUAUUAAAUUUUUUUUAUUCUUGAGGGGGUCAAAGUGUAAUUUUACCACAUACUAAUUUAAAAAAUUUAAAAUUAUAAAAGGACUAAAGGUGAAAUUUUCCAAUGUAGGGGGAAUCGGGCCACUGCCAGCCCCCUUAGCUCCACCCCUUCCUCAAUUCCUUGCAACUUCUGCUUAUGUAACAAAAAAAAAAUUAGAAAUAUAAUUAUUACUGUCGACUGAGUCUUAACUCAGUUGGCAUCAAUAAUAUUAAAAAAAAUUUUGAAACAUGCUUUUUCAUUUAAAAUAUAAAAAUUAAAAUAUAAUUAAAAAACUCACUCACCUCAUUAUCAUAGAAAAAUCUUCAUUCACCUUUUAGCUGUUUUUUUAUUGAAAAAGCCCCUCAUCAUUUGACUUCUUUUUUUUUUCUUCUUAAUUUUGAAUUUAUUGAAUGAUGAAUUUUUACUUGUAGAGUUUAUUAAUCAAUAUUUUAUUAAUUGAUGAAUAUUUUUAUAUUUAAAAUUUAUUUAUAUAAAUAUAUUAAAUAUUUUAAAAAAUAUCGAUAAAUUCGAAAUAGUACAUGAAAUAAACUAGUAUCAAUACGUACCGAUUUUCAUAGAAAAGUGGUGCAUCAACCAAUGUGGUAAUGGCUACCUUGAAAGUAACUAUGUGGCAUACUUGUUUGCAAAUAAAUGGGUUAAACCAUGUUGAGUCAGUAUUGUGGGUAGCUAUAAUGUUUGAUGCUUUGUUUUCUAUGAAUAUUUUGUUUUGAUGCUUUUGAUAUGUGCUGAUAUUUGAGGAUAAGUAUUGGGAUAUAUAUGACUACCUGAAUUUUUAUGAUUUGCUAUACUGUGGUUGUUGUAUUAAUAAAUUUAUGUUUUGGAUUGAGAAAAAAAAAUAAGAAAUUCAAAACACAAAAAAGAAAGUAGGGAAAAUGAACACAAUGAUAUACGUGGUUCGAGAAUAAUCCCUACAUCCUUGGGUAGAACUAAAAAUGAAAUUCACCAUUAAAAAAUAGAGAUUACAAUGGAAUUACGUCAUAAAAUAAAAUGCCUCGCCAAUAAUUAUCCACAAACUUGGAGCAAUUUUUUAAAUGAACAUCAGCUAUACACUUUCCGCGUUUUGAGAAAUACCUAGCAAUAAUAAAUAACAAGUGACCAACAAUCUCAAAAUGUCAAAAACAAUACUUUAUUUAAAGCAUCCUAGCCUCUUAUCAAUCAUCAAUGGAGACCUAAGACAGAUUCAAGAUUUGUGUAGAUAGAAAUAGUUGAUACUAAAAGCAUUAGAAACCAAAAUUACCACGCUGUGCCGGUGUUGUGCCCAUAAGCUGGUAUUGCCCUCUUUGGAUGCCCACCAUUCAAGGGUUUAUCACCCAAAGGUACGUACACCUCCCCAUUGGUACCAUUUGGCCUUUUAUCUGCCACCAAUUUCAUGGUUCCCAAAGCUGAACGAAAGUACAAGGCUAAAUAAAUAACAUAUUUGGCUCCUCGACUACAACUAUAUACCAAGCACCAAAAUAUGCUCCAACACAGGAAAGGAAUGUCAGAAGAACAAAUUCUCCAUAUAACCUAUACUUACCCUAUCAUAAACAUUGAUAACAUCACAAUUGAAGCCUUUCAAAGCAGGGGAAAUUCAUAAAAAGAUUGAUAGAAAAUAUGCCUAUCUAUCGGACCGGAAAGCUGAAAAGCAACAUUAAAAGUGUUGAAGUUAGUUCCCAUGCAACGAGUGUAGCAGCAAUCGUUGCCAUGCAACUCACAUGGAGCAAAGAAGCAGCACAUGCAGAUCGUGAUAAAACGCAGCAGCUGGAGCCUAUGAAUGCUGUCCAAAUUCAACCUAUUUUGUUGCUUUGUAACUUAGUUCUUUUAGAACUUAGUUGGUAAAUCUUUUGAUGUAAUUUUAGAUGUUGAUUGACUGAAAAUUCAGCAAAGCAACUAGUACAAGCUAGUUUAGCAAUUUUCAAUGUAUUAAGUGGUGUUAGGUAAGUGUUUAGGUAGUAUUUUGACUUGUAAGCUUAACUCAUGUUUGAUAUAUGUAAUGACAACUUGCCAAUACUUGGUUAAUGAAAAAAAUCAGUUUGUUUUUCAUUCAUAUACUCUCCAUUUUUCUGCUUUCAAUUCUGUUCUUUACAAAAAGGAAAAUUUCUGCUUUGUUUCUUCUCUAAGUCACGAGACUUGCUGAUUAAGCUAAAGCAAAAUCAGCUUGUGCACUGCCACUAACACCAACAAAAAGAGAGCUGCAAUGAAACUAGUUCCAAACUUCUACAGUAUAUAUAUCAUUUGAUUCAUUUAACUCAUACCACAAAGUCAAAAGCGAAAGAGUCCAGAUAUAGUGAGUCACUUAGUCACUGCUAUUUUUGGCUAGAAAAUAAAGUAUUUUUGUACCUCUAAGUAAAAGCGAAAUAAAUAAAGUCACAUAGUCAAUCACUUACACAGUGAGUUUGUUUUUGUCGCUCAAUCCACAUGACCAAAGAAGCAAUUCCUCAUCCAAGUGAAUUGAUGCAGCCUUUGAAAAGGUUCAUGGUCUGAGAAAUUCGGAGAACUAAGAAGGACAUCUUUGAGAUUUGGACAGAACAAUAUUUUGGGAGCUCUGUUGUCUUACAUGUGUUAAAUUGAGCUCUCUAAUGCCAUGUUGUAACGUGUCCUGUAUCCCUGCAUUAAUCCUGGAAAGAUCAAACUAUCACGUAAAAGACUUGUUCUUCUGAAAAACCAUUGGUUAAUAGUACUACGAAAUGUCAAAUAUUUCAAAUCUCUAAUAUGAAAACCAUCACCUUCCCCUAUAAUAAAAUCAGUUAACCUUUGAAGAUUCGUUAGUUUAUCAAUUCUAGAAGGAAUCCUUCCAAUUGAGUACACACCUCUUAUAUCAAGAUAAUGCAAGUUGACAAGAUUUCCCAUCUUUGAAGGUAGAUUUUUUUUCUAAUAAUUAGAAAUUAGUGAAUAAUAAUGAGUAGUUUUGUUUUUGAGAAAAAAAAUAAAGAAAUAGUUUUAAUUGAGAAAAUGAUUUUUUAAGAAAUGUUGAAAUGAUGUAAUCAUCUCUAUAUUUAACAAAAUAAUAACAUUAGAUUUUUCAUGCUUUUACCAAUUGAGUUUGUAUCGCUUGAUUUGAUGUACCAAAUUUAAUUAGACAUUUUAUCAUAGUAUAAAUAAUUAUCUUGUAAUUAUAUGUAUUCAAAUUAACUUAAUUUUUAAAUCCGUCGCCAAUCUUUAUAUUUUUUUCUCUCUUAUAAUUAUAUUUUUACAUAAUGUUUUUAUAAUAUAUGAUAUGAUCAUAAAUUAAACCCUUAAUUGUAGUUAUUAAGCUUGCAUUUUUUCCACUAAAGUCAAGAAAUUAUUUUUUUAUUGGGAAACAUUUUAUAUUAGUUAAUUGUGAGAAAACAUUUUUAUGUGAAAGUGUGUUUAACUAAUUAUAUUAUAGAAAAGUAUAUUUGAUAACAGGCUCAGUUUACAUGUUUAUUGUGCUUAAAUUUGAUAAAUUCUUUAAUGAGAUAUCAUUAAUUUUGGAUUUAUUAUUUGAUUUUUUGAUUAGGUGCAAAAGGCAAACUUAGAAAGUAAAAAAAGAGUCGGAAAUACAAGUUGUUGUAAAAGUUUGGGCCAUGAUCUAUCUUAUUUUUUUGGUACAAUAAUAUGGCAAAACUCGAACAACAAACACAAUUAACGUGACUCAAACCCAAACCACACCUGGGACAGUGAACACCUUUGACCAUUAAGCCAUCAUAUAGGGUUCGGAAAAGAAAAAGAGUACUUUUAAUUUUUGAUUAGGAUGAUAUUUUAAUUUUCUAGUAUUUUAUCUUUUGAUAUAUUUUUAGAUAACACUCUAAUAUUGGAUUAGAUUAAAAAAUUUAAGUAGGAUUAGGCAUUUUGAGUUUUAUAUAUAUUCUAAAAAGGACAGCAAUUCAAUUGCUUUCUUUUCUUCUCUGUUUCUAAUUCUGUUCUUUCUUUCUCUGGCACAAUAUUGUGCCGCCACGCCACCCUCCCUUUUUUUUUUCCUUUCUUUUAUUUGUUUAUUUCUUUUAUUUAAUUUUUGUUGAACCCUUUAUGCUAGUAUGCUUAAUUUCAUGAGUAAUUAAACUUCCCAUCUAGCUUUUAAGUCAAGAGUCGAUUUGGGAGAGAGUUAUACGAUUCAAAAUCGCACUUUAAAACUUUUAUUUCAAUAUUUGUUAUUUCUCUAGUUUAGGAGAUAGAUACUAUCGUCUCAUAAGGUUGUUUUGGCAUCAAAUGAGUUCAUUGCUUUGGUUUUAAUAAAGAAUCAAUACUAUCGAUUGUUGUAUUCGAUCUACCAAAAAACACAUUGGCGUGUCUAAUUAAGUGGUUGAUGUAAAUAGUACUUUAACAAAUAACUACAUGGAUGGUGAGGAUGAGUAAAAACUUUUAAUAUCAUCCAUAUCUUUUAUAGGUGGUGUAUUGCUCUGUAGUAUAUACACUUAAUGGGUUGGCCCAUAUGAGUGUGUAGUGGGGCAGCUUCUAUGAGAUCUUUGGCAAUCUUUAGAGCACUCAUAAAAAUUAGGCACGCGCAUGACCUAUUAGCACACAAUCGCAUUGAAGAAUGAAUCAUAAAUAUAAUGUGGUAAGUGAGAAGGUUAAUUUGGAAAUUAAAUAAUAAAUUCAAAAACUUAUUUCAUCAAUUAUUUAAGUAAAUCAUGUCUCAUUUGUUAAAAAUUCUGGUUCACAGUCCAAAUGACAAUAUGAUUAUUGCAAUAUAUCGAAACACUCACUUAAAUUUAUAACUUAAAUCUUUGAAAUAUGUGGGAGAUUAUUGGAAGUUUUCAUGUAUUUUAAAGAACUACAAAAAUCUCACAUUGCUAAAAAAAAUAAAAAAAAAUCUUGAGUCAUUAUACUUCUUUGAACUUAAUAAGAACCAGAUUGAGAGAGUAGACACGUGCACAUUCGAGCCUUUUUGUUUUUGGACAUGUUUUUUUAUUGAAGUUUUGAAAGUCAAAUAAAAGUGAACUUGUAACACCUAUAUGCUAAAUAUAAUUUAAUCGAUUGAAGCUAUUUUUAUUUAAGUUCAAAUUCAUUGAACCAUUUUCAAACUAGUUUUAGCUAAUUCAAUCAACUUACCUUUGCUAUAUUAAGCCAAUGAAAUCCAUAUAAAUACCAUGCACGGCAGUUUUCAAAGUUACUCAUUAGCUUUCACAUUCUCAUCUAAAUUUCUUCUGUAUUCUCUUUAGAAAAACCUUCCUCCUACAAUCUUAAUUGAGUGUUUAAUUGGCCGGCUCUUUAGAAAAGCCUUCAAGGAUAAUGAUAUUCAUGCCUCAAGCCGUGAUUCUUAUUUUCUAAACCUCCGAUUUCUUAAGAGAACGUCAAAGGCAACAACCAGUCAAAUUUUAAGUUCAAUUAAAUGAAUUCACAAACUUAUAGAGUUUAUUAUUUUUAUUUUAAUUAGUAUCAAAAGUUUUCAAUUCAAAUUUUAAUUUUGUUAUUCAAGCUUUAUCUCAAAUCAAGCUCAAGCUUUUAAAAGUGAAAUUUGAUUGAGCUUAAGCUAAAUUUUGAGUAUCGAAUUUUAAGUUAACUCAAAAUUUUGAAGUUAAGCUUUGACUUGAUUACACGGUUAGUGUAAAUCGUACAAAUGUAAAGUAUAAUAUAAUUAUAUAAAUUUUGAUACUAUAAUAAUUUCAAUUUUAAAAUUUUAACACAACUAUGGUCUAAAAUGUCCCAUUAUCAAGAAGCUUAGAAAUUGGAAGAUGCAGAUGAAAACAGAGCAUUCAAUUUGCUGAAUAAAUGUUGCAGAGAAUUAAGUAACCGCUUUAUUAAAUCAAAUAAGCUAUAGCAAAUCAGUUCAGUGCCUGCAAAAUUAAAUACAGAAUAUAUACGACUGACUGCUAUUGUCAUCUUGUUCCUGAGGACAGUCAGAUACAUGGAACUAAAGCAGCCAAUGUUUAAAACGGUUUCAUACCUGUGAAACAACAUAAGGUACGUGGGAAAUCUUGGACCACUCUCGUCCUUUGCCCCUAAAAGUGGACAUAAUUAAAAAGGACUUGUCUGUGAUAGAAAAUGGGGGGCUUUAAUUAAAUUACAACCAACAAGGAUGAACUCUGUUUCUGGAUUGAAAUAUUGGAAUUGGUAAUCAGUGACUUAUUCACUAAGAACUAACUAUUCUGUCACCUUAUAUUCUUCCUAUAAUUUCAGGUUUAAUCCUGUUGAUUUAUACAUUCAGUCCACUGCAAUAUGAACCCGUGAAAACCACACUAAAUGAAACUGACCGUUUAAGGAUCCCAUUCGUAUGAUGCAGCACUGCAAUGGGUAAUUAAACUGACUGUUCAAUCCUGUUUCUGUACACUAUGCUUCUUCAAAAUCAUGCCUAGCCGAACUCUCUGACAUUGUGGACCGCAAGCCCACUCAAGGACAUAUUGUUCUUCCCAUCUUUUACCAUGUUGAUCCCUCUGAGGUUCAGCAUCUUAGUGGGAGUAUCAAGACAUACUUUGAUGACCAUGAAUCAAAGAGGCCUGUUGAUGAAGUGAAGCGAUGGAAAACUGCCUUUGUUGAAGUCUGUAAAUUAAUUGGGUGGCAUAUAGGAGGAAAAUUCGACAAGCAACAAUAUAGUUUCUUUUUCAUUUUCUUAUAUAUUUAACUCUCUUUUUUUUGGUUUAUUUGCUAGGCUUGAAUUCGAGUACAUUAAAGAUAUUGUUGAAUAUGUUAUAAAAAGAAGAUGACAAAUAGCGAGUCUAAAAGUGCUUCUUAAGAAUUUGUUGGAAUAGAUGAUCAAUGAAGGAUGAUUUUGAGGCCAACUGAGGAAGAAGACAAUCCUAUAUUAGGAUGAUUUUGAGGCUGAUUGAUGAAGACGACAUUUGUUUGUGAGUUUUAUGUUUUGUCUUUGGGUUUGUGCUUGUUAAUUGUUGAAUGUUUCUCGCUCAAUAAGUUUGUAGGCGAUCCAACUUGAAAAUUAGGAUUAACACUGUGUGGUGCACAAAUUCUUGCGUGACCGUGUCUUGCUUGUUGAUGCUUGAAAAUUGAAAGAUUCUUAUUUAUGCUUAUGUUAAACGGGAUGCAUUUUUAAGAUUAGGGUAGGAUGUGAUUUUUGUGUGGCUAAUCUAAGUUUGAUAUUUUAAAGGUAAACUACCCGUUAAUUACUCUAAAUAAUGGUUGUUUCUAUUUCCUCACCUUAAGGCUUUUUUCUUUUUUCUUUUUAAAUUUGGUCUCUCUAAAAAGAAAUUGAUCAAAUUGAUCACCCCAUCAUUAAAGGGUAAAGGAAAGACUAAUGAUACAUUUCAUGUAUUGUUUUGGGUGACUAAAAUAGGAAAAAAAAAACACCUCCAUUUAAAGUGGCUAAAAGGUAGUUUACCCUAUUUUUAAAGUGAAUAUAAUUUUUUAUGAUUUUUAUAAAAUUUUACAAUUUCUUAUAUUUUUUCUAAUUUUUAAUAAAUUUUUAAUAUUUGAAUAUUUUACUAAAAUUUAAUAAUAUUGAUAACUUUUAUAAAUUUUUUUUCUAAUUUUUAAUAAAAACAAGGGCUUAAUUGUUUUUCUUGAAAAAGUCUAAGGGUGUACAUUUUGAAAGUUCAAGUACCCAAUUGAGUGAAAAAAAAAAGUAGGGGCUUAAUUGCUUUUUUUUUUUAAAAAGGUUUAAAGGCCUUUUUGAUGCAUUUUGAAAGUUCAAGUGCUCAAUUGAGUACAAAAAUUAUGGGUAAAGAAUAGAGAUUAUAAUGAACUCACAUCGUAAAUUAAAAUACCUCACUAUGAUAACUAUCCACAAACUUCGAGCAAGGUUGUAAAUGUUCAUCAACUACAGGGAUUUAAAUUGCGGUCGCGAUCGCGUUUUCGGUUGCGUCGCGUUUGUCGCGGUCGCGGACAUAACGGACGCUAUUGCAGUCACUGCGGGUAUCGCGGUCGUGAAUUUUUUUCAAAUUCACACAACUAACUGUAAAACAUAGUAAUUAUAAUUAUAAUUAUAAAAAGUCACUUUUAAUGAUUUUUAGAGUGUUUUCUAACACUUAUGAACAUUUAUUAAUAUGACAUGAGAACACAACUUUUAUAACCAUUAAUUAUUCUUAUAUUUAUUUACGAAUUUUCUAAGAAUGUUAUAUUAACUAAUAACAAAGUAAAAAAAAGGAAAUAUUAAACAUUUAUCAUAUUUAAUAAGUUUGAAAGUUUUUAUAGAUAAAAGAAUUGAGAAUUCAUAAAUUAGAGAUGUCUUCAAUAUUUCUUUUGACAGCUUUGAAGAUAGUGAAGAUAUAAAUAUGCUGCAAAAGGAAAAAAGGAAUAGAUAAAUUAAUGAAUAGAUUCUCAUUAAUUAUUCCUAUUUCCUACCACUUAUUCUCAUCUCAUUCUACUUUUAACAUGCUUCGAUUCUUCAUUAUCUUUUCAUAAAAUAUACUUCAUUCAUUUAUCUAAAGAUAUAUAUUAUUUUAAAUGUUUUAAUAUCAUCAAAAUUAAGAACAAUAACAAAAGAUUUCUUUAAAAAAAAACAUACCUUACAAAUAAUGAUAGUGGCACGAUUUAGUUUUCACCAAUUAGUGGAAUGACGAGGAAGAUCAAAUCCUUCACCUUCACUUUGGGAGCGUUCUUGACUUGAUUCUCUUGGCCUUUGUCCAAAAAUAUAUCCAAAAAAAGAAACAUUUUCACCUUGGUUUUCAUUCAAUUGAUAUGGAGGAUAUAUUUGAGGAUGAGGAUACAUGAAAGGUGGAGGUGGGUGAUACAUUGGUGGAGGAGGAUACAUUUGAGGCCGGUAUGGCACACCAUAAUUAGGAAAUGGUGGAUAACAACCAUAUGGUUGUGGAUAACCAUGUGAAGGUUGUUCUGGUGGAUAAAAACCUUGAGUGCUAGUAGAUGAAUCACUAUACCCAAGGUUACUAGAACUCGAUCUCCUACCACUGCCAGAUGAAGAGCCUAUAGAAGUAUGCUUCUUGCCUUUUCCCUUUGAUGGAGCUCUAGGUUCACUUCUAUCUCUCCUAGGUUCAGGAAACAUAUUUCCAUCAAACUCUGAUCUGUCACGAAAAUGUCCACCAGUGGUACCACCCCCAUAUUCUCCUCCAUACUAACUAGAAUACCGAAUUUCACCUCUAUCACCACUAUAUCCAUCAUCCUCAUCAAUUGGACUUAAACCACCACCAUCGGGUCCAUCGCCACUCUGACUUGGAGUUGAACUAGAACUUGAAUGAGACAAAAAUUGUUGUUGCGAUUGAUCAACAUCCAUUUCAUCAUCAGAGGUAUCCACAGGCAACACACCGGCAUUUUCACCAUCUAACAAUGGAUUCUCUUUCUCAUGAAGCCAUUCUGAUAGUGGAUCAACAUCUUCAAAGAUAUAAUCAAGGCUGAUAAGAUUAAAACUAGCAUUUAUAUCAUCAGUGCUCAUUCUUUGUUGAUGCCUCAUCUUAAGCCUCAUAUUAUAAUAGGUAAACACUAGUUUUUCAAGUUUUUUAUACUUUAACCUAUUUCUUGCCUUGGUGUGAAUAUAACUAAAUGUGCUCCAAUUUCGUUCGCAAUUUGAUGCUGAAGUUGUUUGACUAAGCACUUUAAUUGCUAAUUUUUGUAAUUCGGGAACACAUGUGCCGUAUAUCAUCCACCACUCAACUGCAUAAUAUUAUUUAAAUUUCAAAAUAACUUUAAAAUGUACAAUAUAAUUAAAUAAUAUAAAUUAAAUUAAAUAAUUUAAUUAACUGUUUACCCGAAUUCAUUUGCUUCCAAGAUCUUUGUGCUUGUGGAGUACCGAAUGUCUCAUGUUUAUCUCUAAAUAGUAACAACUGCAUAAAUAAAAGAUAGAGUAAAAAUAAAAAUAAAAAUUCUAUUUCAAAUGAUUUAACUAAGUUACAAAUAAUAGUAGUUGAAUCUAACCUGAUUAACCAUUCUGACUUGAGUAUCCAUAGAAGGUUCUAAUCUUUCAAUUACUGAUCGUGUACCUUCUAAUGUUUCUAUUAGUACAUUCUCAGAAUGCUCCAUCCCAAAUUGAAAUUGAGGGUUGAGAAAAUAACCUAAGUAUAAUUUAUAAGAAUAUCAUCAAAUAAUAAUAAUCUAAAGCUUAAAAUAAUAAAAUAUAAAAAUAGUUUUUAAUUAUAUGAAACAUUUUAUCUUACCAGCUGAAUGCAAGUCGGAAUGCAUAAAAUUCCAUCUAUUGUCAAUAAUCUUUUCAUACUCUGUGAAAUAUCGACAAUUUUGUUGAAUUGCUCGUUUAGCCCUAUCAACAGCCUCAUAAAUAAAGCCCAUCGUUGGUUUUUCAUCGCUAUCCACAAGUCUCAAUACUCUUACUAAGGGCUCAUAAACUUUUAUGAGGUCAUUGGCUUUUUUCCAAAAAUCUUUUCCCAAAACAAUUUUUUUGGCUUCAUAAGCAGGCCCUGACUUUUGCUUUCCCCAUUUUGAUUCUUUAAAUUCCUAUAUAUUCAUAAGAAAAAUUUUAAAAUAAUAUAAUUUAAAUUAUUUGGAACUAAUAAAAUCACUAAAGGUUACUAUAUUUAAGUAAUUAUAUUAACUAAUUAUAAAAUACUGACCUUUGAAUUAAACAUUUCUCUCAAACCUUGCUUUUGUCUUGUUAUCUCUUCUAGUUGAAUGAAAUGAGUUGAAAAUCGAGUAAGAGCGGGUUGAAGUAUUUGUUUCCCUUGUGUAUACUUCUUCAUCAAAUCAACAGUCCAAAUGUGAUUGUAUAUAAAGCAAGUCACUUUCUUUGCCUCAUCUAACACUUUUGCUACACUGGGCUUUUUCCCAAUAUCUUCAAGGCAUAAAUCUAAACAGUGAGCUGCACAUGAGGUCCAAUAUAGAUGUUGUCUUUUCAACAUUAAUUUUUUUCCAGCAGCUUUCAUUGCUGCCUCAUUAUCAGUCACUAUUUGGACAAUGUAAUUUUCUCCAAUUUCUUCUACAACUGAAUCUAACAAACGGUAGUAGAAUUCAGCAUCUCUACUACGGACACUUGAGACAUCUACCGAUUUCCAAAAAAUGGUUCCUUUACUGCAAUAAACAAAAAAAUUAAUGAUGUGCAUUUGAUUCAAACUGUUGGUCCAACCAUCACACAUUAGAGUUGCACCCAAUUCUUUCCAAUGAGUCUUUAGUACAUUUACCCAAUCAUGAACUCGUUGAUACUCUGACUCCAAAUACACAUCUGAAACCUUAUAAGGUGUUGGGAGCUUUACACCUUGUCCAACUUCUGUUGCCACUUGAAUUAAGUUAUACAACCAUGGAGAGCUUGCUAAUUGAAAAGGAAGUCUUUCAUAUAUUAUAAAUUUAGAUACCGCUUCACCUAUCUUCCUUCGAAAACUCUUUAAAAAAGAGUCAUUGACCUUUGGUUGCUUUGAACUUUUACUUCUAACCAAUUCAGGUAUAGCUCCCCUUAAGGUAAACUCAGACUCACCUGGAAUAGAUUUACUUGUUCUUUCUCUAUUAUGUUCUCUAGCUGAUCCAUGAGAAGAUCGCCCUUCUUCAUAAAUGUUAUCCCAACCACCAGUACUUCGUCUGAAUUCUUCCCUUCUAUGCCACUCGUGUUGUGAUUGGAUACUUUCUCGAGUUGCUUGCCUUAUAGCAGAAACCUCAUCAAUGAAUCCCUCGUGCUCAUCCUCCUCUUCUGUUAAUUGAGAUAAGAAUUCAUCUUUUCUCCUCUUUUUGUCUAUUUUCUUUGUGUUGCUUUCUUUUAGUACAUUCAUCAUACUUUCUCUAAUGACACCUGUUAAUAAAAUAAAAAUAAUUCACACUUUAUAUUAUUAUCAAUUAUAUAUAAUCUUUAUUGAUAAAUUUACAAUAACAUUUAAUAAUAAUAAUAAAGUAUCACAUACCAGUAACAUUAGGGCAUGGUGCAACAUUGCCAGUUUUAUGAGCAAUGUGCUCUUUAAAUCGUGUUAUUCCUCCUUUCACAACUUUACCACAAAGUUUACAGAUGAUACUUCCUCUCACAUUUGGCACUGGAGUUCCAAAGUGCCAACCUAUAUCAUUACUUGGUGCACCCUCCAAUCCUUUAGUCGGGAACUCUUCACGUGGUGGCAUGCUUUAUUUUUAUUUAUAUAAGAAACAUAAAAUUAUAUUUAGAAAUAUAAGCAACUCAUUACUUAUAUUAUCAACAAUAUAAUACCAAAAAAAGUAAACAAAAGUUAAAGCUAAAGUAAAGACCUAAUAUUAUAGAAAUAAAUAAAUAAAUAUUGUGUAAAACAAUUUAAUAAUAAUAAUAAUAAUAAUAAUAAUGGUAAUAAUAAUAAUAAUAAUAAUAAUAAUAAUAAUGGUAAUAAUAAUAAUAAUAAUAAUAAUAAUAAUAAUAAUAAUAAUGAUGAUGAUGAUGAUGAUGAUGAUGGUAUUAAUAAUAAUAAUAACAAUAAUAAAAAUCUUAAAAUUAAAAAUUAUAUGAAAGGAUAUACUAUAUAGAUAAAUAAAAUGAUAUAAUAAAAUAAAUGUAUUUAAAAUAUUUAGGUAAAUAAAUAUGAAAAGAAAUAUAAUUGAAAUAAUAAUGCAAAACUAAUUAAAUUUUAAUAAUAUGGUAAUAAUAACAAGUAAAUAAAUAAUAAAAUAAAAAAGGAAAAAUAAUAAUAGUAAUAGUAAUAUUAAAUUAAUUAAUUUAAUAAUAAAAUAGCAAAAAUAACAAAAACGGGACUAAAUCGAACUUAAAACAUAAAUUUGCGGCAAAUCUGAAAUAAAUAAAAAGAAAAAUGACCAAAUUGAAUGCACAAAUAACAAAAAUGGAUCAAAUGGGAAAUAAUCCCCAUCCUUCAAAACGCACAGCUUCAAGGUGGACCAAAUUGAAAUACGAAAUAAAUUAUAGGACAAAAUUAAAAAAGAAAUAAGCUUGAUUGUAAAUAAUAAAAAAUAGGAAGGGCUAAAAGCGUAAUUAACCCUUCCGUUAAAAACACGCAGAUCCUAGGAAACGGGUCGGGUAAGUGCGGGGUUAGGCCGAAACGGCGUCGUUUUGGUGCCAGAGUGGCCUGCCCAAAACGGCGUCGUUUUGAAGGCCUAUUUAAAUAAAAAAAAUUUCAGAAUCUUCAUUUCAGCCAUUCUUCAAAUAAUUUUUUUUCCUUUUUCUCUCAAUUCUCUUUUUUCUCAACCGUUGCCCAAAAUUCGGCCAUCGGCCACCGUGGCAGCCGCCGUUCACCGGCGACGGCGCUGCCGUGCACGGUGGUCAAAAAUUGCCGAAAACAUUUUAAACCCCCUUUUUUUUGUGUAGAAUAUAGAUUUAGGGAUAAAAAUCUCAAAAAAUCACUCUAUGUUGCAGAUUCAAGACAUGCAAGUACUUUACUUACUGGGUUAGUUUUCUACUUACUUGAUCUAUUGCUUUGCUUGCUGCCUGUGCCCUGUGGCUGUGUUUUUUGCCUUGCCGAAAUAUGGAGAAUGAAGAAAUAGAUUUUGCCUUUUCGUUUGCUUGUGAUUCUGUGAAAUGUGAGUUUGUGAGUCUGUGACUUACUGACUUGUAUUGUGAUUUGUGAGUGAGUUUUGAUUUUUUAAUUGACUUUCAGUCUUUUACUUUACUUUACUUUACUUUACUUUGUUAUUAUUGAAAGUUUGAAACUUGAUCGAUUUUGCAGGUUGGGAGGGAAUAUAUUCCCUUGCCUUUUGUUUUAUUAUCAAGUACAUUGAUUCAGUCUUUCUUCUCACUUUUCACUAUUCACUUCAAUAUUUCAUUCACCAGAAUCACCAUCCAUCUAUAGCACUUGAUUUUUUUUUUAAUUUACGGAAACGGAGAAUAACGAGAAUAGCGGCCCGUUAUUGCCGCAAUUGUCUGUUAUCCGUUAAAUUGCGGCCGCUAUCCACCGUUAUCGGUGUGAAUCCGCUUCCCUCCGUUAUUUUUAGCAAUAGCGGUUUCGAUCGGCGGCGCUACCGCUAUAUAACGGCCGCUAUUCUGAAAACGUUCUGUUAUUUGAAUCCCUGAUCAACUAUAUACUUUCCACAUUUUGGAAAAGACCUAGCCAUAAUAAUAACAUAUGAGCAACAUUUUCUCAAUCUCAAAAUGUAAAAAGCAAUACUGUACUAUCCUUUGAAGUUUGUUCUAAGAACAUUAGAAUGCUAAUCAUUAGAGUUUCAACUUAAGAUUAAACACAAAAAAUAUUGAAAAGUUUCAAGUACUAGGUGUAUUUUGAAAGAGUUGCUCCUAGGGCAUUUUCUCACCAUUCUUUUUCUUCCAUGGAUUCAAAUGCCUGUAAAAGAAAACCAAGGAAUAAAAAAUCAUAUCUACAACUCCAACAGAAGAGGGGAAUACCGGAAGAACAACCUCUACUUACCCUAUCAUAAACACUGGUAACAUCACUGUUGAAGCCUUUCAUAGCAGGGAAUCUUCAUAUAAAGAAUGAUUGAAAACCCACCGUGACACAUUUAGCUUUGAAGCUUCAGAUAGCUAGCCUAUCAAAAUGAUCAAAUAACAUAUCACAACUACCAUACAUGUGGUCUGAGCAUGAGAAAAUAAGGGAUGCUCUGAAAAAUUGGUGAUGAUCCAUCCAUCCAUAAUCACAACUGUUGACACCAUUUUUUGGAUGAAAAACGGGGUCGACUUGGGUUUUUUAAAAUGAAAACGAAACGGGAGUCGCCACCAACCCUUUUUGAUAAGGUGUGAUCGGAUCACCUUGAAAAACGGUUGUUUUUAAUAAACGAUUUAAUUUUAUUAAAACAACGGUUUUGGUCCACGAAAUUCAGAAAGACAGGCUCGGGAGUCGGUUACGCACGAGGAAGGAUUAGCACCCUCGAUACGCCCAAAAAUUGGUACCUAGUUGAUUAGUUAAUGUCUUAAUGUUGAAAAUUAAAAAUUUUAAAGAAAUAUAAAAUACGAUCCUUAAAAAAAAACUCGGAUGAUAUGGAUUGAAAAUCAAAAGGAUAUUUGGCUAUUCAGUUAAAUGAGAAAAAUCGACACCCAGCACCUUAGGGCACGUUUUCUCGAAUUUCCCAAACACAAAACAUUGCCUUAUUUUGAAUUUUUUCCUUAAAAGGAUAUUUAGCCAUUUGGUUGAAUGAGAAAAAUCGACACCCGCACCUUAGGGCACGUUUUCUCGAAUUUCCCAAACGCAAAACAUUGCCUUAUUUUAAAGUUUUUAAAAGGAUAUUUAGCCAUUUGGUUGAACGAAAAAAAUCGACACCCAGCACCUUAGGGCACGUUUUCUCGAAUUUUCCAAACGCAAAACAUUGCCUUAUUUUAAAGUUUUUAAAAGGAUAUUUAGCCAUUUGGUUGAACGAGAAAAAUCGACACCCAGCACCUUAGGGCACGUUUUCUCGAAUUUCCCAAACGCAAAACAUUGCCUUAUUUUAAAAUUUUUAAAAGGAUAUUUAGCCAUUUGGUUGAACGAGAAAAAUCGACACCGAGCACCUUAGGGCACGUUUUCUCGAAUUUCCCAAACGCAAAACAUUGCCUUAAUUUAAAAAUUUUAUUUUUGAUAAAUUCGAGUAAAAUAUAAGAUAAUGAUAAUAAUGAUAAUGUAAAUAACACAAGUAAAUAAGAAAAGAUAAAUAAAUAAGAUGGCAAAUAUAUAAUGAAAAGAAAUCAACAAAUAAAAGUAAAUAAAAAAUAAAAUUAAAACACUUAAAUAAAAUAAAAAUAAUAAUGAGCAUGUAAAUAAAUAAAUAAAUAAACACCAAAUGAAACAAUAAUAGUGAAUAACAUUAUAAUAUUUAUAUAUAUAGGUAUAUAUAAAAAUUAUGAAAAUAGAAGUAAUAAAAACAUAUAUAUGUAAAAAUAUGUAUUAUUUAUAAAAACUAGAAAUAUGUACAUGUAUUAUAAAUAUAUGCGUGUAUAAAUAAAUUAUAAAAAAGUAAGUGUAUAUGUAUACAUAUAUAUAUUUCAGAUAGUAUGUAUGUAAAUAUAUAGAAACAUAUAUGUAUAUAUAAAAAGAAAUACACGUAUAUAUAUAAGAACAAUUAUAAUAAUAAUAAUAAGUAAUAAUAUUACAAAAAUAACAAUAUGAUAUAAAAAUAUAAUAGUAAACAAAUAAAAAUAAAAAUAAAAUACAACAAUAAAACAGAUGGACUAAAUAGGGAUAAAAACAAAAGUACUGGGAAAAAUCGAAAUAAAAAACAAAAAAAUGACUAAAUUAAAAUGGAAACGAAAUCUCAGGGCCGAGAUAAAAAAUAAAACAGAGUAAGGGAUCAAAAUGUAAUGCGCGCGAAAAAUAGAGUGGCCAGUUAGGAAAUUAUCCCUAUUAAUCGAACGGCGCCGUUCUGCCAAGGCCCAGGCGCAUGGUUCCUGGACUAAAUUGAAACGGAUGCGAAAAUUUGUGGCCAAAAUUAUAAAAAAAAAAAGAAACCGCCUUGAACACACCACAAAAGUGGAGGUACUUAUUGCGAAAAUAUCCCAUUUGCAGAAAACGCGCGGAUCCUCCCCCUGGGCCGGGUCACCGCGCGGGUCAGAGACCAAAACGACGCCGUUUUCGGUCUCUGAACCCUAAGCUCAAACGGCGCCGUUUUAGGGGGGUUAUUUAAACCCAAAAUUUUUACAAAAAUUCAUUUUUUCUAGUUAAAAUAAAACAAACUCAAAAUCAUUCUCUUUUUUUCUCUGUUUCAAAAACGCUUCCCCUCCCCUUUUGAACCCGGCCACGGCGUCGGUGAGCUCGCACGAAGGCUUCACCGUAGCCUCGUCGCUGCUUCGCCUUGCCGGAGAAUAAAAAGAAAAGAGGGGCUACCCCCUUUUGCCCGUCUCUCCUCUGGCUUGGCCUAAACGAAACCCCGUAGGAUUUCUGUGGCUCCAUCGCAGAAGGGGUCAUCGACGGUGGCGCCGCAAGUGAAAGGUUCCUCCUUUCGACCCUUUUUUGAUUUUUUAGAGAAAUAAAUUCAAAUAAAACUUAAUAUAAAAGAAGACAGAGGAUUCAAGAGGCUUAAAUCACCUUGAAACUGUUUAUUGUUGUUUUUCUUUUUUUUGCUACUCUGUUUUUGCGUUACAUAAAUCGCUAGAAAAAAAAACAAAGUUACAUUUUGCUGGCUUUUAUAGCCGAUCUUCUAUUGCCUGCGUUCUUUGUUUGCUUGUUCUCUUCUUUGCAGGUGACGGCGCAAGUGGCGUGGUCGACGUGACUGUGGCGGUGGCGACGUGACGUUUGCGGCGACGAUGGCAGACCAAAGGUCAAUAGGUGCGGUGCUAGGGUUUCAGAAAAUCUAAAACCCUAGUCUGAAUUUGACACUUGAGCUUGGGUCUAUUGGCUGAAUUGGGUUACUGAUUUGGGCUUUGGUAGGUUUAGGGUUAAUUGGGCUUUAAUUUGGGUAGUGGGCUGGGUAAAAAUUUGGGCUGUACAGCUGCCCCUCUUUGCUCGUUGUCGUGUAAUGAUAGCAGAGCAAAGACUAAGAAAGACCAAUUUUUACCCGGUCUCAUCGAGGAAAUAGGAUUCGCCGUUGCGGCUUCAAUCUUUUAGUUGCAAUGUCGGGAAAGCAAGAUUCACUAUUGUAGCUCCAAUCUGUUCCACUGCACCGCUAGAGAAAGUAAGAUUCGCCAUUGUAGCUUCAAUCUUUUUAACUGCUGGGGAAGCAAGAUCCGCUGUUGUAGCUUUAAUCUGUUCCACUGCAACACUAGGAAAGUAAGAUCCGCUGUUGUAGCUUCAAUCUUUUUAAUUGCAAUGCCAGGGUAGUAAGAUCCGCUGUUGUAGCUUCAAUCUUUUGAAUUGCAAUGUCGGGGAAGUAAGACCCACUGUUGUAGCUUCAAUCUUUUGAAUUGCAAUGUCGGGGAAGUAAGAUUCGCCGUUGUAGCUUCAAUCUGCUCCACUGCAUAACUUGGGAAAGUAAGAUUCGCCGUUGUCGCUUCAAUCUUUUGAAUUGAAAUCUAUGGUUUCUUCGAUCUACUUUGCUGUCAACUUAGAAAAGCAAGACCUGGUAUCUUCAUUAAUCUGUUCUUUGGGGAACAUGAUCUAUAUGAACCUAUUUAUGCCUAAUGAUCAUGAUCAAAAUAUCCUGGCUAAAUGUGUAUGCACGAAUGUAAAAUGAUCUUUCAAUGUUUGAGUUGUUAAUGCUCCUUGCUCAAUAAGGCUUUAUUGCCAACACGUCCGAACACUAUCUUGUCCGGUUGGUAAUGCUCAUCUCUCACUUGGUCGGGUUGCCCCUAUUGUAAUCUUCAAGGUUCAAUCCACUGGAUGCAAAAUUUGAAUCACCUUUCUCCCUCUGUAACCUAAGGAUAGAAGGAUCUGGCCCUUUCUCGAUCCUCUAUUAUCAUACAGAAUGUGACACUCUUUGGUCUCCUACACCAUUCCCAGGGUGUCAUACUAACUGUUUAUGCACAAUCGCAAAAUUUUCUCUUCCGAGAAACCUCUUCUUAUCAUUUGGUGAUCAUUGAAGGUUUGUCACCAAUAUGACAUCUUGUCAUUUUGUUUAAUCCAUGUUUGGACAACAAAGUUUGAAAGGAUAGUCCUGACUUAGACUUUUCCCUUUUAGGUACUUUAAACUUGGUGUGUUCUAAACAACAGUCCGGUUUCAGGUUCCUUCAUUAUUUGGAAAUUUCUGGAUUAAUAUGCAAAACUCCUUUUGUUUGAACAUUCAGUCCAUCGAAAGAUUAUCGCAAUAGACAAACAAAAUGUUAUUGAGAACAAAUCUCGAAAUGAAUGAGUUAAUCAAAAUAACAAAUUUUGCUAAGAUAAGAUGAAAAGCAGACAAUAAACAAAAUGGAAUUUUAUUGGGGAACAAAGCUGGAAAUGAAUACAUUAAUCAAGACAACAAAUUUUGUCAAGAUUCAAAAUAUAAGGUGACAACAGAUGCCCCAGAUAUCGCAGCACGAGCUUCCCUGCAUAAGUUUUUCUAAAGAUCAUUUAAUAUGUGUUUAGGGAAUCUACAGUAUUUUGUCAAUACACCAAGAUGUCGCCUACCCUUUCUUGUGAUUCAGGUAUAGUAAGACCACCACAUGCGUCUUGAUCAAAAUUUUGAGUUGUUCCUUUCACCUCACGUUUCUUCAAAAUUUGAGCCGCCUUUUUCAGGUAUUCAACUCAAAUCCCUUUUGGUCUCAAGACGCCCAUUACGGGUUUUCACAUUGGCCUCUCCUUUUUUUUGAAGUGCCCCUUUUUCAAGUGAAAUAUUUCUUGACUGAAUCUGAGUUUACAAGAUUUGGCAGGCUUUUACCAUCCAUCUCGCUCAAGAUUAAAGCUCCUCCUGAAAAGGCCUUUUUUACCACAUAAGGACCUUCCCAAUUUGGCAUCCAUUUUCCUCUAAAAUCCUUUUGUAGAGGAAGAAUCUUUUUCAACACCAAGUCCCCCUCGUAAAAUUCUCUGGGACAAAUUUUUUUGUUAUAGGCUCGCAUCAUUCGUUUCUGAUACAUCUGACCGUGACGAAUAGCUUUUAACCUCUUUUCUUAUACCAAGUUUAGCUGGUCAUAUCGAGACUGAAUCCAUUCAGCCUCAUCUAACUUUAGUUCAGCUAAUAUUCGGAGGGAAGGGAUUUCAACUUCUAUGGGUAAAACUGCCUCCAUCCCAUAAACUAAAGAAAACGGCGUUGCCCCCGUAGAGGCCCUAACAGAGGUACGAUAUGCCAGAAGAGCGAAAGGUAAUUUCUCGUGCCAAUCUUUGUAGGUUUCAGUCAUUUUCCCCACAAUUUUUUUGAUAUUUUUAUUAGCUGCUUCCACAGCACCAUUCAUUUUUGGACGGUACGGUGACGAAUUGUGGUGUCUGAUCUUAAACUUACUACAAACUUUCGCUAUUAAGUUGUUGUUCAAGUUCAGCGCAUUAUCGGAUAUGAUCCUUUCAGGCAUCCCGUAUCGACAUAUGAUCUCUUUUUUCAGAAACUUGCUAACUGCUGACUUCGUGACAUUUGCAUACGAAACAGCCUCCACCCAUUUAGUGAAGUAAUCAAUAAUCACAAAGAUAAAACGAUGCCCAUUAGAAGCCUUUAGAGAUAUUGGCCCGAUAACAUCCAUUCCCCACAUGGAGAAAGGCCAUGGAGAAACCAUAACAUGAAGGGGUGACGGUGGUGCGUGCAUUUUGUCACCAUAAAUUUGGCACUUAUGGCACUUUUUGGGAUAAUUAAUGCAAUCCCCUUCCAUGGCAGACCAAUAAUACUCAGAUCUCAUAAUUUGUCUGGCCAUCGUAAAGCCGUUGGCAUGUGUUCCACAAAUACCUUCAUGUACUUCUUCCAAAAUUUUCUUGGCCUCAACAGCAUCCACAUACCUCAACAAUACUUGAUCUUUUCCCUUUUUAUACAAAAUUUCCCCAUCUAGGACAUAGUCAAUGGCUAAUCUCCUUAAUGUCUUCUUAUCAUUAUCCGUCGCACGGUCAGGGUACUCACGACUCUUCACAUAUCGCAAUAUGUCAUGAUACCAAGGGUGAUCAUCCUAUUCCCCUUCAUUGCCAAUGUUGCAACAAUGGGCUGGAGCCUAAUAAAUGUUGAUCUGGAUAGGCUUCAUAUCCUCUAGUUUGUUCACCUUAAACAUAGAAGCUAGGGUAGCCAAAGCAUCUGCCAUCUGAUUCCCAUAUCGUGGGAAAUAGCUAAAGGUGACAUUAUCAAAUUCCUCAAUCAAUUCCAUAACCAAUUUUCGAUAGCGGACUAACUUCGGGUCUCUUGUUUCCCAUUCCCCUUUGAGUUGGUAAAUUACUAAUGUAGAGUCCCCAUAUACCUCUAGCACCUUAAUUUUCCGCUCUAUGGCUGCUCGGAUGCCCAUAAUACAAGCUUCAUACUCAGCCAUGUUAUUUGUGCAAUCAAAAUCCAAUUUGCUAGUGAAAGGGUAAUGAUCUCCACUAGGGGACACGAGUACUGCCCCGAUUCUAUUGCCUAUAGCAUUUGAAGCUCUGUCAAAAUUUAGCUUCCAAGGACCACCUUCUUGGAAAUCUCUUUCUGUAGUUACAACAUACAUCAAAUCUUCAUUUGGGAAAUCAAAGUUCAAUGGUUCAUAAUCCUCCAGCGCUCUACUAGCCAGGAAGUCCGCUAUCGCACUCCUUUUGACCGCCUUCUGGUUCACAUAGACUAUGUCAAAUUCAGAUAGGAGAAUUUGCCAUCGGGCCAUUCUUCCAUUCAAAGCGGUUGAUUCCAUCAAGUAUUUCAGAGGGUCCAAUUUAGAAAUUAGCCAGGUUGUAUGGUACAACAUGUACUGUCUUAGUCUCCGAGUUGUCCAGAUCAGGGCACAACAUAACUUCUCGAUUGGCGAAUAUCUUGUUUUGCAUUCGGUGAACUUCUUGCUGAGAUAGUAGAUUGCUCUUUCUUUUCGUCCUGACUCAUCAUGUUGACCAAGCACGCAUCCCAUGGAAUUUUCAAAUACUGCUAAAUACAGUAUAAACGGUUUGUCUGGGCAAGGUGGCAUCAGCACUGGGGCGUUGGAUAAGUAAUGUUUGACUUUUUCAAAAGUUUUUUGACAUUCUUCAUCCCAUACACCUGGAUUAUGUUUCUUAAGGAGACGAAAUAUGGGGUCGCAUUUCUCGGUUAGCUGUGAGAUGAACCGAGCGAUAGAGUUCAGCCUUCCUAGAAAACCUCUAACCUCUUUUUGAGUAUACGGUGGACGUAAUUCUUGUAUUGCUCUUACUUUGUCAGGAUCAAUUUCAAUUCCUCUUUCACUGACCACGAACCCCAACAAUUUUCCUGAUCUGACCCCAAAUGUGCAUUUCGCUGGAUUUAGCUUUAGUUGAAAUUUUCUCAACCUCACAAAUAAUUUCUUAAGGACCUGCACAUGUUCCUCUUCUAUUAUAGAUUUUGCAAUCAUGUCAUCAACAUAGACUUCUAACUCCUUAUGCAUCAUAUCAUGGAACAGUGUUACCGUGGCCCUCUGGUACGUUGCCCCUGCAUUUUUCAACCCAAAUGGCAUUACCUUUUAACGAAAGGUUCUCCAUAAGGUUAUAAAUGUAGUUUUCUUCAGAUCCUCAGGAUGCAUCUUAAUUUGGUUGUAUCCAGAGAAACCGUCCAUGAAAGAAAACAGCGAAUGCCCUGCUGUGUUGUCCACCAAAGCGUCGAUAUGUGGCAAGGGAAAGUUAUCUUUUGGGCUAGCCUUAUUUAAAUCUCUAUAAUCUACACACAUUCGUACCUUUCCAUCUUUUUUAGGGACAGGAACAAUAUUGGCUACCCACUCAGAGUAUUUGACCACUUGCAGGAAUCCAGCGUCGAAUUGCUUUUGCACAUCCUCUUUUAUUUUUAAUAUAACAUCAGGCCUCAUUCUUCGGAGUUUUUGCUGAACUGGUUUGCAAUCUUCCUUUAUAGGAAGUCGGUGAACUACGAUGUCAGUACUUAACCCCGGCAUAUCUUGGUAUAACCAUGCGAAGACAUCUUUGAACUCUUGAAGCAAUUCAAUGAGGUCUUGUUUUACUUCUUCAGCUAUGCACGUGCCAAUCUUCACCAUUUUUCCCUCUUCCAAGGUCACUGUCUCUACCGUCUCUUCGUGAGGUAGGAUUUGUUUCUCUUCCUGCUCCACCAUCCUCAAUAAGUCCGGAGAUAGGUUGCACUCUAUGUUAUCUUCAAAAUCUUGAGAUUCCUCUAAACACAUAUCUCGUUCGAAAGGAUUUUCUAAGUCCAUAGUAAAGUCACUCAUGUCAUUGAUAUCUUGGGACCUGUUAUAUGUACCGAAGAAUGUACAGGGAAUGUAUGAAUUUAAGGAUUCUUAUUUAAUAUGGUCAUGAAUGAAAUGAAAGAAUGAUUUGGAAUAAAAACAUCCAAGAUAACUAUCCAUACGAAAGAAUGAAAAGAAUUUUAAAAGAAUAUAUACUCAAAAUGCGAAAAUAUAUUUCAUUGAAAUCACAAUGUUCAAAUAUAAGCCCAUUUCAUUUCACAAAAAGUUUCAUUUUCUCUAGGCUUAGAACAAUUAGCAUGUUUUGAAUAUUACUCUGAAAAAGCUCUAAAAACUUCAGGCAUUUCUUCUAUAGUCCAAUUGUUUAAAACACUCCCAGGUUCAACGGGAUAAAUGCCUGAUGUAUUUUCUUCUUCAGAUUUUUCUUCAAAUAUGGCAUUGAUGUUCAAGUUUCCUAACAUUUCCUCUGUGGUCUUCUUUCUUGGAGUUCUCAGCCCAAAAUACAUGGUUCCUCUUGAUACGAAGGUCCUGGAUAUGUGGGGGAAAGCCAACGGUUCCCAAUCAAUUUCUUUUCCGUUCAAACUCGCAUUCCUCCUCUCUUGUCUUUUCUCCAGCUCUUUCCUUCUUUGCUUAACAUUUGGCUUAAAUCCUAAACCAAAGCGGUCUCGUUUGUCCUUCACCACUGGUGCCUCUAUCCUUCCUUGAAGGCAUCUUCCCAGUCCUCUUCCAGGCACAGCUCCUUUUCCAAUUGUCAUUUGUAGUCCCAUUCUCGUGGCUCUAGAUAUGCUGGGCAUUGGGAUCCUCUUUCUCUCAAUAAUGAAGGUCGCAUUUACGAACUCUAAGGAUCGAAAGGAACAUUCGACCGCCUCAUCAUCUGUUUCCAAAUAUGGUGCGUCACUGGUUACUAAUGCAAUGAUAUCUUCCUCAGCGUUAAUCGUAAUUAAACGGCCUUCUGUUACCAAUUUCAACUUCUGGUGCAAUGAUGAAGGCACCACUCCUGCUGAAUGAAUCCAGGGUCUUCCCAACAAGUAGUUAUACGAAGGCUUGAUAUCCAUCACUGAGAAAUCCACCUCGUAUGUAUUUGGGCCAAUCAAUAGGGGUACUUCUAUUCUUCCCAUCACCUUCCUUUCGGUACCAUCAAAUGCUCUCACUAUGUUCUGACAUGAUUUCAUGUGAGAGCUAUCCAUCGGUAACCUUUUUAAGGUGGACAGGGGUAAAACAUUUAAUGUUGAUCCAUUAUCAAUUAGCACUCCCGCUAACGUACACUCCCCGCAGCGAGCAGUGAUAUGUAAUGCUUUGGUGGCUCCUCUUCCCCCGGCGGUAUUUCAUCAUCAUUAAAGAAAAUGAAAUUGUCGGUACUGAUAUUAUUAACCAAGCGGUCCAACUUAUUCAAUGAGAUAUUGUUAGCGACAUAAGUUUCAUUUAGAACCUUAAUCAACACAUUAUGAUGUAUUUCUGAACUUAUAAGCAACUCAAGCACCGAGAUACGAGCCGGUUGUUUAUGUAAUUGUUCUACCACGCUAUACUCGCUAUGUUUCAAGAAUUUUAGAAAUUCUCUAGCCUCAUUUUCAGUUACCGGCUGAUUGACACGCGGUUCAAUUUUGUCUGUUUUUAUUUUUCCCAACUCAACUGCUAAGGCUUUUCCUUUUCCCAAAUUCAUUCUUGCAUUUUUCAGAUCAUAGCGUUUUCCACUUCGUGUAUAGAAUCCUUCAUCCUCUCCUGAAGCGUUUACCAAGCUCUCUUUCCCUGGAAUUGUCACAUUGCAGUCGUAAUUCCAAGGAACCAUUUUGCUAUCCUCGUAAGGAAAGGAUACAGGUUAUUGGAUUAUGACCUUUGGUGCUAUUUGUAUUCCAGAUUCUUUGUUCAUUGGCUUUGAAAUGAUAACCACUGGGUGAUUAACCUCUUGGGCUUUCCCCGCAGAUCCUUCCUCUAAAGCAUAAACUUCUCCCUGUUCUAGUCCCUUGACCUCUUCAUAAAACUCCAUUUCUUUGUUAUCCAUUAAGCUCUGUACCAUGGUUCUGAACUCAGUGCAUUUUUGGAUGUCGUGGCCUUCUUUUGCGUGGAACUCACAAAACUUCCUAGCCCCUUCAGGCCUUUCUAUUGAAUUUUGCUUGAUGAGCCCUCUUUUCACCAUUUGUUUCCAAACCCAUUCAAGGGGGUCCUUAUCUUUGCUACGUUUGCUUUGACCCUCCUUCCUCCAUUCUCAGUUAUCACGUUCACCCCUUUAUCAUCAUGAUUGGGCAAUGGAUUCCCUGCUAUGUUUGGCCCUGAUGAGUCGCCAAUCUUUACGAUCCCCAAAUUGAUAAGUUUUUCAACUAACUUCUUGAAUGCAGUGCAGUUCUCAAUCAAAUGCCCCUUAGUCCCUGCGUGAUACUCGCAUUGGGCGUUUGCGUCAUACCACUUAGGGUAUGGAGGUUGCAUAGGUUUUAGGUAAAAAAUGGAGACCACAUGGGCAUCAAAUAGAUUUUGGUACAGCUCCUUGUAAGUUAUCGGUAUAGGUGUAAACUGGGGUCUUUCUGACUUCGAAUUAGACUCCUACCUCGGAGGGCCCUGAUGAUUGGUAGCUACUAUCUUUGGUGAGCCAACAGUGACAGACUUUGAAUAUCAUUUGCUGUAUGUAUUCACAUUAUUUAUCUCACCUUCCUUCUUCCUUGAGGUCGGUCUUCUAGAAUUUUCCCCCGCAUCUAUUUUACCACUUUUUACCGUAUUUUCGAUCAUUUCACCAGUCAUCACUAUGUCUGAGAAACUUUUAGUGGCACUUCCUAACAUAUGAUUGAUGAAUGGGGCCUUCAAAGUAUUGAUAAAGAGCAUUGUGGUUUCUUUUUCCAGUAGAGGCGGCUGGACUUGAGUUGCCACCUCCCUCCACCUCUGAGCGUACUGCCUGAAGCUUUCAUUUUGUUUCUUUUCCAUGUUUUGUAGGGUGAUCCUAUCGGGUGUUAUGUCCGAUAUGUGACUGUACUGUCUCAUGAAGGCCUGUGCCAAAUCUUUCCAAGAACUAAUUUGGGUACGACUCAGCUGAUUGUACCAUUUGGCAGCAGCUCCUAUCAGACUGUCCUGGAAACAGUGAAUUAACAAUUGAUCAUUGUCAAUAUAUCCCGUCAUCCUCCGAUAGAACAUGGUGAUGUGGGCUUCGGGACAGCUAGUUCCAUUGUACUUCUCGAAUUCGAGCAUUUUAAACUUAUGCGGAAGAACUAAGUCAGGGACCAAACUCAAGUCUUUAGCAUCGAUUUUGCAACGGUAAUCGGCAUUUUCCAUUGCUCUAAACUUUUCUUCUAACCACCUACACCUAUCUUCAAGUUGUUUCGGCAAAUCUACUCUUGCCUUUUCUGCUUCCGUUACAUCAUUCAAAUCAAGAACAACAGGGUUAGCCGGAUUAUCUCCCGGGUUAGAACCUGAACCUAUCUAAAAAUUUAUUGGUGCCAUGGUGUCAACCUGGCAUUGAGGCCUAAUGUGAACAUGCACUCCUUGUUGACACAUAUCCGGUUGUGCCUGAGUGCUCGUUGGGGCAAAACUUGGAGGAUAAACAGGGUCCUCCUGAUCGACUCCCGAAUUGGUAGCAGGGCCUUUUCCUUUGUCAGCCAAUAAUUGUGUCAAUUGGCUCAUCAUGGCUCUUUGAGAUUCCAGCACAUCUAAUUGUUCUUGCAUUUUAUCUUGUAUUUCUUUCUGCGUUUGUUCCAAUCGUUCUAUCUGUUGAUCCAUUGCUUUUGUUUUCUUUCUUGUACCGUAAGGGUGUUCCAGGAUAAUUGAAAUAAUUUUAUUUAAUUAGGGUCCUUUAAUGGUUGUUAAUGCAUAUGAUGUGAUGCAAUGCAUGAAAUGAAUGCAAAAAGAAAAGGCAUUGACUCUGAUUCAAUUCCAUUUAGAAAACUUUACUAGAAAAAUAAAAUUCUUUACAUAAGAUAGAUUACAUAUACGGUUUUGCCCUAAUGCUCAAAAUUCUAAUCUUCUUAAGUAAUGAAGCUAGCUCUUUUCCUCGGCUUGAUUCCAGCUCAUAUUUUACACUUAGCAUAUCAGCUUGCACUGCCAGCGUUUGCAAGUGAUCCGCAACCUCUCGAAUUUGAGUCACAGCUUCUCCCAUAAUGUGAUCCCUAUCUCUAACUUGGUUUUGAAAGUAGUGCAACUGCUCAUUUUGACGGUCUUCAUUAGCUUCCAAAUACUCGAUCCGGAUCUCGCAAUUUCGCAAUGCUGCUUCUAACUCUUCAGUUCUUUCUUUCAUUUCUUCAAUUCUAUUUAGGCUUGCCCUCAAUUCCAUCACAGAGUUCCGAUUUUAGUGCCGAUGAAGAGAUCCUUCUAAUUCAGUCAUUCUGUUCUCUAGCUCCCCUUUUUCCUUUUGAUUUUCUGACAAAUUCCUCUUUAGAGUCUCGUUAUGUGCUUAAAUUUCUUGGAAUCUCCUUUCCCAUUCAUCAGCUUUAUUCUUUUCUUCUUGAAUCUCCUUGCGCCACUGCUCAGAAGUCUUUCCCAACCCGGCAGUCCUCAUUGAUAAUCGCAACUUCUUAUAAUCUGUUUUCAAACUAUCAAGAUCUUCUUCAGCCCUAGCUUUCCCUUUUCUUAAUCGCUCCGUCUCGAGCUUCUGAACAUCUGUAUCCAAUUUUAAGUUCAUUUUUUCCUCCUCUAUUUGCUCUAUCUUCUUUUCUAACUCUGCAUUUCUUUCUUGAAAGUCUUGUUUUAAUAUUUCUAGUUCAGAAGGGACGACCCGUAAAUGCUCCUCUAUUGAUUGACUGCCUUCGCGACUCGGCUCAAGAAUAUUGUCGUUAAUCCUCUUACUCCGCUACCCAUGAUAUCUAGGAGUUAUCAUUGCCCCAACGGUGAAUCUUUUCAUCCGGUGAGUUUGCUUCCAAGCGUUGGACAUUUCUCGAAUCUUUCCUUUGUAGUUAUUACUCCCAUAAGCAAACUCACACUCGGUCAGUCCUUGCAUUGCCGGUAUGAACUGACUUGAUCUAUAUUGUCUUAAUAUGAGCAGAGGGGUAUAUCCGACAACUCCCCAAAUUCUGAGUAAAGGAACCCAAUCGAAGUCUCCACAUCGAUACAAAAUCUUGCCAGGCACUAUCCAAGGAGCUUUCCAUUCAACAUCCUCAUCUCGGAGAUUUUGAAGGAUUGCCAUCCACCUUUCUCCAGUAAUAUUGUCACGUAUUGAUGUUGCUGCUGAUUCUUUCAAAGGAGAGUACUUUUCAGAGAACACUUUGUAAGAAACCUUAUCCACCUUCCAGAAGUGACUAUGGAACCAAACUAAUAGAAGCUGUGCACAACCAAUAAAUCUUCCUUCACCUGCUCUCUGGCAUGCACUCAAAGAUCUGAAUGUUUCAGCCAAAAUUGCUGGGACUGGUGUAAUCCCCCUAUCAAGUUGAUUGAACAAAUCUGUAACCGUUUCAUCAAUAUGUCUUAAUGCUUUGGGGAAAAUAACCAACCCAUAGAUACUCAAGGCGAGGACAUCAACUUUCUUCUUUGUAUCAGGGUGUGCCGAAAUCUAAUCUCGCAAACUUCUCCAAGGGAUACAUUUAUUUUCCCCUUUUUGUUUGAUAUGUGCCGUAACCCAUUGCUCGCUCAUUCCGGUAAUUUUUGCUAACUUCCUUGUAAAAGUGAGAACAUUGGCAGUUCUAGAAUAAACUUUAUCUACUUGGAUUCUUGGACAACGAAGUAAAGUUCUAUACUCCUCCACAGUAGGCACUAUGUCUACCUCCCCAAAGGUGAAGCAGCUAUAAGCAGAAUUCCAAAAUUGGGCCAGAGCUCGAAAUAAAUGCUCAUCCACCUUGAUAUCGAGCAAGUAGGGCAGAUCACCAUAAUUACAGCAAAACAACUGUUUGACCUCGUCAUCCCAUUGAGCCCAAAUUUUUUUCAACUCUUGGAGAUCAUUCUAAGUUACGUUGAUACAAGUGAAGUCCCAUAAUUCUGAUGUGUAUCCCUCCGUCAAACUAUCACCUUUCUCAAGUUGUGUUUUUUCUGACCAUGUUUGGACAACCGAAUUAUUAUCCGCCUUAUCAGGAAAUUCGUUUUCCAUGAUGAGCUUUCUGUCUAGAAAUCGAAUGUGAAUCAACGCCUUUUGUAAUGAAAUGCCAUGCAGUUGAGAUGUCAUGCAUCCAAAGUAAAAUAGCAAAGAUUAGUAUCAGAUAUAAACAUAUAAUCCAAAACAAUUCAGAAAGAUUAAAAAUACAUAUCAGGGUAUCACUAAGGUUUGGUGUAGUUCUACCUAGGGUGAGUUCCUAAGGUUCACUACAUGCGGUUUGGCUCUAAAGUAAGGGUACCCAAACCAGCAGAUUCCUCGAUCUUCACCCAUUAUAGGCUCAUAUAGACCGAGUUUGGUUCAGGGGAAUACAUUUAGCUAUGGCUGCACGGAGAUGAAAAUCUCACGAAGACAUAGGUACGGAUGUAUCCCGAAAGUGAUCCACUAUCCUGGACGGAGGUGAAAACCUCACGAAGGACUAGCUUCUCACUCCUACUUAAAAAGGUGUGACCAACGGUCAUGCAAUGCAAUGCCAAAAGAUAUAAAAAUUUAAAAUACAAAACAUGAUGAAAACUCAAAACAAAUGAGAUGCAAUGAGAGGAUCGUAUAUUUAAAUCACAUUUUCAACUUUCGACAAAAAGACAAGAAAUAAUCAAAUCGUGGCUUGACUCUCUUAUUUAUGUCCCCAGCGGAGUCGCCAAGCUGUUGACACCAUUUUUUGGAUGAAAAACGGGGUCGACUUGCGUUUUCGUUUUCAUUUUUCAAAACCCAAGUCGACCCCAUUUUCAAUCAAAAAAAUGGUGUCAACAACAACGAUUGCGCUCAAGCGAUGCAUCAACAAGAGAAGUGCACACAUAAACGUACAAAAUACCGAGGAAAGCCAACCAAACAUCCUUCAAUAGUACAAUGAAAUGUCAAACGUUUUUAACUAAAUCCCAUUCCCAUAUACAUAGGCAUAACAAUUGCAGUUGAGCGAUUGCUCCAAACCCAUGCCAUAUAGUACAAAGCAAAGGAUCCUUAAAGACGAGGACGAUAUAAGAGUUAAGCAAACAUAUAUGCAAAAAAAGCGUAGAAAUCAGAAGCUGCCGAUGAUAACAGAACAUUAAAAUUGCUUAAUAAAUGUUCCCGAUGAAAAAUAUAUGAAUAUACGCAUAAAUUUAGUAUUGCUAUUAAAUAUCAUGAGCACUGCACAAAUUUAGCCCAAUUUAAAGGAAAAAAAAUUCUCUAAAUUUCCAUUUUAUUUGACAUAUCUAGAUUUGUAAUUUGAAACUUUGUUCUUAUUCACAUGAAUUAAAAUUUGAUCUAAUCUGAUUUUAUCAUUAAAAAUGAGCCAACAGCCUAAAUCUUAAUUAAGACGAAUAAAAGCCUAAUCAUGUGGUUUUGUGAGAAAUUGACACUAGGGUAAUCUAAAAUUAAACGCUUGAUGAUCUCUCGACUCUCUUAGCUUCUUGCUAGGGAAUUAGAUUACUCUCACACACUAACACACACAUUUCCCCUAAGGUAGCUACGCUAAUUUUCUUGAAUUCCCUUCUUAAUCGCAGCUCUUAUUUCUAGUGAUUUUAUCCCUACAGAUUGAUCAACCAAUCAUGCUAAAUCGCUAAAUAAAAUACCAUACUGGCUGUGUGAAAUGCUGCCAUCGGAGGCAUCCUUCGCGAUCAUAAUAGAACUUCCUUGCUGAUUUUUUUUAAGGCCAUUAGAAAAGAAAAUAUAACAAGAGAGCACAAAUUGGUUCGGGGAUAUUAUUCCUUAGAACAACAGGCAGAACCAAGAAUGAAAAUUACAUCAUAAAAUAAAAUACCUCACCACAAUAACCAUUCACAAACUUUGAGCAAGGUUCUAAACGGUCAUCGACGGUAGACUUUGCAACACUAGUACCAUUUGGCUUUCAACCCCCCAUCAAAUUUUGUGGUUCUCAAAGCUGAGUGAAUGUAGAAUGCUAAAUAAAUAACAGAUUUGGCUCCUCCACUUCUUUUUAUGAAGGUUCCCUUGAAAUGCCCUAUAAGAGUAUGAUAAUGCUAAUCAUUAGAGUUUCGGUUUAUAAAUUAAACAAAAAAUGAAAAGUUUCAAGUAGCAUUAGUAUUUAGAAAGGGUUAAUUCAAGGCCAUUUUCUCACCAAUUUUUCUACCUUGAUUCCACACAAUCCACAUGAUCAAAAAUGUAAAUUCUCAUCAAGUGAAUUGAUACAUCUCAAAAGUAGCCUUCUAAUGAUUUCGUUGUGUUAAUGCCUAAAUUGAGCUCUCUAAUGCCAUGCCGUACUGUGUAGUGUAUCCUUCCUGUAAGGAUCAAUACCAUGUUCAUAGUGGUUAUGAAAUCUGUUGACACUGAUAUCCUUACUCAAUAACCACGAAGAUCUGUAAACUAUUACGUAAAGACUUAUUCUUCUAGAAAACCUUUGGGUAAUAUUUGACAUAGAUAUGUAAAACAGUUUAUAAAAUUUUGCAUGUAUUUAAAAGAUCAUAUCUUUUAUACACGUCAAGGUGAAACUAAGAGACAUGAUUUAAAUAGUUCACUCGCACUCACUUUUAAAGGUGGAUUCUUGAGGUUUUAGCCAAAAUUAAAAAAGCUUGAGUUCAAUUUAACAACUAGGACUCGAAGCUUGACUCAAGUUAGAUCGAGUUUCAGUUUUAAUGUAGAGCUCGAUUUUGAUAUAAAAAUUUACUUAAGUUCGUUAUAUUAGAUUCGUUUACCAAAUAAAAUGAAAAAAAAAGGGUCAAAUUCUAUUAUUAAUUCUUACACUAUGUAUAAGUCGUGGAUUUAGUUUAUGUAUUUUAAUUUGGUUAUUUUUAGUCACUAUACUUUUCAAAAUUUAAAAUUUCAAUCUUCAUCAAACAGUAACCGUUAAAUUUAUUAAGUUAAAUUAUACUAUUUUCAUAAAUAUGAUAUAAAAAAAUAUAUUAUCAUAUUAGCUUGUAAUUUUCAUAUAAUACUCAUAAAAAAGUCACAUUAUUUUAGUUAAUGAAUUUAACUGCUAUCAUUUGAGUCAAGAUUGAAAUAUCAAAUUCAAAAAGCAUAAAGACUAAAAACGAUCAAAUUGACGACCAAAUUAAAGUACAUGAACUAAACUUACAACUUAUGAGCAAUAUAAGGACUAAUAGUGAAAUUUGAACAAAAGAAAACAUGAAAUGAAACAUGCAUACAUACAUACCCUAAGUGCAAGGAAGUGUCUGAGAGAUGGUUGUCAUCAUCUGAUGCACUAUUAUUAUCAUCAGCCUUUGAAUUAUUUGGUGAAUGAUCAAGUCUUCUUUCCAGCAAUGGAUUCAAUUCUAGUAUAUUCGAGCUCCUUUUUUGUCUCAAUUCCUCAACCUUAAAACCACAUUCAAUAAUCAACAAAAUGCAAUAUUACAAACUCCAAAAUCUUAAUAUUAUAUAUAAGCUAAACUACACUGUUAAUCACUCAAUUAUCGGUAAGUUUAUUUUUUGAUUACGCAAUUAUAAAAAGUAACAAAAUUGUCAUGAUUUUGUCCUUUUUGUCAUCCGUUAUUAAAUGGUUAAUGGAAAGAUUACGUGGCAGGUUUUAAAAUUGGCAUUAUAGCGAUUUUAACCCUCAACAUUUAUACAUUGUGUCAAUUUAGUCUUGACUCUAAAAAGUUCAUCUUUCAACAUUUACAUGUAGUGUAAUUUAGUCUUUUUUACAAUUUUACUUUUUUUGUGUGUGUGUGUGACCUUUUAACAACUUAAAAAGCUAAAAAAAUAAAAUUAUCCAGCUAAAUUUUAUCGAAAAUAUAUUAAAUUAACACAUAAUGUCACAAAGAAAAGCAAAAGUACUGCAAAAAAAAAAAGAGACUAAAUUAUAGAAUGUGUAAAUGUUGAGGGUUAAUUUUUUUAGAAUGAAGAAUAAAUUGACACAGUAUAAAUAUCGAGAGUUAAAAUUGCUAUUAUACUAAUUUUAAAAACCAUCAAAUUACCAUUCUGUUAGUGAUUUAACUAUUGGUGACAAAAAAGAUUGAAUAGUUGGAUGAUUAACAAUAUAGUUUACUCUUAUAUAUAUAUAUAUAUAUAUGUAAAUACAUGUGUGUAUGUGUGUAGCAGUUGAUUAUACGUAUGACCUACGUACCUGUUUGCGUAGAUCUUCAUUCUCCAUUACGGUCUUCUGUUCCUGAAAAUAUACAAAUAUUAAACCAGAAAUCAUUAGUAUUAAAUGUUAAUUACAAUUAUUUGAUUGCUAAACAUAUAUGAUUCCUUAUUCUCUUUCAAAAGUAAAUAUUUAUACUCUAAUGUGUAUCUAUAAUUUUGUCUUUUAAGUCGAGGUUUUUAGAUAUUCAGAUGUAUAUAGUGGGUAAUUAAGCAUUGGAUUGACAUACGAUAACCUUUUAUGUCAAAUGUUCAAAUCUGGACUUGAACUAAGAAUAAGUGUCAAAUAUCGAUAUAUGUUAAUAUAGAUGUGAUGAAUUUUUUAAAAUCGAGAAACAUUCCUCUUAUAUAAAUAUUCAAAUUUGUGUCAAACACGUAUAUAAAACAUAAUUACUUUAGAAAAAAUUGGAUUAAUAUGGGGAUAUAAAAUGUACCUGUAAUCGAGAUCUUUUAAGCUGCUCCAUUAGAAUUUGCUCCUACAACAAUAAAACUUCAGUUUCUAGAGCUCACAAUUAGGCUCCUAAUGAAAUUAUUUUAAGUUUGUGUUUGUAGGAGAGUUACUAAAUAUACUAAAAUUAUGUUUGUUUGGAGUUAAUAUUGAUUAAAAUUAGAGAUAAAUUAUGGACGAAAAUAUUAAUUUAUUUUAAAUGAUGAAGCAUAGCAACUUUAAUAAUAUAAAUUAUUGUGAACGCUUAGUUGAAAUGACAAAAUUAAGGUUUUGAAGCUACGGGUAUCCUAAUGAUUUAUUUUGAAUUUAAACUAUUUUUUUAUAGAUUUUAUAUAAAUACAUAAAUGAAAAAUAAAAAAGCAAACUCAUAAUAUUAUUUGUCAUCUUUUAAAUAAAAACCCUUUUUUAAAGUUAUUUUUCAACUAAAUUGAUCUUUAGUUAAACUUGUGGCUUCAACUUAGUUAGAUAACUAUAUAUAUAGUAUAAUUAACAAACAAUAAAAUUGAAAUUCACAUACAUGUAUGCUGUGUGUAGCCUUAAAUACUCCUGUUUCAUGGUGUUCACUUCAAUUCCUUGCAACUUCUGUUUUUUUAACAAAAAAAAAUGCACACACAAUAUUAGAAAUAUAAUUAUUAUUUUCAAUCGAGUCUUAAUUCUGUUGACACCAUUUUUUGGAUGGAAAACGGGGUCGACUUGGGUUUUGAAAAUGAAAACAAAAACGGGAGUCGCCACCAAUCCUUUUUGAUGAGGUGUGAUUGGGUCACCUCGAAGGGUAGUUGUUUUUAAUAAAAGGUUUGAUUUUAUUAAAACAACAAGUUUGGUCUACAAAAUCCAGAAAAAACAGGUUCGGGAGUCGGUUACGCACGAGGAAGGAUUAGCACCCUCGAUACGCCCAAAAUUGGUACCCAGAUGAUUACUUAAUGUCUUAGUGUCGAAGAUUGAAAACUUUAAAGAAAUUUAAAAUACGAUCCUUAAAAAAAACUCGUACGGCAUGGAUUUAAAUUCAAUAAGAUAUUUGGCAAUUUGGUUAAACGAGAAAUCGAAACCCAGCACCUUAGGGCACGUUCCUCGAAUUUCCAAACGCAAAACAUUGCCUUAUUUUGAAAUUUUUAAGAAGGAUAUUAAGCCAUUUAGUUGAACGAGAAAAAUCGACACCCAGCACCUUAGGGCAUGUUUUCUCGAAUUUCUAAACGGCAAAACAUUGCCUUAUUUUGAAAUUUUUGAAAGGAUAUUUAGCUAUUUGGUUGAACGAGAAAAAUCGAAACCCAGCACAUUAGGGCACGUUUUCUCGAAUUUCCAAAAGCUAAACAUUGCCUUAUUUAGAAAAAUUUUCCUUUUUUGAAGUAUGGUGUUAAUAUACAUAAUGGAAUAAUAAAUAUGACAAUUUGAACAAAAAUAAUAUAAGCAAAAAUGAAUAAUAAAAAAAAAACAAAUCAAUCAUGUAUAUACCAUAACGAAUAAAUAAAUAAAUAAACAAACUAAAACAUAAAAAAUGGACAUAUAAAUAAGGACAUAAAUGAAAGAAAAAAUAAAGGAAAAUAUAUGAAAAUUAUAAAAUAUAAAAAAGGUAGGUACAUAUAAGGGAAAUAUGUAUGUAUACGCAUAAAAUUAUGGAAAUAUGAAAUAUAUAUAUAUAUGUAUUUUAAAAUUAUUAAAUAUAAAAUUUUAUGUAAGUGUGGAUAUACAUGUAUAUGUAUAUAAAGUAUAUAUAAUAAGGAAUAUGCAAGCAUGUAUAUAUAUAUAUGAAAAUUAAAAAUAUGAAUUUAAAGAUAUAUAUAUAAAAAAAAUAAGACAUAAAAUAUACAUGCAAGUAAAAACGUAUAUAUAUAUAUAUAAUAAGAUAUAAAGUAUAUAUAUGAAAAUUAAAAUGUUUGUGAAUGUGUAGAUAUGUAUGUAAGUUAUGAAAUAAAAAGGUAAAUUUGUAUAUACAUAAAAAAAUAAAAAGGAGUAAGAAGAAUAUGUGUAUAUAUAUUUAAAAUUAUGAAAUAUAAAAUGUGUAAGUGUGUGUAUAUAAAGUAUAAAUAAUAUGUAAGUAUGUAAAUAAAUAAAUAUAAAUUAUAGGCGUAUGGAUCCUUUAUAAAAAUGUAUGGUGGAUAUAGACGUGUAUAUAUAUAUAUGCAAUUAUAAUAAUGAUAAUAAUAAUAACAACAUCAUUAAAUUUGUCAAUUUUAAAAAUAAACUAACCAAAAUAACGAAAAAGGACUAAUUUGAACUUAAAACAAAAAUCUGGGGGGAAAAUCGCAAAUAAAAUAAGAAAGGAGUGGCCAGGGACCAAAAUAAAACAUGCUUAAAGCGCAAGGGACCUGUUGAGAAAUAUUCCCUUUCACUGAAACGUUGCGUUUCGACCGAGGGGGGGCAUGGUCUAAGGACCAAAUCGAAAUACAAACUAAAUUCACAGGCCGAAUAACAAAUAACCAAAAAGGAUCAGAUCGGCUACUGCACAAAAGCGGAGGGGCCUAUUGCGCAAAUAGCCCCUUUGGCGAAAACACGCGGAUCCCCUGGGUCGGAUCGGGUCGACGCGCGGGUCAAGGCGUGUCAAAACGGCGCCGUUUUGUGUUUACUAUAAAUAUUAAAAAAACCCCAAAAACAAAUCAGUUUCAUCAUUUAAAAAAAACAGAGAGAGAGCUCUCUCCCCUCUCUCUCAGGCCCCAAGUUAGGCCAAGGGUUCUGGCGAUCCUCCGCCAUUGACGGCGUCACGCCGGCCAUCGUACACGGUGGCCGGAAAAUUCAAAGGUAAAAUUUUUCUCUCCUUUUUCUCUCUUUUAUUUUAUAUUAUUGAUAUCUAAAAUAAAUGAAAAAAAUAAGAGAUAAAAAAAUGGGAAUCUAAGAAGAAAAAACCUUUAAACUUGCUUUUUUUGUUUUUUUUUAAUUUCAAACGUUCGUAGCAAAACGAAAGAAGAGAAAACUCUUCUUCUUUUAUAGCAAACUCGGUUUUUUUGCCGAAAAGGAAAAAAAAGAAUCAAAUAAAAAUCCCCCUUUUUACAUGUUCUUAGUUUCGGCUUUUAAAGCCGAUUUACAUGAAAUCCCUAGUCUAUGCCUAUGCCUGUCUCGCUUGCCUUGAUUUGUUUGCAGGGAUCAACGCACGUGGAUGGAAGUGACGGUGGCAGUUGGCGGUGGUUGCUGGCAGAGCAGGUGGGCAGAAGACCAAAAGUCAGAAGACCCUAGGAGCGGUGCCUAGGGUUCUUCUGUUUUCUGCUAGGGUUUUCUGUUUCCUUUUUUUGGUUGGGCCAUUUGGGCUGUUUAAGUUAGUUGGGUAUUGAAAGUUUGGGUUUAAUUUGUUUUGGGUUUGUAUUAGUUUUGAUGGGCUUUGGGCUUGGGGUUUAUUACUGGGCCCGGGCAAAAUGGCCUACAACAGCUGUCCCUCUUUGCUCGUUGUCGUGUAACGAGAAAAGAGCAAAGACCAAGAAAGGCCAACUUUGCCCGGUCUCGCUUGUUUUGGACUCGCUCUAGUGCUUCUCUUCAAGUAGCUUUAUUUCAGUCCACUGUGGCUUGUUGCUUCGCUCUACUCAACUGCACUUCUGAAACCUCUGACUUGUAGCCUCAAUCUUCUUCACAGCAACUUUAGGGGGACAAAGUUUAUGGUUUUAAUUUACUCCACUGCAACUUCAGGGAGAUAAGAUCUGUGGUUUUAAUCCGCUCCGCUGUAACUUCAGGGAGAUAGGAUAGUGUCUUCGAUCUGCUCCGCUGUAACCUCAGGGGGAUAAGAUCUGAAAUUCUUCGGUCUACUCUACUGUAACCUCAGGGAGAUAAGACCUGGUGUGAUCUGCUCUACUGUAACUUCAGAGAGAUAAGAUCCUUUAUUUUAAUCCGCUCCACUGUAACUUCAGGGAGAUAGGAUUAUGUCUUCGAUUUGCUCCGCUGUAACCUCAGGGAGAUAAGAUCUGAAAUUCUUCGGUCUACUCUACUGUAACCUCAGGGAGAUAAGACCUGGUGUGAUCUGCUCUACUGUAACUUCAGAGAGAUAAGAUCCUUUAUUUUAAUCCGCUCCACUGUAACUUCAGGUAGAUAGGAUUAUGUCUUCGAUCUGCUCCGCUGUAACCUCAGGGGGAUAAGAUCUGAAAUUCUUCGGUCUACUCUACUGAAACCUCAGGGAGAUAAGACCUAAUGCGAUCUACUCUACUGUAACUUCAGAGAGAUAAGAUCCUGUCUUCGAUCUGCUCCGCUGUAACCUCAGGGAGAUAAGAUCUGAAAGUCUUCGGUCUACUCCACUGUAACCUCAGGGAGAUAAGACCUGACGCGAUCUACUCUGCUGUAACUUUAGAGAGAUAAGAUCAUUCAUUUUAAUCCACUCCACUGUAAUCUCAGGGAGAUAGGAUUACUAACUUCAAUCUGCUCCGCUGUAAUCUCAGAGAGAUAAGAUCUGAAAUUCUUCAGCCAGCUCCACUACAACCGAGAGAGGUAAGGUUCGUCUUCGACCUGCUUCGCUGUCAAUGCAGGAAGGCAAGAUCUUUUGUCUUCAACCAGCUCCAUCACAACCGAGAGAGGCAAGGUUUGUGUCUUUGACCUAUUUCACCGUCAAUGCAGGAAGGCAAGAUCUUUUGUCUUCAACCAGCUCCAUCACAACCGAGAGAGGCAAGGUUUGUGUCUUUGACCUGCUUCGCCGUCAAUGCAGGAAGGCAAGAUCUUUUGUCUUUAACCAGCUCCACUGCAACCAAUGAAGGCAAGGCUUUGUUUUCGAUCUGCUUUGCUGUUAACGCAGGAAGGCAAGAUCUACUUCUUUAACCAGCUCCACUGCAACCAAUGAAGGCAAGGCUUUGUUUUUGAUCUGCUUCGCUGUUAACGCAGGAAGGCAAGAUCUGCUUCUUUAACCAGCUCCACUGCAACCAAUGAAGGCAAGGCUUUGUUUUCGAUCUGCUUCGCUGUUAACGCAGGAAGGCAAGAUCUGCUAUCUUUAACCAGCUCCACUGCAACUAAUGAAGGCAAGGCUUUAUUUUCGAUCUUCACUGAUCUGUUCUCUGGGAAACAUGACCUGUAUAAUGAACCUAAUUAUGCCUAAAGAUUAGGAUGGAAUGAUCAAAAUGAAUCAAAUGCUCCUAACUAGACAUGUGUGAACGGUGUUUGCAUGAAUGCAAAAUUUUAUUUUUCCGAGAAUGAUCCCGCCGAGGUUGUCAUUACUCGAAGUUUAUUAAGGCUUUGUGACUGACGUGCUACAACGUCUUCUCACUUGACCGACUUCUCCAAAGCAUCACUUCAGUCAGAUUGCCCCCACUGUGAAAUCCACUAGGACACAAAAUUUGUACCAUCAUUCUCCCACUGCAACCCAAUAGUAGAAAUAUGUGGCUUUUCCUCAAUCUUCUCCUAUCACAAUUCAAGGAAACAGGACGCAAAUCAUUCUAGUUUCUCACACCAUUCCCAAGGUGUCAUACUCAUGUGCAAAUAAAUGAUCUCUUCUCCGAGGUAAGCUCUGACUAUUGCCUGAUGAUCAUUGCUUGCUUGUUCAUUUAAGCUUUGUCAUUAACCCGUCAUCUUAUCAUUUUGUUCAAUCAAUGCAUUUGACAAUGAAAUCCAAAGAGAAAGUCCAAAUUUAUACUAUUCCUUCUCAAAUCUCCAACCUUUAAAUUUGGUGUGCUUUAAACGAUAGUCCUGUUUCAGGUUCCUAUAUUAUUUAGAAACUUUUCCGAGUAAUAUACAAAACUUCCUUUGUGAAAGUUUUAUUAGUCCAUUAACCAUUAUUCCAAUGCAACAUGUUUGCAGAAAAGGGUCAUAACAAUGGAUAAGAAUAAAGUUGGUUCUGAGCAUAGCUCGAAAGAACAAAUUAUCAAAAUAGUAAAGAAGGAUGACAAAGAAAUUAAUUGGGAAUGUAUAUCUUGGAAAAGAAAAAAGUAUUCCAAGAACAACAAAUAAUAUGAGAAUUGGGUGCCCCAGAUAUCGCAGCUUGAACUUCUCUGUACAAGCUUUCUGAAGACCAUUUUGAGCUGGACAUGCGUUUAGGAGAUCUACAGUGCUCUGUUGAUGCCCCAAGGUGUCGCCUAUCCUUUCUUGUUGAUUCAGGUAUAGCAAGAUCACCACAUGCCGCAAUAUGAUCAAAAGUCGAAUCGCUCUGGUUGCCUCAUGCCCUAUUCUGAGCAAAUAUUUGAUCCGCCCUUUUCGGGUUUUCAACUCAAAUCCCCUUUGGCCUAAGGCGCCCUUUGCGGGUUUUCCCCUUAGCCUCUCCAUUUUUCAUUUUUUCAUUUUUCAUUGUCAUUUGCCUCUCUCUUUUUUGACUCAAAGUGCCCUUUGCGGGUUUUCACCUUGGUCAUUUCUCCUUCUUUAAACGAAAUAUUUCUUGAUUGGAUCCGAGUUUAUAGGACUAGCAAUCUCACUCAAGAUCAGUGCUCUUCUGAAAAAUGUCUUCUUUACAACGUAGGGACAUUCUCAGUUUGGCAUUCAUUUCCCUCUAGAAUCCUUUUGGAGAGGAAUGAUCUUUUUCGACAUCCAACCCUCUCGUGGAAUUCUCUGAGAUGACACUGUUCAUUAUGGGCUCGUAUCAUUUGUUUUCGGUACAUCCGACCUUGAAGAAUAACUUUUAACAUUUUUCCUAGGUUCAACUGAUCGCAUUGCGAUUGAAUCCAUUCUGCUUCAUCCAAUUCUAGCUCAACUAAUACUCGGAGAGAAAGGAUUUCAAUAUGUGAAACUACCUAAACCCCGCAAACCAAAGAGAAAGCUAUUGCCCCGGUACAGAUGUUCGACAAGCAAUGAAGGCAAAUAGUAAUUUCUCAUGCCAAUCCUUGUAAGUCUCAGUCAUUUUCCUUCAAUUUUCGAUGUUCAACUCUAGGCACUUCAGUGACGAAUCGUGGUGUCCACUUCUGAGUUAAUUUGAGACCUCGGCUAUCGUGCUAUUGUUUGGCUCAUGAAGUAGCCUCUCAAAAUGAAGCAAUGCCCAUUAGAAGUCUUCGAUAAUGGUGAUGUCCAUGCCCCAUUGUGCUCAAAAUUUGAGUCACCCUUUUCGGGUUUUCAACUCAAAGCCUCGUUUGGUCACAAAGCGCCCUUUGCGGGCUUUCGCUUUGGCCUCUUCUUUUAUUUUUCUUUUCUUUUUCAUUCUGAUUUUCUCAUCUAGAUUUCUAUUUUUUAUUCUUCUUUCUUUUUCUCAUUUUCAUUUUGAUCUUGAUAUUGAUUUUUUUCUUCCCUUUUUUUUUAUCUGAGCCUUUUGGGGCACAACUUCGACAAAAAACUUUGGAUCUUCCUUUUUAAUCAGGAUGGACCCAACAAUAACUUGAAGAGAUGAAAAUUCGACUUCAAAUGGGCAAAACUAUGCUGACUUCACGAGAAAGGCAUUGCCCCGGCAAAGAAUUACAUCGUUCAUACUGCAAAUUUCUGACAUCGUGCUGUUGUGUAGAUUUCAUUAUCGACAUUUAACCCGGGCAUAUCCUGGUAUGAUUAUACAAAGAUAUCAUCGAACUCUAGAGGUAACUUGAUGAGGUCUCACUUCAUUUUUGCUGUUUGGUCAAUUCUAAUCUUUGCCAAGCUCACGAUUUCUAAUGAUUCCUUGUGAGGUAGGAUCUAUCUAUCCUCUUGUUCAACCAUCCUUAACAAGUCAGGAGAUAAAUUACAAUCUUUGUCAUUUUCAAAGCCUUGAGAUCCCUCUGAACACAUGCCUCGCUCAAAAGGAAAAUCUGGGUCUGUAGCAGAGUCAUUCACGUAAUUGAUAUCCGGGGACUCAUAAUAAGUACCAAAGAAUAUACAAAAGAAAGUAUAAUAAAUUUAUGAAUAAUUAUUUAUACUAUAUGAUUAUGAGUGAAUGAUGUGAAAGCAAAUCUAAAAGAAUGAAAUAAUCAGAAAUAAUUAUUCAAAAAGAAUGAAAGAAUAUUGGCUCAAAAAGGAAUGCAAAGAUGUAUUUUAUUAGAAUAAUAACGUUCAGACAUUAGCCUAUUUCACAAAGGAAUUUCUAUCGCUUUAGGCUAAAAACAACAGAAAUGUUCUGAACAUUACUCUAAAUAAGCCCUGAUAGCUACAGGAAUUUCUUCCGCAGUCUAAUUGUUUAGAACACUCCAGAAUUCAUAAGGGCUGACAUCUAACAAGGUCCCUUCCCAAUUGUGUCUUCAGACACGUCGUUGAUGUGAACAUUUCCUAACACUUCUUCGUACACCUCAUUCGCCUCGUCAUUAAUAUGAUUGGGCAGUGUAUUUUCUGCACUAGAGGAAUCAUCAAAUUUAACAACGCCCAUACUGAUAAGCCUUUCAAUCAGUUUGUUAAAAGGCAAUGCAAUUCUCUACUGAGUACCCUAAAAUUCUCGAAUGAUAAUCACAUUGCAUGUUCAUAUCAUACCAUUUGGGAUAAGGAGGCUAUAAAGGGGUCAAGUAACGAGGAGCACCAACAUGCGCAUCGAACAAGCUUUGAUACAGCUCCUUAUAUGACAUCGAAAUUGGUGUGACCUGGAGCUUCUCAGUACCUGGUUUCACUCUAGAUUUUUGCUUUAAAAGGCUCUGAUGGCUGGUGGUCUCCGUCUUUGGCAUGCCCACAGUGAUUGGUUUUGAGUGGCCCUUGUUAUAUCCGCCUAUAUUAUCCCUUUUAUUCCCCUUCUUCCUUGGGGCCUUUAUAGUAUUUGGGUACUCUAUCCUCAUCUUCUUUAUUUCGGCUAGAUUAGCAAUAGGAUUAGCUAAAUCAUUCCUCAAAUUGGAUUCUAAGCCUGUCAGACAAUUCACUGGUGUCGAUGUACCAGUCUGAUAAUAUUGGGAUCCGAUAGUAAAAAGUGCUCCUUGUGAACGCCCAUCUGGUUAGACCUAGACACUUGUUGGAGUACAAUAUAUGGAAUAGACAAGAUCCUCAUUAUCAACCCCAAAGUAAACCACCGGGUCUUUCACUUCUUUUGACUUUCCAGCUAGCAAUCGGUUGAACUGGUUUAUCACAGUUCUCCGUAAUUCUAGCAUCUGAUCUCUCAUCUCCUGUUGAAAUUCAGUCAAUUGCUCAUGCAUCUGGAUCUGCAUUCGCUCUAAUUUUUCCAACCUUCGUUCCAUUUCUCUUGCCUUUGCUUGGAUAUCGUAAGGAUGUUUGGUCGGUUGGCUUUCCAGUUUAGCCGAAAUAAAUUUACUCGUUUAGACUCUUUCAAUGGAUUUUAAUGCAUGUAAUGCAAUGUAAUGCAAAUGCAUAAAAUGAAUGCCUAAAGAGACAUUGAUUCUGAUUCAACUACAUUUAGGAAACUUUUCUAGAAAGCAAAUUCCUUUACAUAAAACGGAUACAUGUACGGCCUCACCCUCAUAUUCCAAGAAACAACAUCAGUCUUUUUCUUCAUCCGCAUGUUUGAGGUAAUCUCGCCAAUAGAUGCCAUUGCUAGCUCAUUCUCUUGAUCUUGGUCGCGAUCCAUCAUCUGCCCAUCUUCAUAAGGCUCGUCAGCUUCUUUAAGGGAGUGGAACGUUGAAGGCUCUUAGACAAUUGCCUUGAAUCCUAAGGCCACGAAGCAGGAUCACGAACUCUUCCAUCUCCAUUCUUGUGUUUCUCAGAAUAUAUUCGGGAAGUCGUAUUGUUUUCCACUUUAUCAAGGAAUUCGUAUUCCAUGACAAGCUUUCUAAUUUAGUAAUCGAACUUGAAUCAAUAUCUCUUUCUUAAGAUGCAAAUGCAAUGUAAUGCAAUCAUAAUCAAAACACAACAAGAAGGGUUAGAACAAAACAUAAGCAAGCAUGGGAAAAAAAAACCUAAUCAGGUAAAUACUAGGGAUUUGGAGUGGCUCUACCUAGGUUAAAUUCCUAAGUCCACUAUAUGAGGGUUGGUUCUAAAGAUAAGGUACCCGAACCAGCAAAUUCCUCGAUCUUCACCCAUUAUAAGCUCAUACAGACCGAGUUCGGUUCAGGGGAAUACAUUUCCCUAUGGCUGCACGGAGAUGAAAAUCUCACGAAGACAUAGGUACGGAUGUAUCCCGGAAGUGAUCCACUAUCCUGCACGGAGGUGAAAACCUCACGAAGGACUAGCUUCUCACUCCCACUUAAGAAGGUGUGACCAACGGUCAUGCAAUGCAAUGCAGAAAGGCAUAAAAAAAAUUUAAAAUACAAAAUAAGAUGAAAACUAUAACUCAAAACAAAUGAAAUGCAAUGAGUGGAUCAUAUAUUUAAAUCACAUUUUCAACUUUCGACAAAAAGACAAGAAAUAAUCAACUCGUGGCUUGACUCUCUUAUUUUGGGUCCCCAGUGGAGUCGCCAAGCUGUUGACACCAUUUUUUGGAUGGAAAACGGGGUCGACUUGGGUUUUGAAAAUGAAAACAAAAACGGGAGUCGCCACCAAUCCUUUUUGAUGAGGUGUGAUUGGGUCACCUCGAAGGGUAGUUGUUUUUAAUAAAAGGUUUGAUUUUAUUAAAACAACAAGUUUGGUCUACAAAAUCCAGAAAAAUAGGUUCGGGAGUCGGUUACGCACGAGGAAGGAUUAGCACCCUCGAUACGCCCAAAAUUGGUACCCAGAUGAUUACUUAAUGUCUUAGUGUCGAAGAUUGAAAACUUUAAAGAAAUUUAAAAUACGAUCCUUAAAAAAAACUCGUACGGCAUGGAUUUAAAUUCAAUAAGAUAUUUGGCAAUUUGGUUAAACGAGAAAUCGAAACCCAGCACCUUAGGGCACGUUCCUCGAAUUUCCAAACGCAAAACAUUGCCUUAUUUUGAAAUUUUUAAGAAGGAUAUUAAGCCAUUUAGUUGAACGAGAAAAAUCGACACCCAGCACCUUAGGGCAUGUUUUCUCGAAUUUCUAAACGGCAAAACAUUGCCUUAUUUUGAAAUUUUUGAAAGGAUAUUUAGCUAUUUGGUUGAACGAGAAAAAUCGAAACCCAGCACAUUAGGGCACGUUUUCUCGAAUUUCCAAAAGCUAAACAUUGCCUUAUUUAGAAAAAUUUUCCUUUUUUGAAGUAUGGUGUUAAUAUACAUAAUGGAAUAAUAAAUAUGACAAUUUGAACAAAAAUAAUAUAAGCAAAAAUGAAUAAUAAAAAAAAAAACAAAUCAAUCAUGUAUAUACCAUAACGAAUAAAUAAAUAAAUAAACAAACUAAAACAUAAAAAAUGGACAUAUAAAUAAGGACAUAAAUGAAAGAAAAAAUAAAGGAAAAUAUAUGAAAAUUAUAAAAUAUAAAAAAGGUAGGUACAUAUAAGGGAAAUAUGUAUGUAUACGCAUAAAAUUAUGGAAAUAUGAAAUAUAUAUAUAUAUAUGUAUUUUAAAAUUAUUAAAUAUAAAAUUUUAUGUAAGUGUGGAUAUACAUGUAUAUGUAUAUAAAGUAUAUAUAAUAAGGAAUAUGCAAGCAUGUAUAUAUAUAUAUGAAAAUUAAAAAUAUGAAUUUAAAGAUAUAUAUAUAAAAAAAAUAAGACAUAAAAUAUACAUGCAAGUAAAAACGUAUAUAUAUAUAUAAUAAGAUAUAAAGUAUAUAUAUGAAAAUUAAAAUGUUUGUGAAUGUGUAGAUAUGUAUGUAAGUUAUGAAAUAAAAAGGUAAAUUUGUAUAUACAUAAAAAAAUAAAAAAGAGUAAGAAGAAUAUGUGUAUAUAUAUUUAAAAUUAUGAAAUAUAAAAUGUGUAAGUGUGUGUAUAUAAAGUAUAAAUAAUAUGUAAGUAUGUAAAUAAAUAAAUAUAAAUUAUAGGCGUAUGGAUCCUUUAUAAAAAUGUAUGGUGGAUAUAGACGUGUAUAUAUAUAUAUAUGUGCAAUUAUAAUAAUGAUAAUAAUAAUAACAACAUCAUUAAAUUUGUCAAUUUUAAAAAUAAACUAACCAAAAUAACGAAAAAGGACUAAUUUGAACUUAAAACAGAAAUCUGGGGGGAAAAUCGCAAAUAAAAUAAGAAAGGAGUGGCCAGGGACCGAAAUAAAACACGCUUAAAGCGCAAGGGACCUGUUGAGAAAUAUUCCCUUUCACUGAAACGCUGCGUUUCGACCGAGGGGGGGCAUGGUCUAAGGACCAAAUCGAAAUACAAACUAAAUUCACAGGCUGAAUAACAAAUAACCAAAAAGGAUCAGAUCGGCUACUGCACAAAAGCGGAGGGGCCUAUUGCGCAAAUAGCCCCUUUGGCGAAAACACGCGGAUCCCCUGGGUCGGAUCGGGUCGACGCGCGGGUCAGGGCGUGUCAAAACGGCGCCGUUUUGUGUUUACUAUAAAUAUUAAAAAAACCCCAAAAACAAAUCAAUUUCAUCAUUUAAAAAAAAACAGAGAGAGAGCUCUCUCCCCUCUCUCUCAGGCCCCAAGUCAGGCCAAGGGUUCCGGCGAUCCUCCGCCAUUGACGGCGUCGCGCCGGCCAUCGUACACGGUGGCCGGAAAAUUCAAAGGUAAAAUUUUUCUCUCCUUUUUCUCUCUUUUAUUUUAUAUUAUUGAUAUCUAAAAUAAAUGAAAAAAAUAAGAGAUAAAAAAAUGCGAAUCUAAGAAGAAAAAACCUUUAAACUUGCUUUUUUUGUUUUUUUUUUUAUUUCAAACGUUCGUAGCAAAACGAAAGAAGAGAAAACUCUUCUUCUUUUACAGCAAACUCGGUUUUUUUUGCCGAAAAGGAAAAAAAAGAAUCAAAUAAAAAUCCCCCUUUUUACAUGUUCUUAGUUUCGGCUUUUAAAGCCGAUUUACAUGAAAUCCCUAGUCUAUGCCUAUGCCUGUCUCGCUUGCCUUGAUUUGUUUGCAGGGAUCAACGCACGUGGAUGGAAGUGACGGUGGCAGUUGGCCUUGAUUUAUAAUGUAGAGCUCGAUUUUGAUAUAAAAAUUUACUGAAGUUCGUUAUAUUAGAUUCGUUUGCCAAAUAAAAUGAAAAAAAAGGGUCAAAUUCUAUUAUUAAUUCUUACACUAUGUAUAAGUCAUGGAUUUAGUUUAUGUAUUUUAAUUUGGUUAUUUUUAGUCACUAUACUUUUCAAAAUUUAAAAUUUCAAUCUUCAUCAAAUAGUAACUAUUAAAUUUAUUAAGUUAAACUAUACUAUUUUAAAAAAUAUGAUAUAAAAAUUAUAUUAUCAUAUUAACUUGUUAUUUUCAUAUAAUACUCAUAAAAAGGUCACAUUAUUUUAGUUAAUGAAUUUAACUACUAUCGUUUGAGUCAAUAUUGAAAUAUCAAAUUUGAAAAGCAUAAAGACUAAAAAUGAUCAAAUUGACGACCAAAUUAAAGUACAUGAACUAAACUUACAACUUAUGCGUAAUAUAAGGACUAAUAGUGAAAUUUGACCAAAAGAAAACAUGAAAUGAAACAUGCAUACAUACGUACCCUAAGUGCAAGGAAGUGUCUGGGAGAUGGUUGUCAUCAUCUGAUGCACUAUUAUUAUCAUCAGCCUUUGAAUUAUUUGGUGAAUGUUCAAGUCUUCUUUCCAGCAAUAGAUUCAAUUCUAGUAUAUUCGAGCUCCUUUUUUGUCUCAAUUCCUCAACCUUAAAACCACAUUCAAUAAUCAACAAAAUACAAUAUUAUACACUCCAAAAUCUUAAUAUUAUAUAUAAGCUAAACUACACUACUAAUCACUCAAUUAUCGGUAAGUUUAUUUUUUGAUUACCUAAUUAUAAAAAGUUACAAAAUAGUCAUGAUUUUGUCCUUUUUGUCAUCCGUUAUUAAAUGGCUAAUGGCUAAUGGAAAGAUUACCUGGCAGGUUUUAAAAUUGGCAUUAUAGCGAUUUUAACCCUCAACAUUUAUACAUUAUAUCGAUUUAGUCUUGACUCUAAAAAGUUUAUCUCUCAACAUUUACAUGUAGUGUAAUUUAGUGUUUUUUACAAUUUUUUUUGUGUGACCUUUUAACAGCUUAAAAAAUAAAUUUAUCCAGCUAAAUUUUAUCAAAAAUAUAUUAAAUUAACACUCAAUGUCACAAAAAAAGCAAAACUGCAAAAAAGACUAAAUUAUAGAAUGUGUAAAUGUUGAGAGUUAAAUUUUUUAGAAUGAAGAUUAAAUUGACACAGUAUAAAUGUUGAAAGUUUAAAUUGCUAUUAUGCCAAUUUUAAAAGUCAUCAAAUUACCUUUCUGUUAGUGAUUUAACUGUUGGUGACAAAAAAAAAAAUUCAACAGUUGGGUGAUUAACAAUAUAGUUUACUCUUAUAUAUAUGUAAAUACAUGUGUAGCAGUACGUACCUGUUUGCGUAGAUCUUCAUUCUCCAUUAUAGUCUUCUGUUCCUGAAAAUAUACAAAUAUUAAACCAGAAAUCAUUAGCAUUAAAUGUUAAUUACAAUUAUUUCAAAAGUAAAAUGUACCUGUAAUCGAGAUCUUUUAAGCUGCUCCAUUAGAAUUUGCUCCUACAACAAUAAAGCUUCAGUUUCUAGAGCUCACAAUUAGGCUCCUAAUGGAAUUAUUUUAAGUUUGUGUUUGUAGGAGAGUUACUAAAUAUACUAAAAUUAUGUUUGUCCUGGAUAUCCAUUAAUCUUUUCUGUAUUUCUAAUAUACAUGCUAGAUAUAUAUACUAAAAUUAUAUAUUUAUAUAAUAUGAGAAGAUUAUAUAUAUAAAUAUAAUUUGUAGGAAUAUUAAUGUCAGUACCUUUUGUUGCUCAACUGAUGCUAUCCCUUCGUUUAAUUGAUUCUCCAGCUGUUUUAAUUCUUUGAAACUCAAAUCAUCUAGUUCUUUUCCAUUAAGCCUCCUGCAAAUCACACCUCAAAUUUUACUUAAUCAAAUACUUAUUUAUUUAUUUAUUUACGUAUUAACACCUAUCACUUGUAUUUUAUACAUAUUCAGAUAUAUGUAUGAAAAUGUAAUUUCACAUUUUAUUUACCAUUCACAUUUAAAUCCAAAUAACAUAGAUUCGAAGAUUUAUUUCUAACUCAUUAGUUAUUAUUUGUAAUUUCUUUCAUUUUCCUUACCAUUUUUUUUUAUUGUGAAUGCUUAGUUGAAAUGACAAAAUUAAGGUUUUGAAGAUACGGGUAUCCUAAUGAUUUAUUUUGAAUUUAAACUAUUUUUUUAUAGAUUUUAUAUAAAUACAUAAAUGAAAAGACAAAAAGCAAACUCAUAAUAUUAUUUGUUAUCUUUUAAAUAAAAACCCCUUUUUAAAAUUAUUUUUCAACUAAAUUGAUCUUUAGUUAAACUCGUGGCUUCAACUCAGUUAGAUAAUUAUAUAUAGUAUAAUUAACAAACAAUAGAAUUGAAAUUGGCAUACAUGUAUGCUGUGUGUAGCCUUAAAUGUUCCUGUUUCAUGGUGUUCACCUCAAUUCCUUGCAACUUCUGUUUUUUUAACAAAAAAAAACACACACACGAUAUUAGAAAUGUAAUUAUUAUUUCGAUCAAGUCUUAACUCAACUGAUAUUGACAUUGACAUCAAUAUAUAUAUAUAUACCUCAGCUUGUUGCUCAUCAAAAGGGUGUUCUAGAGAAUGCUCUUCUUCCAUUCCUUUGUUGUACCUUGAAAGAGUGUGUUCCAUGCUACAUUCAUAAAAUGUCAUGUUUAAAAAAAAACAAUAAAUUAAAAAUAAAAAUCUAACUCAUUAUUAGGGUUUAGGAUUUUUUUUAACCUAUAUUGUUUGGACUUGAGCCGAUCAAAUUUAUGACAAGUUAUUCUUAGCUUAUCGUAACUAUUUAUGUAUCAUUUUUGUUUUAAUAUGAGUAUGUGUUGUUGUGUUUUAGUAUAUAGUUUCGUAUUUAUCAUUUUUUUAAAUAUUAUAUAUAUAAUAUACUUGCAAAUAUUUCUUAAUUAUAAUAUGUAAAUAUAAAAUAUAAAAUUAUUAAUUAAGAAAGGUUAUAUAUUAUUUUUUAAAGCAAUUAUAUAAAAAAAGUAGUUAAGAAAGAAAAGGGAAAUAUUAAAAAUUCCUUUAUAGGAAUUAAUACUCACCGAUACAAGCAUAUAUUAAUUGAAAUGAAUCAAAACUCAAUGAAAUUUUAAUUGAAGUGAAACUUAAACUAUUUUACUCUAGUUCAAUAUCGAGGCGAUUCAUAACGAUUGAUACAACUAGUAUCGAAACUACCGACUACCAUACCACAAAGCAAAAAGAAAAAUAAUGGAAAUCAAUCAAAUUACAACUCAACUUACUUUCAUGCUUAGAAAAAAAACUGUUCUAAAAAAUAAUCAUCCAAGAAAAUAAAUAUAUAUAAGUUGUAUAGACCGUUACAAACUAAUAUACACUCAUAUAAGUCGAUAUUAACUAAAACAAAUCAAAACACAAUAAAAUUUUAAUAUAUUAAUUCAAUAUUGAGACUAUAGCCAAUUAUUAAGAAAAGAAAAAUAAUGGAAAUCAAUCCAAUUAUAGGUCAACUUACUUUCAUGCUUACAAAAAAGAAAAAGCUUCGAUUAUUAAAAAUCAUCUACAAUAUAUAUAUAUAUAUAUAUAUAUAUAAGUAUUAUACUAUAUUAUGUACCUAGUGCUGGACCAUUGAUAGACCUUGCCGGUGCUUGAAAAAAUAAUAACCCCAACCUCUGCAUCACAUAAAAUGGACAAUUCUUUAGCUUUCUUCAACAACCCAUUUCGCCUCUUUGAAAACGUUACUUGCCUGCUAUUCAAAUUUUCAAUCUUUUUUAUUUCAAUUUUCCCUCUACCCAUCUCAAAAUUUUCUUCUUUCCUUUACUUUUUCCCGGAAAAUUUUUAAAAGACCCCAGAUUUUUUUUUCUUAAAUUUUGAAUAAAAAACCAAAGGUUUUUAUAACAACAAACAGAUCAAAGAAAAUAAGGCAAAAAAUUUAGGGGAUUGUAAAAGGAUUCUUUUUUUAAGAGAAAAGAAAAUAAGUAAGUAAUGUUUAUAUAUAACAAUUGUUUUCUUAAAUGGAAAUGGAAAAUGAUAUGGAAAAAGAAAAUAUGUGACCAAAAUUAGGGUGAAAUCUUGAAAGGUGACAGAUUUGAUUCUAUAUCUAGCAAUUAUCCAACUAUGGAAACUCUAUUUAUUAUAGCUUUAGUUUUUUUUUUCUUUCUAUUUAUCUUAAUUUCUCUACCUUUUUAAUCUGCUGUUUUUGGCAUUUCAACUCAAAAUGGAUUUGAUUUUUGCUUUGGGUUUCUUUUUUUAAAUAUAAAAAGUGGGUUUUAAUUAUUUAUAUAUUAUUGUGCUUUAAUAAUUUUUUUUAGUGAAUAUUGAUUUUUUUUUUGAAUUACAAUAGGAGAGUAAAGUCCUAAUAACAACACGACUAGAGCGAUUAGAAUUUAGCCACACUUGAGACAUUGAACACAAGUAUUUCACGAGGACAUAUAACACAUGUUUUUUAAAUUCAUGGCUAAAAUAAUAAUAAAAAUCUCUUUAUUUUAUUGUAUUCAAAUAAUAAUAAAAACCAUGGUUUUAGUUGUAUCGGCCUGUGCCAUUGUUUUACUGUUAUAAUGCAACAAGCAACACUAAUGAAAAUUUUGGUUUGUACCGUUCGCAUUGGCCAGAAUAUGAUACACCUGCUACUGCAUGAAUAAUAUUAAAAAAUAUAAAACUAUUAACUAUUUUCUAUUAGACUAAAUAUUUAAUUGAAAUGUAUUGACCAAUAAAAAAAUAUUAUACUAUAAAGUAAAGUUUAACAUUUAAAACUAUUUUUGGAGCAUACUUUUUCAUUUAAAAUAUAAAAAUUAAAAUAUAACAAAAAAAAACCCACUCACCUCGUUAUCAUAGAAAAAUAUUCACUCGCCCUUCAGCUUUUUUUUAUUGAAAAAACCCCCUCAUCCUUCGAUUUAUUUUUUCUUCUUAAUUUUGAAUUUAUUGAAUGAUGAGUUUUUACUUGUAGAGUUUAUUAAUCAAUAUUUUAUAUAAUUGAUGAAUAGUUUUAUAUUAAAAAUUAUUUAUAAUAAUUUAUUUGAUAUUUGUAUAUUUAUUUAUGUAAAUAUAUUAAAUAUUUUAAAAAAUAUCGAUAAAUUUAAAAUGGCACAUAAAAUAGACUAGUAUCAAUACAUAACGAUUCUCAUAAAAAAGUGGUGCUUACACCAAUGUGUUAAUGGCUACCUUUGAAAGCAAGUAUGUGGGUGGCUAUAAUGUUUGAUGCUUUGUUUUCUUUGAAUAUUUUGCUUUGAUGCUUUUGAUCUGUGCUGAUCUUUUGAGUGCAACCAUUGGGAUAUAUAUGGCUAUAUGAAUUUUUAUGAUUUGCUAUGCAUUGAUUGUGGUUGUUUUAUUAAUAAAUUUAUGUUUUGGAUUGAGAAAAAAAAUUCGAAACACAAAAAGAAAGUAGAGAAAGUGAACACAAUGAUAUACGUGGUUCGGGAAUAUUCCCUACAUCCACGGGCAGAACCAAAAAUGAAAUUCACUACUAAAAAUUGGAGAUUACAAUGGAAUUACAUCAUAAAAUAAAUUACCUCGCCAAUAACUAUCCACAAACUUUGAAUGGAUUCAUGGUCUGAGAAAUUCGGAAAACUAAGAUGGACAUCUUUGAGAUUGGAUAGAACAAUAUUUUGGGAACUUUGUCGUCUUACAUGUGUCAAAUUGAGCUCUCUAAUGCCAUGUUGUAACGUGUACUAUAUCCCUCCAUUAAUCCUGGAAGGAUCAAACUAUCACGUAAAAGACUUGUUCUUCUGAAAAACCAUUGGUUAAUAGUACUACGAAAUGUCAAAUAUUUUUAACUAAAGAAUCCCAUUCUCAUAUACCAAAAUAGCUUAGAAAUUAGAAGAUGCAAAUGAAAACAGAACAUUCAAUUUGCUGAAUAAAUGUUGCAGAGAAUUGACUAACCGCUUUACUAAAUCAAAUAAGCUGAAGCAGAUGAGUUGAAGUUCACUAUUUUUCGCCAAUUUAGUGUCUGCAAAAAUUGAAUACAAAAUAUAUAAGACUCGUUUCUGUUAUCAUGUUGUUCAUGAGGUCAAUCAGAUAUAUAAAAAAUAAAGCUAUGAAAUUUAUAAAUGUUUAAAAUGCGUUUCACACCUGUGCUUUGAGUGUGGAGAAAUCGAUACCAGAUUUUGCUGCUUAAAUUUCAAUACCUCGGGAUGACUAUAUUCUUAUCAAUUUGAACAUAAGGUAUGUGGGAAAUCUUGGACCACUCUCGUCCUUUACCCCUAUUGCACCCUUCUUCUAGCAACGGGCAACGCUGAAUAGAUAGACGCUCAAGCGAGAGAAGCAUAACUUUUUCUGGAAGAGAGGCGAGCUUAGGACAAUCAUAGAUGCCCAAUUUUUGAAGAGAGGUGAGGUGUUGUAAGCCCUUGGAGCACAUGAAUUCCAAAUUUUCAAAUCUACGGAUGCUGAUUUCGGUGAGAGAAGGAGGCAGCGCCAUUCCUAUCCCUUCUUCUGGAAACGACACCACAUUUGAGCAUCCUUCACCGCUGAUGUUGAGUCGCUGAAGAGAGGUAAGUCUGUUAAAUCCCCAUUGAACAAGUGAUGUAUAAAUUUUGGGUGCGUUUGAGAUUGCAAGUGAUGUGAGGUUGGCAGGGAAACCCUCUUCUGGAAAGGAUAUGUCAGCCGAACAAUAAGACACCUUCAAUUCUCGAAGGGAGGUGAAGUUGUUGAUGCACUUGGGAAGGACUCCAAAAUUUUCACAAUUCUCAAUUGCGAAAACUCUGAGAUUUGUCGUGGGCAACCCACUUUCUUCAAAUGAAACCAGAUUUGGACACCUAGAUAAUUUAAUCUCCUGAAGAUGGCUGAGCUUGUCUAAUCCCCGCGGUAAUGAUUUAAUUUUUUCAGCACCACGAAUGCCAAUGCUUUCGAGAUCAAUGGUUUCAAAGAAGUCUUGGGCUAUGCAUUCCAACACUGGACAAUCCCAAAUAAAUAGCUGUUUAAGCAUUACGGGUAACUUGGCGUUUAAAAAUAACCUAGUUAGCUUUGAACAACUUUCAAUUUCGAGAUGUUGAAGUCGAUUGCAUAUAUCGCCCCUUGAUAAUAACCAUAUUAGAGAUGGACAGCUUCUUAUUACUAAGUGCUCAAGAAGACAAGUGUUGCUAUUCGCACUCUUAUUAUUAUUUUCUUUUUCAUCAACCAAAUAUUGCAAAUUCACGCAAUUCCCAAUCCUCAGCUCUUUUAAUGCAGGAGGAAAGUUACUCUCUGCAAAACAAACCAUGCCUGGACAGCUUUCAAGUUGUAUUCUUGUAAUGAAUGGGAAAGCAUGUAAGGCUUCUGGUAGUCUAUUGAGCCUUUCACAAUUCCUUAUGUUCAGAGAUUCAACACCUGGAAUCUUGUCAAGUUGCAAUCUCUCCUCCUCUGUUUCCAAAGAGACCAAUUGGGGACAAUCCACAAUACUAAUAAAACGAUGCCCGACUAAUCUUAACCCAAUUUGCGAUAAAGAUCCCAACUCCUUCCAACCAGAGAUGACCAAUGUUUCGGAGUUUGCAAACCUCAACAUUAUCCUCUCUGCUGAAAUGUUAAAAUUUGAAAUAUUUGAAACACACAAACUUUUAAAGGAGGUAACCUUCUGUACGGACAAAGAACCUUCAUCCACCAAUUCUUCACACCCUUCAACCCAUAUUUUACGCAGCAAGGGAAAACAAGAAAUUGAAACUACCAGUCUCUUACAGUUGUAGAUUUGAAGCGUCUGCAAGGAUUGAAGGAUGGUUGGCAACCUUCCCAGCAAUAGAGGACAAUGUCUGAUUGAAAGAGAACGAAGGCUGGGGAAUUUCGAUACUUGCUCAUCAUCUUCACAUAGGUCCCACUCCUCCCAAUUCAGCAUAUUGCGAAAAUGCAGAGACUCUAAUGAUGCAAAAGUAUUUGAUUGAUUUUCUCCAAACAUCUCAGCACCAAUCUUGUGUACUUGAUCCAAACCACUAAUUGAAAGAUCUUUUAACAACAACAACCUUCCAAUCGAUGGUAGAGAUUUGCAAUUUUUACAGUCGUGAAGCUCCAAUGACAACAUAUUUUUGAAGGAAGGAUCUGCAAUCCAAGUAGAGAAUUUUGCACCACCAUAAUUCUCAAUGACGAGUUGCUCAAGCUUUUUCGAAGGAUGAAGAGAAUCUAACACCCAUUCUUCAACUUCUUUUUUCCUUGAAGCAUUUUCAAACUUUUUCCUCCAAUGCAAUACCAGUCGAUCAAUCCCCUGCUUCUCAUAUAACUUGCUUUCCCCUGCAUCUUCACCAUUAACAUUCUCCAACCCAGAAAGAAGGAAAUCACCUUUGAGGUUUGACAAAUAUUUCAAACCUCUAAUAUAACUACCAUCACCUUCCCCUAUUAUAAAAUCAGUUAACCUUUGAAGUUUCGUUAGCUUAUCAAUUCUAAAAGGCAUCCUUUCUAUUAAGCGGGCACCUCUGAUAUCAAGAUAAUGCAAGUUGACAAGAUUUUCCAUCUUUGAAGGUAACCUUUGAAGCCUGGAACAGCAAUUUAAUAAUAAAGUUUCCAAAUGGUAAAGAGUGCACAAAGAAUCAGGUAAGCAUUUGAUAUGGGUGUCAGAAAAAUUUAAGUAGCGAAGAUGUUUUAAAUUUUCAAAAACAUCAGGCAAC